CCAUCUUCUUCAGCUUCACCUCAACACUUCACUUUCUGCUUUCGAUCAUGACUACUAUGGCUACGGUUGGGAAGCUUAUCGAAGAUCCCAAUGGACUUGGAAGAAGAUCCUCAUGCCCACAAAGUCAUAUCAAGUAUAUGGUCCCGCCAAUUAUCAAGCAGUGGAUCAUAUGAUUGACGCCCAAGUAAAUUGAACAAAUUAAAGCUGCAGAAAUCAAUUUUCAAUGAUCUGUCAUUGCUUACUUAAGCUAUGGAUAAUUACUUGAUUUAUGUCUCAUUACACAAUUUUGGAAGAUCAGCUGGUAAAAAUGUAUAAUAAAAUUUAUUGUGGAUUAAAAUAAUGCGGUGUUUGAUUUUGUGAGGUCCUUAAGUGGCAAACAUAUGGUGUGAUCCACAAGUUCCGUAACAAUUCAAAAUAGAAGGUUGAAUUGCUCUAGGAAUCCUAUCAUCUUACAAGAUUUAACAUUUUCAAUCUGUGAUUCUUUUUUACAUGGGUGUCAAUCAUAGUAUAUGGUGGUUAACAAGUUGCAUUUAGCAAGAAUUUCUUGAGUUGCUUCUAAUCAAUUCUCAUGCCAUUUUAUUAAUGUCUUAUGGCUAACAGUUGGGGCAAAAAUUGAUAUUACCCCAUUGAGAAAUAUAUCUCUAGGAUGAUGACUGUCCACAAUUAUCCAAAACACUUCAGUGCAACAAAAACUCAAUAUCCAUCUGCUGGAAGGAACGAUCAGUUUCUAACUCGAGCAAUCAUGGUAUAUGGGAGUUCGCUGACUAUUUUCCACAAUGUCAGAAUCUCCUAUUUGACCCCAUGUUCAAACUCGAUUAAAACAAAUGCCCUUGGCAUCUUUGACCACAAAUGAAGAAUAGUUGCAGAAAUUUGGAAAUGGAAUCUUAAGGUUUGGGUUAAGGGUUUGUAAAAUAUAGGUAUUUAAUUUGCGAUACAAAUGUCAUAUUAUAUCGUAGGAGAGGCAAGACGAAGGCCACAUAAUCAAGAAAGUUAACUAUUUAAGCUAACAUAAAACUUGGUGAGAACCUAUGGAUUGCAAACAAGCAGGGAAGUAUCAAGUGAGUUUUUUUUUUUUUUUCACAUGAAUGAAAAAUAAAUAUUAACCAUUAGAUUUGAUCAUGAAUGGUCAAAUUAAAAUCUAGGACAAGUGUAAAAUUACUUACAUAAAUCAAUGGUAUCUAAUUUAAUUGGUUGAACAGGUGCAUAAAUUAUUGUAAAAUUCUCUAGUAAUUAUCUUUGAUUUCUAUGGAUAAAAAACUUACAUAAACUUAUUUUUAUUAUCCAUUUAAUUUUAGUGUUCCAUUGAAUCAAUAUCAACCUGGAUAAAUUCAUAAAAAGGUAUAGAUUUUGUUAUUAUCAAGGGUAUAUGUAUUGGAAGGAAGGUGUAAAGUUUUUUGGCAGGGCUAAAUCUCUUAUGGGUAAUAUUUUCAUUUUUUUUCUAUGAUCAUGAUCAAAUAACAUUUUGACUUUUCUUUAUAUAGGUUUUCAGAAUAAGAGGGUUUAGUGGUAAUUAAUAUUGAAAUCAAUAGAUUUUAUGACAGUCCAAUGAUGAUUUUAAUAAGAAAUUUUUUUAGGUAAAUUGGAUCCGAGAUACCAACUAAGAGUAGGGUAGACUUCUUGAGAGCAUUUACAAAAACUAAGAUAACCUCAAGACACAAAGAAUACUUAGAAUGAUAUUUAUAAAUUACCCAUCUCAAAUGAUAUUUGAAUUGGAGUUAUUACCCCUUGAUAAAUUACAUAUCCUUAAAAAUCUCGUUUUUGUCGGUAAUAACUCCAGAGUGUUCUAUGUCAUGCGAUAGGGGCAACAAGUCUGUGGUAUUCAGAUCAGCUUCAGCCGUAUCAGUUGUAAUUCUUGAUAUCCUUCCUGAAGAAUCAGAGGCAUUGAAGUUGGCUUCGUCUCUCAAAUUAAUAUCAAGCAACAAAUUCUGAAGUUUUAGAUCAAGCUCUGCCACAGAUGAAUUAGUUUCCUUUUUCUUUGGUUUUCUUUUCUGAAUAUUUUGUUUCUUCCGUUGAGCUUUUCUUUCCUCGAACUCCAAAAUCUUCUCACGACAAGCACUGUAGAUGAUUAAUAAUGAGACAAUGAUGAAAGGCACCCUAAACAAAAAGUUAUCUUAUAUACCCACCAGCCUUCUUGAAUUUGAACUGUUCUAAAAGAUACUUGGUAUAGAUGCAGCAAUAAACCAAACAGCAUACUAACUCAAGUUGCAAGCAAAAAAUAAGCAAAAUAUACAUUUGAUAAGAAUCAGAUAAAACAUUUCCUUUCUGUGUUUUAGGGAGUAAAGUAUGUUCAUGAAUUAUGAACUUACAUUACCUUUCUAUAAGAUCUGCAGGUACUAUUGAAGUUUCAAGUCCAUCCAUUCCUUCCCAAGAAACCUCGUAGCAUUCUCUCCCUUGAACUCUUCGGCUCUUAAUGAUUUCUGACACAGGACACUUCACAGGGAUCUGUGAUCGGAUAUAAUAUAAAUAAGAUUCUUGUAUAUAUCCAGGUUCAAAAAUAAGGAGCCUGUAGAUAAAAUUUAUGUUCACUAAUAAUAGUAAUGGCAUUAUAGAAACUCGAUGAAUGGAAGAUUUCCCUGUUUAUUGAUGAUACACUGAAUGCAGUAGAAGCUACUGUAAAUCAAUGAUCAUCGAAGAAUUGAACCAAUGUUAUACAUUACCAAAAUAGAAAAUGUGUAGCAUACUUACAUUACUUAAUAAUCAAAUGGACAGCUUUGAUAGAUAAUAAACAUGUGAAAGAGAACAUAAGUUAUCAAAAUGCCACGCGAUUCUAAGCAUGAACAUAAUUUAGCUUUUUUCUAAUAUACUAAUUUAGCUGAUAUUAUAUUUUCAGAUAGCGGAUAUAAUUGGUUCAUGACAUGGUAUCAAAACAUGCAUGAUUAAUAGCAUGUUUGAAUCUAACUCCAUGAUCCACAUUGUCCAAGAAAUUUGAGUCAAAAUUUUAAAAAUGACACAAAAGCAAGUAUUUUUUGCUUCAAUUUGACGUGCAUUCACAACAAUGAACACCAAACCAAACGGGCACUAAGUGGUCUAGAGUUUGAUCAUUGUUACCCCCAUUUUUCUAAUAAAAAGUAGAAUUUCAAAACAAGGUAGGUGAGCAUUUACAUUAUUUAUGCUUCAAUCCAAAAGGUUUUGGUGUUUUACUAGUGGAAAGGGACAUGUAAGAGACUCAAUAAUUCACACCUUAAAGUUUGCAUUUAUUAUGUACAAAUACAGUUAAUAACCUAUAAAUCAAAUCCUGAUACGUUUGUUGACAAAAUUCUUUUAAAAACAUUAAAACCUCUCUUCUAUGUCAAAUAUUAAGUGUAUUAUUACAUAAUUUGGACAGAUAAUAUGUCCCUAAUUCUCUGAAAAGUUUACUUUUAUAGUAACACUAGAGCAGUGCCAUAAACUGUUUUCUAGUUUGAGAAGGAAACCUGUCAGAAAAAAUAAUCAACUGCAACUUUCAAUUCAAGUAAUGUGAAUUGAAUACUCCGAAGACGGUAAUAUCCCCACACUUACAAGUUACAAUGACAAAUGUUGAACAUUUUUCAUGUGACAUACAGACAUUUACCCCCUUAACUAAAAAAAAAAAGACGAUAAAAAAUAUCAAAUUAAAUUGUAGUGAAAAAUGAAACUAUUAAUUUUAAUUAAAGAAAAUACUACUUAUUUAUUCCUUCCAACAAUCAAAUAUUUUCUCAUUACCAACUUGUCUCAUUAAUCUCUUAUUUACUACUAAUUGUUACUUGUAGUUAAGUGUGUUAGAUUCAUGGGUUAACAAUGAGUCAUGCAUGUAAUUAAUAAUCAUUAAUGUCAUAUUUUUUUAUCAUUUGAAGUGGAGUAUUCAUUUUUUCUCUUAAUAUUAUUUUAUCCUUCACAAAAUUCAAAUAAGAUACUUUAUUUGAGAGGAUGAAUUCAGAAUCACUCAAACUAAUGAGUUAAGGACUUAUUGGUUAUUAACAUCGAAUUAAAACUAGUUUUAUGUAUUUUGUUUUUAUAAAUUAAAGACUAAUACUUGCUUAUUGUCAUUAUUCAAAAAAGAAAAAAGGUUAAAAAGAAAAGAAAAGUGAGUGGGAAAGACACACUCGAGUCGAGCGGGAGUCAAAGCUGGAAGUCCAAAGUUUCUGGAACUCAAACUAGUAGUGUGGGUGUGGAACAGGACAAGGGGGUUUCUGUGAAGGACUAUUUGGUGGACAAACUGAGGCCUGGUGAUGAAGACAGGGCUCUCUCUGAAGUGAUAUCAGAGACUCUGCACAAGAAGGAACUGCCCCCAGUGGAAGUUACUGAAGAAGGUGUGAGAAAGGUGGUUUCUGAUGCUGUGCAUAAGAGAGACGAUGAUCCUGAGGGAAAAAUGGAACAUCAAAGAAUACUGGGAAAGGUAACUGAGUCAGAGGAAGUGAAGAGAAGGUUAGGAGGUGAAAGUGUGGUGACAGAGAAAAAGUACCAAGAGAUGUAUGUGAAUAGUCCGGGGAAAGGUGUGGUUGAUAAGCUUAAAGGUAUGGUUGGGACAUGGUUUACCAACCCAGCAGAGAAUCAAUCUUCACAAGGUAAAUAACAAUGAAUAGUAGCUCUAGUUGUCUCCAUGAGGUUUCUCUUGUUUGAUCAAUGCCUUUUGAAAAUUUUACUUAUUUCUAAAUUAGUUGAUUGUAUUCUUUUACCAUACUUCUCUGACUAAUUCUUUUGUUACUCUUCACAUUCUGCUUGAGUUUUGCAGCUAGACAAAGAUAUUUUGUAUCGAUAUUAAAAUUUAUUAUCUCUCUAUUUGUUUAUUAUAUUUGCCUUGUAACAGUUUUUCGAUUUUCUUAUCUUGGAAGAAGUGUUUUGAGAAACAAACGAAAUUAUGAUUAUGUAUGUUUCUGUUAGUCUUAAGACUUGAUUCCAAGAUGGAUCGCAGUUAUUUGUUUACUUGUUUUGGUCAUGCUUACAUAUUUUUCUAUAUGUUUCUUUUUUUUUUCAUUUUGUAAGAACUGUUUAAAAAAAAGUGGAGUAAUUUUUAUCCUAGUGGUUUUAGACUUCAGUCCAAGAUGAGUUACAAUUUUUUUUUUUACUUUAUUUUGGGUAUGCUAUUUUUUACUGAAGCAAAGUGCCACAUUAAUUUUGAAUUUGUGGUUUGCAUGGGCCGAAGAUUCAUCUAUGAAUUAUGAGGCAGGAAGGGCAGAAGUGGAACAAGUUAACCAAGGUGCAGCAGGUGAAAGAAGGCAGCAGGAGUCAUCUAAUUGAAGAAGUGCUUUGAAGGAGUCUUUGCUUUGGGUGAUUGUGUAGAUUUUCUUAAAAGCUGUUUCAAUAUCUGUGUGUCUAGUUCUUUGUUGGAAGAAAGUUAGGAUGUUCAAGUCACAGUAAACUAAAAAUUUGUGUUUUUUUUUAAUGUUUAUGUAAAUAUCCAAUUUUAUUCGGGUUUAUUUUUAUAUUUUAUAUAAAAAUAUUAAAAAUAUUUUUUGAGAAAAAGAAAAGAGAAAAAUUAUAGAAGAUUUGACAGUUACAAGAAGACUUGGCAUCAGAAAACUGUAGUAAUGGUGAUUCAAUUGAGAAAAAAAAAUAUUACUAAAAGAUAAGAUCAUUUAAAAUAUUUUUGAGAAAAAAGAAAAAAAGAAAAAUUAUAGAAGAUUCUUUUAAAUAAAAAUAAUUAAAAUAUUUUAGAGAGAGAAAAAAGAAAAAUCAUAGAGGAUCUGAAAGUUACGAAAUUGAUCAUCAGAAAACUGGAGUAAUGGUGAUUCAAUUGAGCAAAAAAUAAAAUAUUAGUAAAAGCUAACGUCAUUGAAGUUGUAAGUCUAAAGACAAGGAGAUCGUGGUAUAAUGGAAUCCUAAGUUGUUGUUGGAUUUUAAAAGAAGAGACGCACUAGCAUACAAGGAGAAUUCUGUGAAGGGAAACCCAUAGAAAGAUUGUUUUUUCGCAAUUUUUUCAAUGGAUGAUUAUGAUGCUAAAGAUCAGGUCUUUGUUCUUUUUGCGCUCUAUAAGAUCAGGUUUGUUUGUUUUUUUUUUCUUUUCUCUCGUUCAUUUGUUGUUAUGUUUGGCUUUUUUUAUUUAAUUUUUGGUUUCAUGAAUUCGUGUAUGUAUGCUAUCCAAAUGUUUGUUUUUUGUAUAAAAUAAGUAUACACAUUUCGACCGCAUGUUUACAUUCAUAUUGUGGGUUAAAAAGCAUAUUUUUUACCUGCUUAUUGGUCCCGAUAAAUUUCCGUAUAUAAAAUAGUAAGAUCGAGUGUCGAGUUUACAAGAACUUUAACUGUAUCCAGAGUUUGUAUAUGUUCAAUUUUAAGUAGUCAAUAAAUUAAAAUUGAUAUUUGUCAAAUAAUGAUACGGAAUAUAAAAUUUGACAUAAAUGAAGAUAAUUAAGCAUAGUACAUUAAAGAGAUAGAAUACAAACACUCAGAGGUGGGUUGUCAGUUGAAGUAGAAUUACAGAAUAUGUUGAGACUCAACCUAUCAAAAUUACUCUUGAUGCAACAUUAAGGGUUUUUUACUAUUUAACGUUAUUUUGAUUAUUACCUUCAUCCACUAACAUACCCUAAUCAUGAUUUCUCAUGUGAAAAAGUUUAAAUUACCAAAUUUCACUCCUAAUCCCUUAAGAGCUAUAUGAAAUAAUUUGCUUUAAGAAUAAAGAUGUAUAAUAAAUAAGGUAAAAUAAUAUCAUUCUAUUCCUAAACAUGAAUUACCUAGAUGUUCUUUUCAAGUUCAUAGGAAAUAAACAUUUUCCAAUGCAUAAACCCUAUAACACUACAUGAGAAUAGGUAAUCAAGCUAUAAACAUGAUAUUAAGCACAGAAAAGAUAAUAAUAUUAAAAUAACAUUAAAUAAAUAGUUAGAAUCAUUACAUCAAGAGUGUUUAAUAGUUGAACUCCCAACAAUGGGUGAUUUAGCCUCUCAUUGUCAUGAGAGGGUUACUAAUACAAAAAGAAAGCAAGAGGUGUGAAAGAAAAUGGAGGAAAGGGUCCCAAGUGAAUGGAUUUUCUCUCUUCUCUCAUGUCUUGGCUUCUCAAUUUUGGUCCCACUAAAGAAUUGCUUGAUUUUUCCUUUCUUUUUCCUUUAAAAUGAAGCACAAUCAUGUUUUGUGAUAUUGAUCAAGCGCUAAGCCAGCAUGUGCUCGCGAAGCGCACAUGCAAAGUCCAUCUGACAUAAGUGAAUGUGCGUUAAGCCGCAAGGUGCAGGCUAAACCGCAGAUGCGUACUAAGCCGCCACAUACAGGCUAAGCUGUAGAUGCACACUAAGUCGUCGUAUGCACGCUAAGCAUGACCUCCAAGUUGGCUCCUCGCGUUGAGCGGUUGUUGACGCGCUGAGCGAGCUGCUCCAGUUCUUCAACCAUAUUGCAGACCUCCUACUGUGUAAUUCUAUAAAAAAAAAUACACUAAAAAAUACUAUAAAUUUGAUAACUUUAGCAUUUAUUGGACAAAAACUCAGAAGAAAUUAAAUUUCUAAUGUUCUAACACAAAAGAAGCAAUAAAAGAGAGGAAAAUUAGAUAAUUGUUAUGUGAUUUAAACAUUUAAAUUACGUAAGCAUAUCAAUUAACAGAUUAUACGUGGAAAAAAGUUUUUUUAAAAUAAAAACAAUGUUGUAUUUGCCCAUUUCUUCUCUCUCUUAUCUAUCUCUCCAUCACCCUUCAUCUUCCUCAUAUCCCACCACUGUGCCACUGAUGGUGUUUCAUUUUUUCCCUGGUGGUUGGACUAAAUGAAAACAAAAUAGAUGAAAGAAUAGAUAUGAACCAACAAAAUCUUAAUAUCAAAACAUUAAACCACAAAAUCGAGAAAAGAACAAUGUUUGGUUGGCUUCAGUAGGUUUCAUGGCUGGAUUCACAUUUGGAUUUCAUGUGGGAUUUCACAAUGAGGUUUGUUGUGAGUUGGGGCUCAUUGGGUUUUGCAACGGUGGUGGCAGUGGAGAUCACAGUCGUUGGGUUUUAUGACCGGUUGCGAUUGAGAUCAUAGUUGGGUUCCUACCAAUAUUUCUACACUAUGAAUAAAGAUAAAGAAAUUUCUACACUAUGAAUAUUUGAAAUUAAUUAAGAUUAGCUAAAUUCAUCUAAAUAACAAUAUGCAUAAAGAUAAAGAAAAUUAAGGAAGGAAAUAAAAGAAAAAAUUAAGGGAAAAUUUUUUGUUUGGGAAUUUUAACAAACACUUGUGUAUGCAAAGUAAAUUGAGAUUAAAUCAAUGAAAAAAUUGUUCGGGUUUAAUUUUAUUGGAGUUCAUAUCACGUAAUCACUACACAUUUAUAUUUAAUAAAGAUUAUAUUAUCAUUAACCUACCAUAUUAUCUUAACUUUAAUUUCUUAAGUGAAGAGAGCUAAAUCCCUUGAUUAAACUAUCAAUCCUUUGGAUUAGCAUAAUCAAACAAUUUGCAUUAAGACAAAGUGUUUAUUGAUGCUCAACUAUCCCUAGACAUAAAAAUUAUUGGGUGUUCUAUCCAAUUCGCAACUUAAUGGAAUUUUUCUAUUACAAUUGAAUGAAAAAUCAUGCAAACAGGUGCAAGCCAAAAACACAUAUUAGGCAUAAAAGAGAAACAAUUACAAUGUUUUAUUGAAUAAAAAAAAGUAGUUAUUACAUGGAAGAAGAAACAAUUACAUUAAACUCUAAGAGAAGAUUAGUUCAUGACAAUAAAAAAACAUGAGAUAUACAUCACAUAAAUGUCUUAAAAUGACACAAAAAUCUAAGAAUACAUGAUAAUUAUUGAUCAUCUAAAAUUAACUUAGGAUAAAAAAAAGUAACAUAUUAAAAUUUUAUAGGAAUGAAAAUGAUAUAUUUUAGUCUAUUUUUUUUAAUGCUUGACAUAACUCUCAACAUUUGUUGUCAGUCAUAAAAAAACUUUGACAUGGUUUUGAUGGAGUGGCCUAUGGUUCCUGUUGAAAAAGUGGGGCCUUGAUAUGGAUUUGGUGGAGUUGUCUACGGUUUGUCUAGAAGAUAAUUUUUUUUCUUUUAUUUUAUUUUGAAUAAUAAAAAUUUGAUAAUUUAAAAUUAAUUAUAAUUUCAAAUUGCAUGUAAUAGAAGCCUUGAAUUUAAUAAUGCUAGACUUUUUAUUGUUUACUUAACACACGUGUAAUGAAAGGAUUGAUUUAAUUAAUGGUUAAAUUUGAAGACUCAUUAUUAAACCAAAUUUUAUUACCUUUAUUGUAAACUAUUAAUGUUUUUUAUAAAAAUAUUAAUAUUUACUUAAAAUAAAAUUUUCAUUAAUUUAAGCAAUUCUAUAAGUUAAACAAAGAAAAUAAAAUGUUUCUUAUUUUAGUAUUUGGCACAAGAAUAAAUUACAUUUCUUUGUAGAUUAUUUAAGUUAUCGUAUGAAUUAUUUUUUAAGAAUAUUAUAUUGAAGUGAGUAUUUUUAUGAUUGCUUAAAUUUGGCACUUAAAAUUAUUUAAAAAGUAAAAUGGAAAUUAAAAUUAUGCUGCUCCUAUUAUUUAAGCUGACAACUUGUAAAGAAAAUAAAAAAUAUGAUACUAAUUUUUAUGAUAAAAAAAUAAUAAUAUUCAAUAAAUUGUAUAUUUAUUUUUCUCUUCUAUCACUAUUCUUAAAAUAUCACCACAUAAGUAAAUGAAAUUCAGGAAAAGAUUUUAAUAUAUGAAGACUUGUGGUCUAAAAAUUAAAUAGCUAGGACCAUAGAUAAAUAAUUUCAAAAACAUGCCACACUUCUAGUAGAUCAUAUCCUCUAAUUUACAUUUUAAGUUAAAUGUGAUCUACAAUACGUGAAGAAAUUUGGACCAAGACUUAUAAAAGGAAAAACUAUGAUUCAAUAAUUAUGAUAGACCAAGUUAAACAAGCAUUUUACAUUUUUUUGUAUCUCACUAAUUAAUUUUUAAUGAAAAAGAAAAUACUAUGCAGGUUAAAAUACAAUUAGAAAUAGACGACAUAACAAUUUUUCCAAUUAAUGACAAUGAAAAUUAGUCUUUUUUCAUAUAUAAGAAGAAUAUUAUUUUGUGAAUUAAAAAAUGGAUCAAAAUAAAAUAGCUAGAUAGGAACGAAAUAGUCUUUUUUUAUAUAGAUUUUUUAACCGAAAUAAUUUUUAAAUUAUAUCCUUUUUUCUAUAAUUGAUGUAUUCAUCAUUAAUUUUUUCCUUGCUUACUUAAUUCUAAACAUUUGUAGUCAAUGAUAAGGAACUUGAUAUGAAGGUAAUGUGGUGACCUAUGGUUCAAGUUGAAGAAGUGGGGGGACAUUGACAUGAACUUGGUGGAGUGGCCUAUGGGCUAUGGAUGAAGUUGAAGAAGUCAGAGACCUUAAUAUGGGUGGACUUUGUGGAGUGUCCUAAGGUUAAAGAUGAAAAAAUGGAGGACCUUGACAUGGACUUGAUGGAGUAGUCUAUGGUUCAAGUUGGAAAAGUGGGGACCUUGAUAUGGAUUUGGUGGAGUGGCCAGCGGUUUCUCUAGGAGAAAAUUUUGUUUUCAUUUCUUUUAUUUUGAAUAAUAAAAAUUUGAUAGUUUAAAAUUAAUUAUGGGUUCAAAUUGCAAGUAAUAAAAUAUUUGAAUUUUAUAAUGCAAGACUUUUUGUUAUAUACUUAACACAGGUGUAACAAAAGAACUGAUUUAAAUAAUAGUUAAAAUUUGAAGACGAAUUAAGCUAAAUUUAGUUACCUCUGAUGUAAAUUACUCAAAGAUUAAAAAAAUUAUUAAUAUUUUUUUGAGAUAAAUUUUUCAUUGAUUUAAGCAAUUAUAUACGGUAAAUUAAAAUAAAAAAUGUUUCUUAUUUUAGUAUUUGGCACAAGAAUAAAUUAUAUUUCUCUAUAGAUUGUUUAAGUUAUCGUAUGAAUUUGUUUUUUUUUAGAAUAUUAAAUUGAACGUGAGUAUUUUUAUGAUAUUUUAAAUUUGACACUUGCAAUUAUUUAAAAAGUGAAAUGGAAAUUAAAAUUAUGUUUCUCCUCUUAUUUAAGUUGAUAACUUGUAAAAAAUACAAAAUACGAUACCAAUUUUUGUAGAAAAAAGUUAAUAUUCUUUUUCACACUUCUUUUUAUAUAACUAAGUAAUUUUUAUAUGAUAAAAAAAUAAUAUUCAGAUUUAAAUACAAUUAGAAAUACAUGAUACAACAACCUUUCCAAUUGAUGACAAUUAAAUUUAGUCUUUUUUCAUAUAUAAGAGAAUAUUAUUUUGUGAAUUGAAAAGUUGAUCAAAAUUAAAUAGCUAGAUUGGAACGAGAUAAUCUUUUUUUUAUAUAGAUUUUUUUAAACUGAAAUGGUCUUUAAAGUACACCCUUUUCCUAUAAUUGAUUUAUUAAUCAAUUAUAUAUUUUUUCCUUGCUUGACUUAACUCGCAAUAAUUGUUGUCAAUGACGAACUUGAUAUGAAGGUAAUGGAGUGACCUAUGGUUAAAGUUGAAGAAGUCAGACCAUAACAUGGCUGGACUUUGUGGAGUGCCCAAAGGUUCAAGAUCAACAAAUGGAAAACCUUGAGAUGGACUUGAUGGUGUGAGCUUUGGUUUAGAAGACAAAUUUUCUUUUACAUUAUUUUUAGUUUGAAUAUUGAAAAUUUGAUAAUUUAAUAUUAAUUAAGGGUUGGAAUAUCAUGAAAUAGAAGACUUGAUUUUUUCUUUUUUUAAAAAUAUUGGACUUUUACUGUUUUCGUAACAAAAGUUUAACGAAAGGAUUGAUUAAAUAAUAGUUAAAAUUCAAAGUUUAAUGAUACCAAAUUUUCAUUUAAGCAGUUCUAUAGGGUAAAUUAAAAUAAAGUGAUUCUUAUUUAUUUUUGUAAAAAAAAAGCUGUACCAAAAAGAAUGUUAUUUAUUUUAGUAUUGAGCACAAGAAUUAAUCAUAUUUCUUUGUUAUUAAUUUUUUUUAUGAAUUUAGUGUACAUAGGAAUUUUAAAAAAAGAGAUAGAUACAGUAAAUGCAUAAUUUUUCGUAUUCUAAGAAUUAAUUCGGGAGAAUUGGAUAAUUAAGUCGAUAAUUUAAAAAAGCCAGCGUAAAAAAAGAAGUGAAUUAAAAUGUUAAAAAAAUAUUUUAGUAUUUGUCACAAUAAUAAAAAAACGUAAAAAAUAAUGAAAGUGAAAAAAAAGGCUUAAAAUAUAAUUGUUGUCUUUUUUUAAUAUGUUAUUUUAGUUUUUUUAUUUUUAAUUGAAAUAUUUUAUCUCUUAUUUUUAAAAAAUCUUGUAAUUUUAGUCUUUUUAUUUUUCAAUUGAGAUAUUUUUAAAAAAUAUGUCAUUUUAGUCCAUUUGAUCAAAUUCUUGUUUUUAAUUAGGAUAUUUUGUCCUUUAAAAGUUAUUUUGAAGAAACCAAGAAAUACAAUAAAUUUUAUUGAUUUUAAUAAAAUAAUUAUUUCCUAUUCUAAGAAUUAAGUCAGAGAAUUGGAUAAUAAAGUCAAUAAUUAAAAAAAGGAAACGCCAAAAAAAAAAAAAAAGACACUUGCAUCAGUAUAAAGGAAACCGUUCUAAGAAGUGAAUUAAAAUAUUAAAAAAAUAUUUUAGUAUUUGGCACAAUAAUAAAAAAGGUAAAAAAUAAUGAAAGUGAAGAAAAAAACAGGCAGGGCAGCAGUAUAAAUAAUAGAAGUUUGAUGAUUUAUAUGCAGAAGCAACAACUACACUUGUUUUCUAUAUAUUCUUGUGUGAUCAUGAAUUCCUCCUCCAUUUAUAUUCUUGUCUUUGUCCAGCUUUGGUUGUUAAGCUUACCAUGCAGAGAGAGUGUGUGCAUCCCAAGUGAGCGUGAGACACUUUUGAAGUUUAAGAAUAAUCUCAAUGAUUCUUCAAAAUCUUGACUUGUCUGGAAAUUCAUUCUCAUCUUCUAUACCUGAUUGCCUAUACGGUCUUCAUCGUCUCAAGUCUUUGGAAAUUCAUUCCAGCAACUUGCAUGGGACUAUUUCUGAUGCCCUGGGAAAUUUGACUUCUCUUGUUGAACUUCAUUUGUCAAACAAUCAACUUGAAGGAACCAUUCCAACUUCUUUGGGAAAUUUGACUUCUCUUUUUGCACUUUAUUUGUCAUAUAAUCAACUUGAAGGAACAAUUCCGACUUUUUUGGGAAAUCUCCGCAACUCAAGGGAGAUAGAUUUAACAAUUCUCAAUCUCUCUAUUAAUAAAUUCAGUGGAAAUCCAUUUGAAAGUCUUGGAUCACUCUCUAAAUUGUCAUCUCUUUGGAUUGAUGGCAAUAAUUUUCAAGGAGUUGUCAAGGAAGAUGAUCUCGCAAAUCUUACAAGCUUGACAGUGUUUGAUGCAUCAGGGAACAAUUUCACUUUAAAAGUGGGUCCUAAUUGGAUUCCUAAUUUUCAACUUACCUUUUUGGAUGUGACAUCAUGGCAGAUAGGUCCCAACUUUCCAUCGUGGAUUCAGUCACAAAACAAACUUCUAUAUGUUGGACUGUCUAACACAGGGAUUUUAGAUUCUAUUCCCACUUGGUUCUGGGAAGCACAUUCUCAGCUUUUGUAUUUAAACCUCUCUCAUAAUCAUAUCCAUGGUGAGCUUGUGACUACAAUAAAAAAUCCAAUAUCUAUCCAAACUGUUGAUCUAAGCACAAAUCACUUAUGUGGUAAAUUACCCUAUCUUUCAAAUGAUGUGUAUGACUUAGACCUUUCAACCAAUUCAUUCUCUGAAUCCAUGCAAGAUUUUUUAUGUAACAAUCAGGACAAGCCAAUGCAAUUAGAAUUUCUCAAUCUUGCAUCAAAUAAUCUGUCAGGAGAAAUACCUGAUUGUUGGAUUAAUUGGCCAUUUCUAGUGAAAGUGAAUUUACAAAGCAACCAUUUUGUUGGGAACAUCCCCCCAUCCAUGGGUUCCUUGGCAGACCUGCAGUCUUUACAAAUUCGUAACAACACACUCUCCGGAAUAUUUCCUACCAGUUUGAAGAAGACUGGCCAAUUGAUAUCCUUGGAUCUUGGAGAAAAUAAUCUUUCAGGAUGUAUUCCAACAUGGGUUGGAGAAAAGCUCUCAAAUAUGAAAAUCCUCCGCCUUCGAUCAAACAGUUUUUCCGGUCACAUUCCUAAUGAAAUAUGUCAGAUGAGUCUUCUUCAGGUUUUAGACCUUGCAAAAAAUAAUUUUUCUGGCAAUAUACCCAGCUGUUUCCGUAACUUGAGUGCCAUGACACUAGUGAACCGGAGUACACAUCCCGGUAUCUAUUCUCAAGCACCAAAUGAUACACAAUUCUCUUCGGUAUCAGGUAUAGUUAGUGUGCUACUAUGGCUAAAAGGAAGAGGAGAUGAGUAUGGAAACAUUCUGGGUUUGGUAACAAGUAUUGAUCUGUCAAGUAACAAAUUAUUAGGAAAAAUUCCUAGAGAAAUCACAGAUCUAAAUGGAUUGAACUUUUUGAACUUGUCCCACAACCAAUUGAUUGGUCCUAUUCCAGAAGGUAUUGGUAAUAUGGGAUCGUUACAAACCAUUGAUUUUUCGAGGAAUCAAAUUUCUGGUGAAAUCCCUCCAACCAUUUCUAAUUUGAGCUUUUUGAGCAUGCUAGACGUGUCUUAUAAUCAUUUGAAGGGAAAAAUUCCAACAGGAACUCAAUUGCAAACCUUUGAUGCCUCCAGCUUUAUUGGCAACAAUCUAUGUGGUCCACCACUGCCCAUAAACUGCAGCUCCAAUGGGAAAACUCAUAGUUAUGAAGGAAGUCAUGGGCAUGGAGUGAAUUGGUUUUUUGUUAGUGCGACAAUUGGAUUUAUUCUGGGAUUCUGGAUAGUGAUUGCUCCUUUGCUGAUUUGUAGAUCAUGGCGGUAUGCCUAUUUUCAUUUCCUUGAUCAUGUGUGGUUCAAACUUCAAUCUUUUCGCUCAGGUAUUAUCAUUGUUUAGUGUUGCUUAGAAUACACCGAUGUUAUCAUUGUAUUGGCAGGUUGAUUAAUUUGUAGUCAUUACUAUCUUUUUUUUUUUUUUUCAAAUUUGAGAGCCUUAUUUAAAUUCUGUUUUUGGAUGUAAAGAGGGAGAGUAGCUGAACGUAAAGAGGGGAAGGAUAGGAGGUGUGGGGAAAUGAAACUAAGGAUAACCAAGUAAUUUCAAAUGCUUUGGUAGUCUCAAUAGCAUUUUUGGUAGUGACAAUAGUAGCCCAUAUAUAUAUAAAUGAUUAUAUGUGUGAUACAACAAAAUGCAGGAUAGAUAAAACAACCCAUACCAACUAUACAAAUUACAAGUUAAUUAUUACUUUUACAUAUUUUGAUGUACAAUAAACAGCACCAACACAAAAAUGUUAUAUUUACUAGUAGCAGUAGUAAUUAACUAGUUUUUUAUAUAUAAAAGUGGUAAUUAACAACUCUUUCAUCACACAUAUGGACCCCUCCAAAUACAAUCUUUUUUUUUUUCACAGUAAAGGGAAUCUGCCGUCAAUUCAGUUCUCACUAUCAGAUUUAAUUAAACCACUGCUCUAACGAGGCACAUAUCAUGUUAAUAAAUAUAGUAUUUUCAAUGAAAAAUUCAAAUAAAAUAUCUCAAUAAAUAAUAUACAUGCACUUACACAUAAAAAUGUUAUUUAAACCCUGAACUGAACACACAAUGAUAUAUGAUUAUAAAUUGUCUAAUAAAUUAUAAGUUUUGUCUUUCAUGUAUGCACAGGUGUGUUUCUUCCCAAAUUGUGCAAAUGCUCGUCGACAAAUGGGUGAGAUCAAAAGCUCAGGUAUGGUGGCUCCAGGACCUGUGCACUCUCUUCAAUUCACCUCAAUUUCUCCACAACCUUUUGAUGCUAUGGAGCUCUCAGAUGAACCUGCCGUUUCUCCAUUCCCGCAAUACUAAGUAGUAGUAUUUUUCUUAAUGCUUACAAGAAAUAAUUUAAAUGAGUGUAUUUUGAUGCUUAAUGCGUGUUUAGUUUGUAAUAAGGAUGUUGCGCUACACACCAAUAUGGAAUGUGUCAUUAAUUUAUGUAUUCUGUUUUGUACAAAAUUUUAAUGCUGGAAGUGGUCUCUCGGACUCUUCCCAUUGAAAACCAGUGUAGCCAGCUUUCAUUAUUUUUGGUUAAUAUAUAUAAAUUGUUCUUUAGUACUGAUUGGUCUGAAUAGAGUGACAGAUUCUAACUCUUUAAAUGAAUGGUUAAGAAUUUGAAUUUUAUCAACUUUUAGUUCUUCAUCCUUCUACGAAUUUUAUUAUUAGUAUCUCAAUUAUCUUUUGGGCGGUCUUAAUCUAUAUUUCUGUUUGUCAUUGCUUAGUCACUUUCAUAAAAAAAAAAAAAAAAUCACUGUUAAACGAUGUAAUAAUCAUAUGAUUUCUUACUUGGGUUAUGACCUAAAAAUCAUGUGAUAAAAUUUUAAGGUAUUACAAAUAUUUUGUCAGUGUAAAACUGCUAAAUAUUUAAAAUUUUGACAAAAAAGAAGAAAAAGGAUGUAUAAUAAACAAAAUCAAUAAUUCACAAUACACAAAUUAACCUUAUAGCAUGUUAUUAUUAUAUCAAAACCUUUUUUUUUUGGUACCUUUCAAUUUGUCAUUCAAGUCUAGAAGGACCUAUGUGUGGACAUCUAAAGGACUCCAUUUAUGGGUGAAAAAUUUCAAAAUUUGUUUAUCGUACAGAGCAGGAUUUUAUAUAAAUAUACAAGUGGAGUUACUAUUAUCACUGCGUGCCAUCAAUGUUAUUCACAAUACCCACGUGGGUAGAAAAUUAGGAAAUUCCAGAACCAUUUUAUUUUUUAUGGAAAUAUAAUUUUGUUAUACAAGUAUAUAAUAGAAUCAUAUUUUUGUGACAUUGUUGGGGACAUAAGUUUUUUACUACAAAACUGUAUUUUCGUUAUUAUAAUAAAAGGGAUGUAAAGUAAAAUGCAACCGAGAUACAAUUCUAUUAUUGUUAUAAUAAAGGAGUGUAAAACAAGGUAAUGAGAAAAGGAUUUUAUUUUAAUUAUUGAAUAUACACCCAAUAUAAUCUUGAUUUCGUUUCAAUUUAAUUAUUUUACAACCCCUUUAUUCCGUGUAUAUUUUAAUAAACAAAACCAUGUUUCCAUUUAGACCAUUGUCACCCUCCAUCCCUUUCCAGUCUUUCUUCUUGCUCCCUUAACUUGCACAUCCCCUCCCCACUUCUUUCAUUUUCAGCAAGCGUCACACAAAUCUCUGCCACUCGUGGCGCAAUGCCAUCUCUACACUGUGCAGCAAUCUGACUCAAAGGAAAAAGUGGAGUCGUCAUCAUCUGAAUAGCUCAAGCAACUUCCAUGGUGGUGGCAUCUCACUCUCUUUACCUUCCUUAACCAGAAAUGGAAAAAUGACUAAAAAGAAAAGAAUCAUGACCGCAACACACAACUGCAAAGGACAAUAAUAGCCCCAUAUAUAAGUGAUUAUAUGUGUGAUACAACAAAAUCCAGGAUAGAUAAAACAACAAACCAUACCAAUUAUACAAAUUACAAUUAAGUUAAUUAUUAUUUUUACAUAUUUUGAUGUACAAUAAAUAGCACCAACACAACAAUGUUAUAUUUACUAAUAUAUUUUUUAAUAUUAACUAUUUUAAUACAAUUAAUACUGUUAUUUGAACAACAUAGACAUUAUCUUCAUUUUCUUUCCUUCACCGUCUUCACCCAUCUUUCUUUGUUAUAAAAAAUGUAACAAUUACAGUAAAAGUUAAUUUCUUAAGAAACAUGCUUCAUUUAGCUUAUUUUAAAAAUUAAUGUAAUAACAUUUUUAUCAGUUGUAAAUAAAGAAGAGUAUUUAUUCUAAAAUGAAUUAUAUAAACAUACACUUAGUAUUGGAUAUGACUUUACACUCCAUGUAAAACAAAUUCAAUAAACGACACCUGAAUCUUUUGUUCAUAAAUUUAGGGACAUUACAUGAAAGGUGCAUAGAUUUUUCCUAGUAGUGUCACAGUCCUACUAUUGUACGUAUCCCGCUUUUUUCUCCUUUUCAGAAUGAUAGAUACCACCACGCUUUUUGUUUCUGGUUCUAUACUCCUUUCAGGACAGAUUCCUCCAUGAACAGUGCUAUUUGGCCAAAGAGUGUUAAGUAGGUACGUAUAAAAAACAAUUCGACACGCAAAUUUCCAAACAGAGCACUAAAUUAAAUGGAAAAUAUUACAUACCAGGAUAUAACUAAAUUUGGGUUUAAACGCGGGUGAUCUACCACUGACUAAUAAGAUUUUAAAAAACAGUUUGCCAUUGCAAUUUCUACUUGAUCAUGAUUUACUAAACAUAUUCUUUGAGGAGUCUUCGUAAUUGCAACAUGACAAUAAUUAAUUAUGCCUGUAUCAAUUAUAUCUGUCCCUAGUAUUUUCCAAUACAGAAAGUCACGAGAAAACUAUAACAACUACUGUGGCCAUAGUUUAAAAGCUACAUUGACGUUCUAAAAGUAGGUGAAAGCAUGCAGGUGAUGCAACACAAACCUUGGGGUGGGGUCGAUCCAAUUCAGAUGGCUAUGACUAGGAGGAUGGUCUAGCUAUAGGCCCAAAAUGUUUGAACUUUGAAUCUACAAUAUUUGGGCAUAUAUAUGUGUACUCUUCCAAAACAAAACAAUUAUUUUAUAUUUUUAUCAUGUAAUAUUCAUCUCUCUUUUAAACUAUUAAUACAUAUACCUUGAGUGAGUUUAUCAGAUGUGCAUCAAGCAUUUUUUUUUUUCUGUGGCCGUGCAAGAUCUUUUACAGUUGCUGAUGUGUGUAAUUAUAACCACCGCCAUGAUUGGUAUGAGCCUCUAUCUAAUGUUAAAGUAAAUCUUUUCUGCCUUUGAUGAGUGUUUAAUUGACUCAAUAUAAUUGUUGUAGAUAUAAACAAUUGUACUUCAUUAUAAAGAGUUUUUAUCUGCAAGUAACACGUUUAAUCGUAAAGUAAAUAGUAUAUACGUACUCCGAAUAAUGGUGGAAACAAAAUUAACAAUGAUCGACAUGGUAGUUACCGGACUAAUAAUUUAAUAGUAUGAAUAACACAACAAUUGAUUCUGGGGGAAAUAAAAUAAAGUGAAAAAACUUGUGUAAAAGACAGAUACACUUUGAUAAGGGAAUCUAAAUUGUUUAACAAAACAUGAAACCAUAUUCGACUUAGCUGGAAUUAUGGUUAGAGUAACAUGCAAGUAACUUUGUUACUUUGAUUUUGAUGUUACUCCACACUGGAAAAAUGAUAUAAUAACAUAACAAGCAUAAUUAAUUAGAUUUAUUUAUUUUACACAAAGAAUCAAUUUUUAAUUUUGUUAUAUGUUGUAAUAUAUAAUUUAUAAUAUCAAGAGUCUAAUCCAUUUGAUUCAACAGACUAUACGUGAGCUGUUAGAAUCAAAAAUUUAAAAUUAAUUUUAUUCAUUGAAAAAUCAUUGAACCCUAAUCAAUGAGGUUUAAUCGUUAGUGGAAGCAGAGAAUGGAGAAUGGAGACACAUGAGAUGAUGCAAGGAACAAAAGUUUAUGCAAGUGCUAUCAACCGAGUGUCUUUAGUGUCGUGAAGACCCGGUUUCUAACUACAUUAUUUAUUAAUUAAUUCAUUUUCAAAAAGUGCCUCAUAAAAACACCCUUUUUGUGGUAAUUUGAUUUUUAAAAUAAUAAUAAUGACAUGAUAACUUUAGAAGAAAAAGAAGUACCAAUUUUUUUUUUUUGUUUUCAUCAACUGGUUUGCGUGGAGCCAUUUUUCCACUCUGUGACUGUCUGACCCGGGUGCUUUUGAAACAGGUUUUGCUUUGCUUCUUUGGCACUCUGCAACCUUGUGUACUACCAAAGCCAUUUGCUGCCAUUUUUCACAUCCAUAAUCUUUCAGUGAUUUUCUUGUCUCAAAACAAAAUCCUUUGAACAAUACUAAGACUCUAAGCAGAAACACACACACACAAUUUUAUUUUUUUUGGAAGCUCAAUGUUACUACUAUCUAUCUACCCUUCUCACAAUCACAAAGUCAAUGCUCCCACUUAACUGUUUUCCUACUCCAAAAGUGUUAAAUCCUCUCAUGUUAUUGUACCCCUAGUAGUUAUUUGUUUCUGACUGAGUCUCUUUAGUGUCCAAUUUGCUGAUGUGAAGGGUAGAAGGACCCAAUGACAAUGUCAUCAAAUUUGAAAAGAAAUAACUAUAAAAAAACAAAAAAAAACAUAGACCAAAACACUAUUAAACACUAAAUGAAAUUAAAUAUGUUUUUAUCCUUAAUAAAUACUCAAAUUUUAUGUUUAUUUUCUAAUAAAUUAUUAUUUUACGUCGAGAUCCUAAUAAACUAAUACUAAAUGAAAUUAAAUAUUGAUAUUAUUGUUGUUCUUCUACCUCCAACGUUGGUUGGCUCGAUAUAUGUGUGUGCUUAUUUUAACGUUAUUAGAUGCUACUUGUUUAUUUCGUACGUUAUUGUUGUCUGAAGCAUGGACACGUUGUGGAAUUCCUUAGAAAUUGUUAGGAAUGGUGUGUGAGAAUUCCCUCGGCCUGAGGCAUACGCAUCGUUGAGGACACGACAAAAUUAACACAUUGUCAUUUCGUCGCUUAGCCAACUAUAUUCGUGUGGCCAUUAAAAACGUUUCUCACUUACUCUUUUACCCAUUAAUUAUUCACAAGUUAAAGUCGCACGCAGUAAGUUGCUACCGACAAAUAUAUUCAGAGUUAUGAUAUUUAGACAUUCAGGUUUAUUGUAAAAUUAAGGUUAUAGUUAUCAAAAUCUUGCCCAUAACUUAGUAUUUCUAUGUUGUGGAAAUGAUGCUACCUUGGACAUUGUCUUCCCUGAUUGGUCCUUCUGGGGAUGGUAAGCUACGUACUAAGCCAACUUCACUCCUUUUUUCUUCUUCCUACACUUCAAUAAUAUAUAUCUCGAUCUGCCUAUUCUUCUUGUAAAUUUUGAAUUAGAUAAUCCAUAAUGUUAAAAAUUAACUUAGUGCAAUUUUUGUUGAACAUGUUUGUAUUUUGAAAUUAUAUUUUAAAACGGAAAAUUGAAAAAUCACAAUCAGCCCUAACGGGACCUUAAUUUUUAAACAAGUAAAAAGUAUUGCAUGUGUGGUGCACAGGGCAGAGAUUAAUAUAAAGCCAUGGCAUAUUUUGUUGGGAGAGUUGAAAGAAGGCACUACGAGGAUACCAUGGCUGAACAGAGAGCCUUAUGCUUACUGGAAAGGUAAUCCAGCUGUUGCUCAAACCAGAUAAUAUCUCAUGGAAUGCAAUGUUUCUGAAAAUCAAGAUUGGAAUGCUCGUUUAUUGGCCCAGGUAUCACACUUCUUAUUAGUUUUGUUUGAUUACACUAGCUUAUUGAAAGUAGUUUUAUUAUUUGGAUAUGAAAAAAUUAAUUUUGUAUGUAAUAUUUCUUAUAAGCAAAAGUUUCAUUAUAUAAAAUUGGCUUAAGCACAUGGUGUGCAGAAACUAGAAAUAACAGGCAAAUUCAAGCAACACCAUCCAGUAGCAAUAUUGUGUAUAACAUUAUACACUUUUUUAACUUUUAAUCUUUUAUUAAUACACAUGAAAUGAAAUGUUAAUUAGGGAGUGGAAAGGGUUAGCAGUACCUCAUGUAAAGGAAGGUUCAUUCCAACUUCAGAUGAAGUUAAACGCAAAUUGGCAAAUCGUCGUAAAUUUCUUUCAGCUAUACUUGGAAGGAUAUACCCAUCUAUUUAAUGAAAUGUAAAUUAGCAACACAAAAUAACUAUGAAAAGUCCAGCACAGACAUAGCACAGCUCAAAUUUAUAAUUCAAAUCACUAAGAAAUCAUUACAUGACCAAUGAACAAAAUAGUCUUUACUUAGUAGUAAGUGCUCACAGUUGUGCACCCAGGCCACCCCCAAACCACAAAAUAAAUUAGUUGUUAAGACAUGUUACUAUAAUAAAUUAUUCCACUGGAGGUAUGAAUUGUUCUAUUAGAAUAUGUCAAAGAAGACGAAGAACCUGUUUUCUCUGAAGGCCACUCAAAGAAUCCAACACAUAUCUGCUGGAGUUUAGUACGUUGAAACGGAUAUUGAGCAAGACCCCUAUAGAGAUGAGUAAAUUUUAAGUAGCUGACAACAGUGCUAUACAAUUUAUAUGCCAGAUCUAAUUCAUCAGGUUACAUUAAAAAUAAAAUUCCAAUUAAGAAUCUCAGAAGCUUAAUUAAAUUUUAACAAAACAUGUGCUAUCAGUAACUGUUUCAAAUGGACUUCAUAUCUGUUUUCAGAAAAUAACAUUUAUACCUGAUCAUUAGUCAGUAUUAAGAACCAUAACAGAAAGGCAUGACCUUUCUUGGCUAGAAAGAGAAUGAGAUGCGUUAACAAUACCAGACGUAAAUUGACUCAGUUUUCGCAUGUUCGGAUUAGUGAGUAUAUUGAAUAUAUUUCAAUCAGUAUUAAGAAUCAAUCUUUAUGAGUGGAAACCAUGAAUAAAAAAGACAAACCUACUUGUGCACAAUAUCUGAAUCUGCUUGGUGACAUUUUGGGUUCAUAUAAGCAUUAAUUACUUGUAAAAUGUUAUCAUCCGGCCAUAAAUCAUUCUUACCUCCUGCAUAGACAAAAGAUAGAAGCUAAGAUACAAUGUUCAAGAGACACCAACAAUCCUCCAUUUGACAAAAAUAAUUAUUAACUGCAAGUCAACAUUUGUGUACAAGUUGAUGCAGACAAUGCAUUCUAGAAGACAUAAAAAAAGCACAAAGAUAUUAGGUAUAUAAUUCCAUCCUUUGGUUUAGAAUUAGAUAUUAUAUUGGGUCCACUGUAACAUCUCUCAUUGCUUAACAAUUUACAUUUACAUGGACAGUAAUCAGUUAGUGUUAAUUUAGCUUUUUUCUAAUAUACUAAUUUAGCUGAUAUUAUAUUUUCAGAUAGCGGAUAUAAUUGGUUCAUGACAUGGUAUCAAAACAUGCAUGAUUAAUAGCAUGUUUGAAUCUAACUCCAUGAUCCACAUUGUCCAAGAAAUUUGAGUCAAAAUUUUAAAAAUGACACAAAAGCAAGUAUUUUUUGCUUCAAUUUGACGUGCAUUCACAACAAUGAACACCAAACCAAACGGGCACUAAGUGGUCUAGAGUUUGAUCAUUGUUACCCCCAUUUUUCUAAUAAAAAGUAGAAUUUCAAAACAAGGUAGGUGAGCAUUUACAUUAUUUAUGCUUCAAUCCAAAAGGUUUUGGUGUUUUACUAGUGGAAAGGGACAUGUAAGAGACUCAAUAAUUCACACCUUAAAGUUUGCAUUUAUUAUGUACAAAUACAGUUAAUAACCUAUAAAUCAAAUCCUGAUACGUUUGUUGACAAAAUUCUUUUAAAAACAUUAAAACCUCUCUUCUAUGUCAAAUAUUAAGUGUAUUAUUACAUAAUUUGGACAGAUAAUAUGUCCCUAAUUCUCUGAAAAGUUUACUUGUAUAGUAACACUAGAGCAGUGCCAUAAACUGUUUUCUAGUUUGAGAAGGAAACCUGUCAGAAAAAAUAAUCAACUGCAACUUUCAAUUCAAGUAAUGUGAAUUGAAUACUCCGAAGAGGGUAAUAUCCCCACACUUACAAGUUACAAUGACAAAUGUUGAACAUUUUUCAUGUGACAUACAAACAUUUACCCCCUUAACUAAAAAAAAAAAAGACUAUAAAAAAUAUCAAAUUAAAUUGUAGUGAAAAAUGAAACUAUUAGUUUUAAUUAAAGAAAAUACUACUUAUUUAUUCCUUCCAAUAAUCAAAUAUUUUCUCAUUACCAACUUGUCUCAUUCAUCUCUUAUUUACUACUAAUUGUUACUUGUAGUUAAGUGUGUUAGAUUCAUGGGUUAACAAUGAGUCGUGUAUGUAAUUAAUAAUCAUUAAUGUCAUAUUUUUUUAUCAUUUGAAGUGGAGUAUUCAUUUUUUCUCUUAAUAUUAUUUUAUCCUUCACAAAAUUCAAAUAAGAUAUUUUAUUUGAGAGGAUGAAUUCAGAACCACUCAAACUAAUGAGUUAAGGACUCUUAUUGGUUAUUAACAUCGAAUUAAAACUAGUUUUAUGUAUUUUGUUUUUAUAAAUUAAAGACUAAUACUUGCUUAUUGUCAUUAUUCAAAAAAGAAAAAAGGUUAAAAAGAAAAGAAAAGUGAGUGGGAAGGACACACUCGAGUCGAGCGGGAGUCAAAGCUGGAAGUCCAAAGUUUCUGGAACUCAAACUAGUAGUGUGGGUGUGGAACAGGACAAGGGGGUUUCUGUGAAGGACUAUUUGGUGGACAAACUGAGGCCUGGUGAUGAAGACAGGGCUCUCUCUGAAGUGAUAUCAGAGACUCUGCACAAGAAGGAACUGCCCCCAGUGGAAGUUACUGAAGAAGGUGUGAGAAAGGUGGUUUCUGAUGCUGUGCAUAAGAGAGACGAUGAUCCUGAGGGAAAAAUGGAACAUCAAAGAAUACUGGGAAAGGUAACUGAGUCAGAGGAAGUGAAGAGAAGGUUAGGAGGUGAAAGUGUGGUGACAGAGAAAAAGUACCAAGAGAUGUAUGUGAAUAGUCCGGGGAAAGGUGUGGUUGAUAAGCUUAAAGGUAUGGUUGGGACAUGGUUUACCAACCCAGCAGAGAACGAAUCUGGAAACAGUCUCUUUGCAAUGAAUAGUAGCUCUAGUUGUCUCCAUGAGGUUUCUCUUGUUCGCAUAGCGAAGAGCCUCUCGGCAAUGGGAUAUGCUAGUUUUUAUUUUUAUUCUUUUACCAUACUUCUCUGACUAAUUCUUUUGUUACUCUUCACAUUCUGCUUGAGUUUUGCAGCUAGACAAAGAUAUUUUGUAUCGAUAUUAAAAUUUAUUAUCUCUCUAUUUGUUUAUUAUAUUUGCCUUGUAACAGUUUUUCGAUUUUCUUAUCUUGGAAGAAGUGUUUUGAGAAACAAACGAAAUUAUGAUUAUGUAUGUUUCUGUUAGUCUUAAGACUUGAUUCCAAGAUGAAUCGCAGUUAUUUGUUUACUUGUUUUGGUCAUGCUUACAUAUUUUUCUAUAUGUUUUUUUUUUCAUUUUGUAAGAACUGUUUAAAAAAAAGUGGAGUAUUUUUUAUCCUAGUGGUUUUAGACUUCAGUCCAAGAUGAGUUACAAUUUUUUUUUUUUACUUUAUUUUGGGUAUGCUAUUUUUUACUGAAGCAAAGUGCCACAUUAAUUUUGAAUUUGUGGUUUGCAUGGGCCGAAGAUUCAUCUAUGAAUUAUGAGGCAGGAAGGGCAGAAGUGGAACAAGUUAACCAAGGUGCAGCAGGUGAAAGAAGGCAGCAGGAGUCAUCUAAUUGAAGAAGUGCUUUGAAGGAGUCUUUGCUUUGGGUGAUUGUGUAGAUUUUCUUAAAAGCUGUUUCAAUAUCUGUGUGUCUAGUUCUUUGUUGGAAGAAAGUUAGGAUGUUCAAGUCACAGUAAACUAAAAAUUUGUGUUUUUUUUUAAUGUUUAUGUAAAUAUCCAAUUUUAUUCGGGUUUAUUUUUAUAUUUUAUAUAAAAAUAUUUAAAAUAUUUUUUGAGAAAAAGAAAAGAGAAAAAUUAUAGAAGAUUUGACAGUUACAAGAAGACUUGGCAUCAGAAAACUGUAGUAAUGGUGAUUCAAUUGAGAAAAAAAAUAUUACUAAAAGAUAAGAUCAUUUAAAAUAUUUUUGAGAAAAAAGAAAAAAAAGAAAAAUUAUAGAAGAUUCUUUUAAAUAAAAAUAAUUAAAAUAUUUUAGAGAGAGAAAAAAGAAAAAUCAUAGAGGAUCUGAAAGUUACAAAAUUGAUCAUCAGAAAACUGGAGUAAUGGUGAUUCAAUUGAGCAAAAUAUAAAAUAUUAGUAAAAGAUAACGUCAUUGAAGUUGUAAGUCUAAAGACAAGGAGAUCGUGGUAUAAUGGAAUCCUAAGUUGUUGUUGGAUUUUAAAAGAAGAGACGCACUAGCAUACAAGGAGAAUUCUGUGAAGGGAAACCCAUAGAAAGAUUGUUUUUUCGCAAAUUUUUCAAUGGAUGAUUAUGAUGCUAUAAGAUCUGGUCUUUAUUCUUUUUGCGCUCUAUAAGAUCAGGUUUGUUUGUUUUUUUUUUCUUUUCUCUCGUUCAUUUGUUGUUAUGUUUGGCUUUUUUUAUUUAAUUUUUGGUUUCAUGAAUUCGUGUAUGUAUGCUAUCCAAAUGUUUGUUUUUUGAAUAAAAUAAGUAUACACAUUUCGACCGCAUGUUUACAUUCAUAUUGUGGGUUAAAAAGCAUAUUUUUUACUUGCUUAUUGGUCCUGAUAAAUUUCUGUAUAUAAAACAGUAAGAUCGAGUGUCGAGUUUACAAGGACUUUAACUGUAUCCAGAGUUUGUAUAUGUUCAAUUUUAAGUAAUCAAUAAAUUAAAAUUGAUAUUUGUCAAAUAAUGAUAUGGAAUAUAAAAUUUGACAUAAAUGAAGAUAAUUAAGCAUAGUACAUUAAAGAUAUAGAAUACAAACACUCAGAGGUGGGUUGUCAGUUGAAGUAGAAUUACAGAAUAUGUUGAGACUCAACCUAUCAAAAUUACUCUUGAUGCAACAGUAAGGGUUUUUUACUAUUUAACGUUAUUUUGAUUAUUACCUUCAUCCACUAACAUACCCUAAUCAUGAUUUCUCAUGUGAAAGAGUUUAAAUUACCUAAUUUCACUCCUAAUCCCUUAAGAGCUAUAUGAAAUAAUUUGCUUUAAGAAUAAAGAUGUAUAAUAAAUAAGGCAAAAUAAUAUCAUUCUAUUCCUAAACAUGGAUUACCUAGAUGUUCUUUUCAAGUUCAUAGGAAAUAAACAUUUUCCAAUGCAUAAACCCUAUAACAGUACACGAGAAUAGGUAAUCAAGCUAUAAACAUGAUAUUAAGCACAAAAAAGACAAUAAUAUUAAAAUAACAUUAAAUAAAUAGUUAGAAUAAUUACAUCAAGAGUGUUUAAUAGUUGAACUCCCAACAAUGGGUGAUUUAGCCUCUCAUUGUCAUGAGAGGGUUACUAAUACAAAAAGAAAGCAAGAGGUGUGAAAGAAAAUGGAGGAAAGGGUCCCAAGUGAAUAGAUUUUCUCUCUUCUCUCAUGUCUUAGCUUCUCAAUUUUGGUCCCACUAAAGAAUUGCUUGAUUUUUCCUUUCUUUUUCCUUUAAAAUGAAGCACAAUCAUGUUUUGUGAUAUUGAUCAUGCGCUAAGCCAGCAUGUGCUCGCGAAGCGCACAUGCAAAGUCCAUCUGACAUAAGUGAAUGUGCGUUAAGCCGCAAGGUGCAGGCUAAACCGCAUAUGCGUACUAGGCCGCCACAUACAGGCUAAGCUGUAGAUGCGCACUAAGUCGUCGUAUGCACGCUAAGCAUGACCUCCAAGUUGGCUCCUCGCGUUGAACGGUUGUUGACGCGCUGAGCGAACUGCUCCAGUUCUUCAACCAUAUUACAGACCUCCUACUGUGUAAUUCUAUAAAAAAAAUACACUAAAAAAUACUAUAAAUUUGAUAACUUUAGCAUUUAUUAGACAAAAACUCAGAAGAAGUUAAAUUUCUAAUGUUCUAACACAAAAGAAGCAAUAAAAGAGAGGAAAAUUAGAUAAUUGUUAUGUGAUUUAAACAUUUAAAUUACGUAAGCGUAUCAAUUAACAUAUUAUACGUGGAAAAAAGUUUUUUUUUAAAUAAAAACAAUGUUGUAUUUGCCCAUUUCUUCUCUCUCUUAUCUAUCUCUCCAUCACCCUUCAUCUUCCUCAUAUCCCACCACUGUGCCACUGAUGGUGUUUCAUUUUUUCCCUGGUGGUUGGACUAAAUGAAAACAAAAUAGAUGAAAGAAUAGAUAUGAACCAACAAAAUCUUAAUAUCAAAACAUUAAACCACAAAAUCGAGAAAAAAACAAUGUUUGGUUGGCUUCACUAGGUUUCAUGGCUGGAUUCACAUUUGGAUUUCAUGUGGGAUUUCACAAUGAGGUUUGUUGUGAGUUGGGGCUCAUUGGAUUUUGCAACGGUGGUGGCAGUGGAGAUCACAGUCGUUGGGUUUUAUGACCGGUUGAGAUUGAGAUCAUAGUUGGGUUCCUACCAAUAUUUCUACACUAUGAAUAAAGAUAAAGAAAUUUCUACACUAUGAAUAUUUGAAAUUAAUUAAGAUUAGCUAAAUUCAUCUAAAUAACAAUAUGCAUAAAGAUAAAGAAAAUUAAGGAAGGAAAUAAAAGAAAAAAUUAAGGGAAAAUUUUUUGUUUGGAAAUUUUAACAAACACUCGUGUAUACAAAGUAAAUUGAGAUUAAAUCAAUGAAAAAAUUGUUCGGGUUUAAUUUGAUUGGAGUUCCUAUCACGUAAUCACUACACAUUUAUAUUUAAUAAACAUUAUAUUAUCAUUAACCUACCAUAUUAUCUUAACUUUAAUUUCUUAAGUGAAGAGAGCUAAAUCCCUUGAUUAAACUAUCAAUCCUUUGGAUUAGCAUAAUCAAACAAUUUGCAUUAAGACAAAGUGUUUAUUGAUGCUCAACUAUCCCUAGACAUAAAAAUUAUUGGGUGUUCUAUCCAAUUCGCAACUUAAUGGAAUUUUUCUAAUACAAUUGAAUGAAAAAUCAUGCAAACAGGUGCAAGCCAAAAACACAUAUUAGGCAUAAAAGAGAAACAAUUACAAUGUUUUAUUGAAUAAAAAAAAAGUAGUUAUUACAUGGAAGAAGAAACAAUUACAUUAAACUCUAAGAGAAGAUUAGUUCAUGACAAUAAAAAAACAUGAGAUAUACAUCACAUAAAUGUCUUAAAAUGACACAAAAAUCUAAGAAUACAUGAUAAUUAUCGAUCAUCCAAAAUUAACUUAGGAUAAAAAAAAGUAACAUAUUAAAAUUUUAUAGGAAUGAAAAUGAUAUAUUUUAGUCUAUUUUUUUUAAUGCUUGACAUAACUCUCAACAUUUGUUGUCAGUCAUAAAAAAACUUUGACAUGGUUUUGAUGGAGUGGCCUAUGGUUCCUGUUGAAAAAGUGGGGCCUUGAUAUGGAUUUGGUGGAGUUGUCUACGGUUUGUCUAGAAGAUAAUUUUUUUUCUUUUAUUUUAUUUUGAAUAAUAAAAAUUUGAUAAUUUAAAAUUAAUUAUAAUUUCAAAUUGCAUGUAAUAGAAGCCUUGAAUUUAAUAAUGCAAGACUUUUUGUUGUUUACUUAACACACGUGUAAUGAAAGGAUUGAUUUAAUUAAUGGUUAAAUUUGAAGACUCAUUAUUAAACCAAAUUUUAUUACCUUUAUUGUAAACUAUUAAUGUUUUUUAUAAAAAUAUUAAUAUUUACUUAAAAUAAAAUUUUCAUUAAUUUAAGCAAUUCUAUAAGUUAAACAAAGAAAAUAAAAUGUUUCUUAUUUUAGUAUUUGGCACAAGAAUAAAUUACAUUUCUUUGUAGAUUAUUUAAGUUAUCGUAUGAAUUAUUUUUUAAGAAUAUUAUAUUGAAGUGAGUAUUUUUAUGAUUGCUUAAAUUUGGCACUUAAAAUUAUUUAAAAAGUAAAAUGGAAAUUAAAAUUAUGCUGCUCCUAUUAUUUAAGCUGACAACUUGUAAAGAAAAUAAAAAAUAUGAUACUAAUUUUUAUGAUAAAAAAAUAAUAAUAUUCAAUAAAUUGUAUAUUUAUUUUUCUCUUCUAUCACUAUUCUUAAAAUAUCACCACAUAAGUAAAUGAAAUUCAGGAAAAGAUUUUAAUAUAUGAAGACUUGUGGUCUAAAAAUUAAAUAGCUAGGACCAUAGAUAAAUAAUUUCAAAAACAUGCCACACUUCUAGUAGAUCAUAUCCUCUAAUUUACAUUUUAAGUUAAAUGUGAUCUACAAUACGUGAAGAAAUUUGGACCAAGACUUAUAAAAGGAAAAACUAUGAUUCAAUAAUUAUGAUAGACCAAGUUAAACAAGCAUUUUACAUUUUUUUGUAUCUCACUAAUUAAUUUUUAAUGAAAAAGAAAAUACUAUGCAGGUUAAAAUACAAUUAGAAAUAGACGACAUAACAAAUUUUCCAAUUAAUGACAAUGAAAAUUAGUCUUUUUUCAUAUAUAAGAAGAAUAUUAUUUUGUGAAUUAAAAAAUGGAUCAAAAUAAAAUAGCUAGAUAGGAACGAAAUAGUCUUUUUUUAUAUAGAUUUUUUAACCGAAAUAAUUUUUAAAUUAUAUCCUUUUUUCUAUAAUUGAUGUAUUCAUCAUUAAUUUUUUCCUUGCUUACUUAAUUCUAAACAUUUGUAGUCAAUGAUAAGAAACUUGAUAUGAAGGUAAUGUGGUGACCUAUGGUUCAAGUUGAAGAAGUGGGGGGACAUUGACAUGAACUUGGUGGAGUGGCCUAUGGGCUAUGGAUGAAGUUGAAGAAGUCAGAGACCUUAAUAUGGGUGGACUUUGUGGAGUGUCCUAAGGUUAAAGAUGAAAAAAUGGAGGACCUUGACAUGGACUUGAUGGAGUAGUCUAUGGUUCAAGUUGGAAAAGUGGGGACCUUGAUAUGGAUUUGGUGGAGUGGCCAGCGGUUUCUCUAGGAGAAAAUUUUGUUUUCAUUUCUUUUAUUUUGAAUAAUAAAAAUUUGAUAGUUUAAAAUUAAUUAUGGGUUCAAAUUGCAAGUAAUAAAAUAUUUGAAUUUUAUAAUGCAAGACUUUUUGUUAUAUACUUAACUAAGGUGUAACAAAAGAACUGAUUUAAAUAAUAGUUAAAAUUUGAAGACGAAUUAAGCUAAAUUUAGUUACCUCUGAUGUAAAUUACUCAAAGAUUAAAAAAAUUAUUAAUAUUUUUUUAAGAUAAAUUUUUCAUUGAUUUAAGCAAUUAUAUACGGUAAAUUAAAAUAAAAAAUGUUUCUUAUUUUAGUAUUUGGUACAAGAAUAAAUUAUAUUUCUCUAUAGAUUGUUUAAGUUAUCGUAUGAAUUUGUUUUUUUUAGAAUAUUAAAUUGAACGUGAGUAUUUUUAUGAUAUUUUAAAUUUGACACUUGCAAUUAUUUAAAAAGUGAAAUGGAAAUUAAAAUUAUGUUUCUCCUCUUAUUUAAGUUGAUAACUUGUAAAAAAUACAAAAUACGAUACCAAUUUUUGUAGAAAAAAAGUUAAUAUUCUUUUUCACACUUCUUUUUAUAUAACUAAGUAAUUUUUAUAUGAUAAAAAAAUAAUAUUCAGAUUUAAAUACAAUUAGAAAUACAUGAUACAACAACCUUUCCAAUUGAUGACAAUUAAAUUUAGUCUUUUUUCAUAUAUAAGAGAAUAUUAUUUUGUGAAUUGAAAAGUUGAUCAAAAUUAAAUAGCUAGAUUGGAAUGAGAUAAUCUUUUUUUUAUAUAGAUUUUUUUAAACUGAAAUGGUCUUUAAAGUACACCCUUUUCCUAUAAUUGAUUUAUUAAUCAAUUAUAUAUUUUUUCCUUGCUUGACUUAACUCGCAAUAAUUAUUGUCAAUGACGAACUUGAUAUGAAGGUAAUGGAGUGACCUAUGGUUAAAGUUGAAGAACUCAGACCAUAACAUGGCUGGACUUGGUGGAGUGCCCAAAGGUUCAAGAUCAACAAAUGGAAAACCUUGAGAUGGACUUGAUGGUGUGAGCUUUGGUUUAGAAGACAAAUUUUCUUUUACAUUAUUUUUAGUUUGAAUAUUGAAAAUUUGAUAAUUUAAUAUUAAUUAUGGAUUGGAAUAUCAUGAGAUAGAAGACUUGAUUUUUUCUUUUUUUAAAAAUAUUGGACUUUUACUGUUUUCGUAACAAAAGUUUAAUGAAAGGAUUGAUUAAAUAAUAGUUAAAAUUCAAAGUUUAAUGAUACCAAAUUUUCAUUUAAGCAGUUCUAAAGGGUAAAUUAAAAUAAAGUGAUUCUUAUUUAUUUUUGUAAAAAAAAAGCUGUACCAAAAAGAAUGUUAUUUAUUUUAGUAUUGAGCACAAGAAUUAAUCAUAUUUCAUUGUUAUUAAUUUUUUUUUUAUGAAUUUAGUGUACAUAGGAAUUUUAAAAAAAGAGAUAGAUACAGUAAAUGCAUAAUUUUUCGUAUUCUAAGAAUUAAUUCGGGAGAAUUGGAUAAUUAAGUCGAUAAUUUAAAAAAGCCAGCGUAAAAAAAGAAGUGAAUUAAAAUGUUAAAAAAAUAUUUUAGUAUUUGUCACAAUAAUAAAAAAACGUAAAAAAUAAUGAAAGUGAAAAAAAAAGGCUUAAAAUAUAAUUGUCGUCUUUUUUUAAUAUGUUAUUUUAGUUUUUUAUUUUUAAUUGAAAUAUUUUAUCUCUUAUUUUUAAAAAAUCUUGUAAUUUUAGUCUUUUUAUUUUUUAAUUGAGAUAUUUUUAAAAAAUAUGUCAUUUUAAUCCAUUUGAUCAAAUUCUUGUUUUUAAUUAGGAUAUUUUGUCCUUUAAAAGUUAUUUUGAAGAAACCAAGAAAUACAAUAAAUUUUAUUGAUUUUAAUAAAAUACUUAUUUCCUAUUCUAAGAAUUAAGUCGGAGAAUUGGAUAAUAAAGUCAAUAAUUAAAAAAAGGAAACGCCAAAAAAAAAAAAAAGAAAGACACUUGCAUCAGUAUAAAGGAAACCGUUCUAAGAAGUGAAUUAAAAUAUUAAAAAAAUAUUUUAGUAUUUGGCACAAUAAUAAAAAAGGUAAAAAAUAAUGAAAGUGAAGAAAAAAACAGGCAGGGCAGCAGUAUAAAUAAUAGAAGUUUGAUGAUUUAUAUGCAGAACCAACAACUACACUUGUUUUCUAUAUAUUCUUGUGUGAUCAUGAAUUCCUCCAUUUAUAUUCUUGUCUUUGUCCAGCUUUGGUUGUUCAGCUUACCAUGCAGAGAGAGUGUGUGCAUCCCAAGUGAGCGUGAGACACUUUUGAAGUUUAAGAAUAAUCUCAAUGAUUCUUCAAAUAGGCUUUGGUCUUGGAAUCAUAAUCAUACCAACUGUUGCCACUGGUAUGGAGUCCUCUGCCACAACGUCACUUCCCAUCUUCUUCAGCUUCACCUCAACACUUCUGAUUAUGCAAAUUGGGAAGCUUAUCGGAGAUGGAGCUUUGGUGGAGAGAUAAGUCCUUGUUUGGCUGAUUUAAAGCAUUUGAAUCACUUGAACUUGAGCGGCAAUUAUUUCCUUGGAGCAGGUAUGUCAAUUCCUUCUUUCCUUGGGACAAUGACUUCCUUGACUCACCUCGACCUCUCUCUUACUGGAUUCUAUGGGAAGAUUCCUCCUCAGAUUGGGAAUCUCUCCAAUUUGGUCUAUCUUGACCUCGGAAAUUAUUUUUCCGAACCUCUGUUUGCUGAAAAUGUAGAAUGGGUAUCAAGUAUGUGGAAGCUUGAAUAUCUUUAUUUGAGUUAUGCAAACCUAUCCAAAGCAUUUCAUUGGCUACACACUCUCCAAUCUCUUCCUUCUUUGACCCACCUAUCUUUGUCAGGAUGCACACUCCCUCACUAUAAUGAACCAUCCUUGCUCAACUUCUCAUCUCUGCAAACUCUCCAUCUUUCCUUCACUAGUUAUUCCCCUGCCAUUUCUUUUGUCCCCAAGUGGAUAUUCAAAUUGAAGAAACUUGUUUCUCUUCAAUUAUGGAGUAAUAAAUUCCAAGGUUCGAUUCCUUGUGGUAUCCGAAACCUCACACUUCUUCAAAAUCUUGACUUGUCUGGAAAUUCAUUCUCAUCUUCUAUACCUGAUUGCUUAUACGGUCUUCAUCGUCUCAAGUCUUUGGAAAUUCAUUCCAGCAACUUGCAUGGGACUAUUUCUGAUGCCCUGGGAAAUUUGACUUCUCUUGUUGAACUUGAUUUGUCAUACAAUCAACUUGAAGGAACCAUUCCAACUUCUUUGGGAAAUUUGACUUCUCUUGUUGCACUUUAUUUGAAAUAUAAUCAACUUGAAGGAACAAUUCCGACUUUUUUGGGAAAUCUCCGCAACUCAAGGGAGAUAGAUUUAACAAUUCUCAAUCUCUCUAUUAAUAAAUUCAGUGGAAAUCCAUUUGAAAGUCUUGGAUCACUCUCUAAAUUGUCAUCUCUUUGGAUUGAUGGCAAUAAUUUUCAAGGAGUUGUCAAGGAAGAUGAUCUUGCAAAUCUUACAAGCUUGACGGAUUUUGGUGCAUCGGGAAACAAUUUCACUUUAAAAGUGGGUCCCAAUUGGAUUCCUAAUUUUCAACUUACCUAUUUGGAAGUGACAUCAUGGCAGUUAGGUCCCAGCUUUCCAUUGUGGAUUCAGUCACAAAACCAACUUCAAUAUGUUGGACUAUCUAACACGGGGAUUUUAGAUUCUAUUCCCACUUGGUUCUGGGAAGCACAUUCUCAGGUUUUGUAUUUAAACCUCUCUCAUAAUCAUAUCCAUGGUGAGCUUGUGACUACAAUAAAAAAUCCAAUAUCUAUCCAAACUGUUGAUCUAAGCACAAAUCACUUAUGUGGUAAAUUACCCUAUCUUUCAAAUGAUGUGUAUGACUUAGACCUUUCAACCAAUUCAUUCUCUGAAUCCAUGCAAGAUUUUUUAUGUAACAAUCAGGACAAGCCAAUGCAAUUAGAAUUUCUCAAUCUUGCAUCAAAUAAUCUGUCAGGAGAAAUACCUGAUUGUUGGAUUAAUUGGCCAUUUCUAGUGGAAGUGAAUUUACAAAGCAACCAUUUUGUUGGGAACUUCCCCCCAUCCAUGGGUUCCUUGGCUGAGCUGCAGUCAUUAGAAAUUCGUAACAACUUGCUCUCGGGAAUAUUUCCUACCAGUUUGAAGAAGACUAGCCAAUUGAUAUCCUUGGAUCUAGGAGAAAAUAAUCUUUCAGGAUGUAUUCCAACAUGGGUUGGAGAAAAGCUCUCAAAUAUGAAAAUCCUCCGCCUUCGAUCAAACAGUUUUUCCGGUCACAUUCCAAAUGAAAUAUGUCAGAUGAGUCUUCUUCAGGUUUUAGACCUUGCAAAAAAUAGUUUGUCUGGCAAUAUACCCAGCUGUUUCCGUAACUUGAGUGCCAUGACACUAGUGAACCGGAGUACAUAUCCCCUUAUCUAUUCUCAAGCACCAAAUGAUACACGAUACUUUUCGGUAUCAGGUAUAGUUAGUGUGCUACUAUGGCUAAAAGGAAGAGGAGAUGAGUAUGGAAACAUUCUGGGUUUGGUAACAAGUAUUGAUCUGUCAAGUAACAAAUUAUUAGGAGAAAUUCCUAGAGAAAUCACAGAUCUAAAUGGAUUGAACUUUUUGAACUUGUCCCACAACCAAUUGAUUGGUCCUAUUCCAGAAGGUAUUGGUAAUAUGGGAUCGUUACAAACCAUUGAUUUUUCGAGGAAUCAAAUUUCUGGUGAAAUUCCUCCAACCAUUUCUAAUUUGAGCUUUCUGAGCAUGCUAGACGUGUCUUAUAAUCAUUUGAAGGGAAAAAUUCCAACAGGAACACAAUUGCAAACCUUUGAUGCCUCCAGCUUUAUUGGCAACAAUCUAUGUGGUCCACCACUGCCCAUAAACUGCAGCUCCAAUGGGAAAACUCAUAGUUAUGAAGGAAGUCAUGGGCAUGGAGUGAAUUGGUUUUUUGUUAGUGCGACAAUUGGAUUUGUUGUGGGACUUUGGAUAGUGAUUGCUCCUUUGCUGAUUUGUAGAUCAUGGCGGCAUGCCUAUUUUCAUUUCCUUGAUCAUGUGUGGUUCAAACUUCAAUCUUUUUACUCGUAUAGUAUCACUGUUUAGUGUUGCUUACAACCAAUGUUGUAUCAUUGUAUUGCCAGGUUGUUCAAUUUGCAUUGUAGUUAUUGCUAUCUUCUUUCUUUCUUUUUUUUUUUUUUAAAUUUGAUGUUUUGGGAUGUACAUAUUUGCAUAUUGAGCAUAUUUGUAGUUAAGAUCAACUAGUUGUUCAAUUCUGUGUAUCACAUUCUUGUUUCCAAAAAUGGGGGACUUCUUGUUUCCAAAAAUGGGGGACUAGUGGUUCAAGAAAACGUGGUUUAAUAGGAAAAAAACUUAUAUUUAAUUAGUUCUUUCGUGUUAAUUAAAGUCGUGACUCGUGGCUGCAUACAAGACUUGACUCUCCAAGCCGGCCAGGCCAAGAACUUUGAUGAGAUAUCCAUAGAUAACCAAUGAUGCUUGAGAACCAACACAAUUGUUGGAGUAAUAUUCUAAAUUACCCUAACUAUAAAAAGAGCAAAUAAUAGGUGUAACUUUUUAAGUAUUAUUCGUUUUGCUUUUUCAAGUUUUACUUUAUAUAAUAAUAAAAGUCAACUUUUAAAAUUAAUUAUCAAAUUGAAAUGUUAACUUUACUUAAAAAUUAACACAAAAAAUACUAAAGAAUUUAUCUUUAUAAAACAAUUUUUUUGAAGAGUCAAAAUGAAUUAAUAUUCAAGUGUUCCAGGAUCAGUAUUAAUUACAACCAAAACUAACGGAAUAUGAAACCUGAAACAGAAAAGUGAUAACAAAAUGGCAGGAAGUAUCUUGGCUAAUUUUUUUUUUGAUAAAUAUAUAAAUUUUUGGAAUUCAUUUUUGUAAAAAUUUAAUAAAUUUUUUAUCUUUACAAAAUUAAAAUGCAUUAUUAUUAUUUGGUGUAAAUGUAGAUUCACAUAAAUUAAAAUUAUGAAUUUUUAUAUUGAUUAUACAUAUAUAUAAUGAAUGUAAAUAUAUUAUUUUUAAAUCAGUUAUACAUAUAACUAAAUAUGUAAUAAAUAAUUUGGAAUGUUUAAAUCUUACUUCAAGAAAAAAAAAUAUAUUUUAAUUUUAUGAGAACGAAAAAUAUCUUAAAAUUUUAUCUAGAUAACUUUUCAAUAUUUUAAUAUUUAUAAGAUUAAAAAUAUAUUUUAACCUUAUAAAAAUUGAUAGUAAUCAUAAUUUUAAAAAAUUAACGUAUUAUACAAAAUGUUGAGCUAAAGAUCAAUUAAGGGUAUUUUUGAAUGGUCAUGGCCCAAGCAUUCUUUGACAUGGUCACUGCCCAUGAAAGCUACCGAUAUCGCAUCAACAUUUACUCACUUCUUCCAUUAAAAGGAACUGGAGGCUGAAAGUCGUAAUCUUCAUUUUUAUACUUUUUAGAUUAUACAAAGUUGGAAAUAUUAAAACAUUAUGUGGUGGGCGAAUUAGUGAACAAAAAUUAUAAGAUCUGCACAGCUUAUUCUAAUUUAAUUCUAAUUAAGAAAUUAAUUAUUUUCCAUUUUACUCCCUUUAUGACAAAUUUAAUUUUUACUUAUAAGCCGGUCUCUGAUAAACCUUGUACCAUAUUUUAAAGCAAACCGUAACACAUCAUAAAACUUAGUGAUAUAAUUUUAGAUGUCUUUGUGUGUGUGAGAUGUAUUGUUAAUAUUUAUAGCAUCCUUCCUCAUAAAAUUUAGGGAUAUAAAAUAAUUUGAUUUGCCUUUUAUGUGUGUGUGCGUGAUGUAAUGUUAAUGUUUACGACCAAGCUAAAAGUACAACAAAAAUAAUUUUUAUCUGAAGGUUUUCUUGUAAUAAAUAUAAUGGCCGGGUGAAAUUAGCCAUAAUCAAAUUCUAAUUUUUUUAUUUCCUUUUUAUAUACAGUGCCAUAUAUAACAGGAAACUGAAUUUGUCCGUUUUCACACUAGACUAACAGCGCCAAGAAUGAGAAUGAACAUAAUUUUCAGCAACUUUGAUCUGUAGACUCUAGGUUAGUAUUAAAAACAUAAAACAAAAUAUUAUUGUAAACAUAAAGAUGAAAAUUAUUGAGUCUAACCUUUUUUAUGAAAAGAGGAGAGUAUAAGGGAGGAAAGGAAGAACCAAUAGAAAAAUCAAUUUUUGAUUCAAAACGUCCUUAAUUGCCCCUGUAGCUCAAUGGUACGUAGAGACUUCAGUCUUGCAAACUGAAGGUCUGUAGUUGCACACUAUGGGGGCAUCCAAUAUUAUUAAUUUUUUUUUUCACUUGAUUAUGAAAAAUGAAUAAAGUACGAACUGAUUAGAUAUUUUUUUCCAACUUAUUUUCAGAGCAUAGUAAAUAAUCAAAUUCUAAUUUUUUUAUUUCCUUUUUAUAUACAGUGCCAUAUAUAACAGGAAACUGAAUUUGUCCGUUUUCACACUAGACUAACAGCGCCAAGAAUGAGAAUGAACAUAAUUUUCAGCAACUUUGAUCUGUAGACUCUAGGUUAGUAUUAAAAACAUAAAACAAAAUAUUAUUGUAAACAACAACAACAACAACGCCUUAUCCCACUAGGUGGGAUCGGCUACAUGGAUCAACUUCCGCCAUAAUGUUCUAUCAAGUACCAUACUUCUAUCCAAAUCAUUAAGUUCGAGAUCCUUUUUUAUCACCUCUCUUAUAGUCUUUUUGGGUCUUCCUCUGCCUCGAAUUGUUUGUCUACUCUCCAUCUGGUCUACUCUCCUCACUACAGAGUCUACCGGUCUUCUCUCUACAUGCCCAAACCACCUAAGUCUAUUUUCCACCAUCUUCUCUACAAUAGGCGCUACUUCAACCCUCUCUCUAAUAGCUUCGUUUCUAAUUUUAUCCUGUCGAGUCUUACCACACAUCUACCGCAACAUUCUCAUCUCCACUACACCUACUUUAUUCUCAUGUUGACUCUUGACCGCCCAACAUUCUGUUCCGUACAUAAAGAUGAAAAUUAUUGACUCUAACCUUUUUUAUGAAAAGAGGAGAGUAUAAGGGAGGAAAGGAAGAACCAAUAGAAAAAUCAAUUUUUGAUUCAAAACGUCCUUAAUUGCCCCUGUAGCUCAAUGGUACGUAGAGACUUCAGUCUUGCAAACUGAAGGUCUGUAGUUGCACACUAUGGGGGCAUCCAAUAUUAUUAAUUUUUUUUUCACUUGAUUAUGAAAAAUGAAUAAAGUACGAACUGAUUAGAUAUUUUUUUCCAACUUAUUUUCAGAGCAUAGUAAAUAAUUUUUUUUUAGAAUGUAAGUUGAUAAAAUUAUAUAUGAUAGAAAUAUGACACUCUUACAACAAUUCAUAUAAUUCAGUCAACGUCAAUUUAUUUAUCUAUUUCUAACCAUCAUAUCAUUUAUUAUACUUUAUUUGUAACCAAAGAUCUGGUUUAAAUAAUAGUUAAAAUUUGAAGACUAAUUAAGUUAAAUUUAAUUACCUUUGAUAUAAACUACUCAAAGUUUUAAAAAAAUUCUUAAUAUUUUCUUAAAAUAAAACUUUCAUUUGAUUUAAGCAAUUCUAUACGGUAAACUAAAAGAAAAAAGUUUCCUAUUUUAGUAUUUGGCACAAGAAUAAAUUAUAUUUCUUUGUAGAUUGUUUAAGUUAUCGUAUGAAUUUAUUUUUGAGAAUAUUAUAUUGAACGUGAGUAUUUUAUGAUUGUUUAAAUUUGGCACUUGCAAUUAUUUAAAAAGUAAAAUGGAAAUAAAAAUUAUGUUUCUUCUCUUAUUUAAGUUGAUAAAUUGUAAAAAAUACAAAAUAUGAUACUGAUUUUUUUGAGAAAAAAAGUUAAUAUUCUUUUUCACACUUUUUUUAUAUAACUAAUUAAUUUUUAUAUGAUAAAAAAAAUAAUAUUCAGGUUCGAAUACAAUUAGAAAUAUAUAAUACAACAACCUUUCCAAUUGAUGACAAUUAAAUCUAAUCUUUUUCUCAUAUAUAAGAGAAUAUUAUUUUGUGAAUUGAAAAAUUGAUCAAAAUUAAAUAGGUAGCUUGGAAUGAAAUAAUCCUUUUUUUAUAGAUUUUUUAACCGAAAUAGUCUUUAAAAUACACCCUUUUCCUAUAAUUGAUUUAUUCAUCAAUUAUAUUUUUAUUUUUCUUGCUUGACUUAACUCGCAACAUUUAUUGUCAAUGAGAGGGAACUUGAUAGAAAGGUAAUGCAGUGACCUAUGAUUAAAGUUGAAGAAGUCAGACCAUAACAUGGCUGGACUUUGUGGAGUGUUCAAAGGUUCAAGAUGAACAAAUGGAAAACCUUGAGAUGGACUUGAUGGUGUGGGCUAUGGUUUAGAAGACAAUUUUCUUUUACAUUAUUUUUAGUUUGAAUAUUGAAAAUUUGAUAAUUUAAUAUUAAUUAUAGGUUGGGAUAUGAUGAAAUAGAAGACUUAAUUUUUUUUAAAAAAAAAAUGUUGGACUUUUGUACGUAACAAAAGUUUGAAGUUUAAUGAUACCAAAUUUUCAUUUAAUCAGUUCUAUAGGGUAAAUUAAAAUAAAAUAAUUCUUAUUUAUUUUUGAAAAAAAAACUAUACCAAAAAGAAUGUUUCUUAUUUUAGUAUUCAGCACAAGAAUAAAUCAUAUUUUAAAAAAAAAUAUUUUAGUAUUUGACACAAUAAUAAAAAAGGUAAAAAAUAAUGAAAGUGAAGAAAAAAAAAACAGGCAGGUUAGCAGUAUAAAUAAUAGAAGUUUGAUGAUUUAUAUGCAGAAGCAAGAAGUAGACUUGUUUUGUAUAUAUUCUUGUGUUGCAUGACACAUCAUGAAUUCCUCCAUUAUUUAUAUUCUUGUCUUUGUCCAGCUUUGGUUGUUUAGGUUACCAUGCAGAGAGAGUGUGUGCAUCCCAAGUGAGCGUGAGACACUUUUGAAGUUUAAGAAUAAUCUGAAUGAUCCUUCAAAUAGGCUUUGGUCUUGGAAUCAUAAUCAUACCAACUGUUGCCACUGGUAUGGAGUCCUCUGCCACAACGUCACUUCCCAUCUUCUUCAGCUUCACCUCAACUCUUCACCUUCUACUGCUUUCUAUCGUUACUAUGAUGGCUACGAUUGGGAAGGUUAUAGGGGAUUCCAGUUUGGUGGAGAGAUAAGUCCUUGUUUGGCUGAUUUAAAGCAUUUGAAUUACUUGGACUUGAGCGCCAAUGAUUUUGAAGGUAUGGCAAUUCCUUCUUUCCUUGGGACAAUGACUUCCUUGACUCACCUCGACCUCUCGUAUACUGGAUUCAUCUGGAAGAUUCCAUUUCAGAUUGGGAAUCUCUCCAAUUUGGUCUAUCUUGACCUUGGAAGUGAUUUUUUGGAGCCUCUGUUUGCUGAAAAUUUAGAAUGGGUAUCAAGUAUGUGGAAGCUUGAAUAUCUUCAUUUGAGAAAUGCAAACCUAUCCAAAGCAUUUCAUUGGCUACACACUCUCCAAUCUCUUCCUUCUUUGACCCACCUAUAUUUGUCAUACUGUACGCUCCCUCACUAUAAUGAACCAUCCUUGCUCAACUUCUCAUCUCUGCAAACUCUCCAUCUUUCCGCUACUAUUUAUUCCCCUGCCAUUUCUUUUGUCCCCAAGUGGAUAUUCAAAUUGAAGAAACUUGUUUCUCUUCAAUUUAGGGGUAAUGAAUUCCCAGGUCCGAUUCUUGGUGGUAUUCGAAACCUCACACUUCUUCAAAAUCUUGACUUGUUUAAAAAUUCAUUCUCAUCUUCUAUACCCGAUUGCUUAUACGGUCUUCAUCAUCUCAAGUUCCUGAACCUAAUGGCCAGCAACUUGCAUGGGACUAUUUCUGAUGCCCUGGGAAAUUUGACUUCUCUUGUUAGACUUGAUUUGUCAUAUAAUCAACUUCAAGGAACCAUUCCAACUUCUUUGGGUAAUCUAUGCAACUUAAGGGACAUUAAUUUCUCAAAUCUCAAACUUAACCAACAGGUUAAUGAACUUUUAGAAAUUCUAGCUCCUUGUAUUUCCCAUGGACUCACAAAUCUUGCAGUUGAGAGUUCAUGACUUUCAGGCAAUCUGACAGAUCAUAUUGGGGCAUUUAAAAAUAUUGACAUGCUACAUUUUUACGACAACUCAAUUGGUGGUGCUCUUCCUAGAUCAUUUGGAAAACUUUCAUCAUUAAGAUAUCUUGAUUUGUCCACUAACAAAUUCAGUGGAAAUCCAUUUCAAAGUCUUGGAUCACUAAAUUGUCAUUUCUUCUUAUUGAUGGCAAUAAUUUUCAAGGAGUUGUCAACGAAGAUGAUCUUGCAAAUCUUACAAGCUUGAGGGGAAUUGAUGCAUCAGGAAACAAUUUCACUUUAAAAGUGGGUCCCAAUUGGCUUCCUAAUUUUCAGCUUUCCUAUUUGGAUGUGAGAUCAUGGAAGUUAGGUCCCAGUUUUCCAUCGUGGAUUCUGUCACAAAACAAACUUCUAUAUUUAGACAUGUCUAACACAGGGAUUAUUGAUUCUAUUCCCACACAGAUGUGGGAAGCACUUUCUCAGGAUUUGUAUUUAAACCUCUCUCAUAAUCAUAUCCAUGGUGAGAUUGGGACUACAUUAAAGAAUCCAAUAUCUAUCGACAAUACUGAUCUAAGCUCAAAUCACUUGUGUGGUAAAUUACCCUAUCUUUCAAGUGAUGUGUGUCGGUUAGAUCUUUCAAGCAAUUCAUUCUCUGAAUCCAUGCAUGACUAUUUAUGUAACAAUCAGGACAAGCCAAUGCGAUUAGAAUUUCUGAAUCUUGCAUCGAAUAAUUUGUCAGGAGAGAUACCUGAUUGCUGGAUGAAUUGGACAUUUCUUGUGGAUGUAAAUUUACAAAGCAACCAUUUUGUUGGGAACUUACCCCAAUCCAUGGGUUCCUUGGCAGAGCUGCAGGCUUUACAAAUUAGUAACAACACACUCUCAGGAAUAUAUCCAACCAGUUUGAAGAAGAAUAACCAAUGGAUAUCCUUGGACCUUGGGGAAAAUUAUCUUUCAGGAACUAUUCCAUCAUGGGUUGGAGAAAAGCUCUUAAAUGUGAAAAUCCUCCGGCUUCGAUCAAACAGUUUUGCCGGCCACAUUCCAAAUGAAAUAUGUCAGAUGAGUCUUCUUCAGGUUUUAGACCUUGCACAAAACAAUUUGUCUGGCAAUAUUCUGAGCUGUUUCAGUAACUUGAGUGCCAUGACACUAAAGAACCAAAGUACAGGUCCUCGUAUCUAUUCUCUAGCACCUUUUAGUUCAAGUUAUACUUCCAGAUAUAGUAUAGUUAAUUAGUGUGCUACUAUGGCUGAAAGGAAGAGGAGAUGAGUACAAAAACUUUCUGGGUUUGGUAACAAACAUUGAUCUGUCAAGUAACAGGUUAUUAGGGGAAAUACCAAGAGAAAUCACAGAUCUAAGUGGAUUGAAUUUUUUAAACUUGUCCCACAACCAAUUGAUUGGUCCUAUUCCAGAAGGUAUUGGUAAUAUGGGAUCGUUACAGUGUAUUGAUUUUUCGAGGAAUCAACUUUCUGGUGAAAUCCCUCCAACCAUUUCACAUUUGAGCUUUCUAAGCAUGCUGGACUUGUCUUAUAAUCAUUUGAAAGGAAAAAUUCCAACAGGAACUCAAUUGCAAACCUUUGAAGCCUUCAACUUUAUUGGCAACAAUCUAUGUGGUCCACCACUGCCCAUAAAUUGCAGCUCCAAUGGGAAAACUCACAGUUAUGAAGGAAGUGAUGAGCAUGAAGUCAAUUGGUUUUUUGUCGGUGCAACAAUUGGAUUUGUUGUGGGAUUCUGGAUGGUGAUUGCUCCUUUGCUGAUUUGUAGAUCAUGGCGGUAUGCCUAUUUUCAUCUGCUUGAUCAUGUGUGGUUCAAACUUCAAUCUUUUUACUCAUGUAGUAUCAGAGUUUAGUGUUGCUUAGAAUACACCGAUGUUGUAUCAUUGUAUUGGCAGGUUGUGAUCAAUUUGUAGUCAUUGCUAUCUUCUUUUUUCAGAUUUUAGAGCCUUAUGUAAAUUCUGUUUUGGGACGUAAAGAUUUUCAUAUUGAGCAUAAUAUCGCAGAUGAAUUCUUGUUAAUUUUGUAAUUUAGAUCAACUAGAUGUAAUUCUAUGAUAAAAACAUUUGCUAAAUCCCGUAGAUUAAAAUUCAAAUAGUUAGUAAGUACUGUUGGUUAAAACCAAGUUUUGAAAUCACAUGUUAGGUAAGUUGCUUAAGUUAAUAUUGAAUGAGUUUUUUGAAACUUUAAGAAAAGUAACUUUAAAAUAAAUGUUUUUUAUAUAAGUGUUUUUUUAAGAAAUAGAUAAGAUUCGUUUCUUAAAAAAAGUAAAAAUAAUUUAGACAAACAUACCAAAAAAAAGUUACUUAUUUUAUUAAAAUAAUUAACCAUUUAUUUCAAUAAAUAAGUUUAAACAAAUUGAUGUAUUAUAUUCGCUUGAAAUCAGAUUUCAAAUAUUCAUUUGUUGUUGAGUAUUACAUCCAUUUCUAUCCAAUUAUUUGGGCUUAUAACACAUUCCUAGUAUUGGCUGCCUUUGGAGCACAAUUGAGACUUUUCUAGAGUUUCUAUUGAACAUGAUUCAGAAAGUACGCCCUUAGAGCCUUAGAAGCAAACAAAAUUUUAUGAUCAAAGUAAGCAAACCACAUGACCACAAAAUAAAUGUUUACUUCUACUAGUCAGCAUGUCUUGGAUCACAUUUUGAGCUAGCUAGUAAUCAAAUAUAUAUAUAUAUAUAUAUAUAUAUAUAUAUAUAUAUAUAUAUAUAUAUAUAUAUUCUGCAAUGUCAAUUUUUUUUUUGAACCUAUUUUUUAGUUCAACAAUUGAGGUACGACAAUUUAAAUAAUAAAUUCUUCAGCUUGUUUGUAAGCUUAAGGACAUUGAUAAUAGAAUUUCAGAAGUUUUCUCGUCUUCAUUUUAGUUCAUACCCACGUUAUUCUCUUUUCUGCAUUUAAUUUGCUUGCUGUCAAAGACUUGGCAACUUGUCAUUGUUUAAACAUUUGUUGCAUUGUUAACAUAGAUGUAUCCUAACUUGGUAAAUGUUUGUCUUAACUUACAAAUUCUUUCACAAAAAUACCUCUGAAACUUAUUCUAUUUUUUCAUAAUUAAUUUCUUAUUUCGGAAACUGCAAUACAAAUGUUUGCUGAGUAGUCAAACUACACCUUAAGUACUGUUGGGGUUUGAUCAGAACCUAGGAUCAUAGGUCGUAACACAAAUUUUAGGUUCUUAAUCAAUGUGCCGUAUAAAAAAAAAAAAUUCUAUCUUAUUUAAUAGUACUAUCUGAAAGAGGUUGUCAAUUUCUCUGUAUAUUUAAUCUUAUCCAAUUUACAGAAUAAAACACUCAUAUAUGGAAGUUUUUUGAGGAACUGCACCUCCCAAGCCAUAAGCCAUAAGCCAUAAUUCUCUCACAAUUGACAAGAUAAUCCUUUCACUCCAUCUCUCCUCUUAUUUAUAAGCAAUCUGCCAUACUUCUUCUCUACCUAAGCUCAACAAACAGGUAUCAACAAUUAACAAACUAACGAACUGACUAACUCUAAAUACUAACAGAUAUUCUUUUAAAACGUAUUAGAUGGAAUGUUACUAAUGCCUUUUAAUUAUGAGUAAUUAUCCAAUAAAUGAGUUAACUUAAAAUGGAAUAUUCUUAACACACUUUUUAAACGGUCAAAGAACAAUCAUUUAGGUAGUAUAGAAAGAGUUGGUGAGGGAUAAUUGUAGAGCAUAAUUGAGGAGGUGAUGACACAUAAGCAAAUAGUGUGGUGUGGCAAUAUAUACUUGACAUGGCAGCCACGCAGCAUAUUGUCUUGUAGCUUAAUAUUUAUAUAUUAUAAAUAGAUAGAUAGUGUAUGCAUCAAAGGUUGCUAGCAUGACAUAGUUGGUGUAGUGACAACUGACAGAGUUGGGAAGCAAAGUACAAAAGUUCAAUGUUGAGAAUUAUUGUCCACAAAUCUGCGCUCACAUGCAUCUGGUGUCAAAUACAAAGAUGACUCAACGGUACGCGUUGAAAUGUUGAAUGCUCCUUCCGAAAGUGAUCUUUAAAAAACUUAAAAUCUCAUAAACUUUUUCGAUCUCCUGUGUUCUGUCCUUUGGAAUUUCAAAAUUAGGAGGUGAAAGGACGAAAUCUGCUGUGUGUGUGAAAGUUGUUGUCAUUUCAUAACUUGUUAUGCCGAAAUUGAAAUUAUGAUAAGAUGAAUUGGAAAGAAAACAUUGAUCCACUGGAAUGUGAAAGGAAUUUAAAAAGUCCACAGGAAUUAGAAAAAAAAAUUGUAGAAGAUGUGGCCGUACAAGAGGACUUGAUCAUAAAAAAACUCAAGUAAGGGUCAUUCAACUGAGAAGAAAAAAUAAAGCGGUUGCUAAAAGAUAAAGUCAUGAAGUUACAAGCCUAAAACAAGAAAGUCAUGGUAUAAUUAAUAGAAUCAUUUGGUUACUUAGAGACCAAGUUGUUCUUGGAUUAUAAAAGAAACUCGUUACCCUCAAAGAGGGGGACGAAUAAAGAAGGAAAAUUCAGUGAAGGGGCAUGUAUUUGUUUUAUUCCAUUUUUCUGUUGUUAGAAAGUGAUGAAUUAUUUUCCUUGUAGUAUAAAAAUUCCGAGUUUAUGUUCUUUCUUAAUUUAUAUUGCUUGUUUUUAAAUAAAAAUAAUUUAAUUUUAACUCAUUCAAUUGUUUGUGACAUUAAAAGAGUAGCACUCCUACUUUUUGAUGUUGCUUAAUCAUAAAAUUUAAUUGAAUAAUCAUUAAUUUGUUAUCUUAAAAGUUCAUAGUUUUUAUUUAUAAAAAAUUGAUUCAAGUAUCAAUCAAUAACAUUACAAAUAACAAUUCUAUCUUCAAUAUUAUUGGAUUGUGAGGGUCUAAUGAAUAAUCAUUUUGCUAGCUUAAAUCCUUGUGCUACAUUUUUUCUUUUGAUAAAAAAUUAAAAAAAAAAUUCUUUAAAAAAAAUCAAAUGUGCUCUUUUUAAAAUAAAUGAAAAGAAUGUUUUGGUGUAAAAUAAAUAUAUAUAAAAUUAUAAAGAUUUUGUGCAUUUAAAUAUAGGUUCCAUUUUUUUAAUGGACACUUUAGGGUGUCAAGACCUUUCCUAAUCCACUCCCCAACCUAUUUUUUGUUCAAAGACCAUUAUUUUUUGAGGAUUUUUCAAUGUUUACGUGUGUAUUCUGGUCACGUAAACUUUUGCUUCCUAUUCUUUAGGCUUGUCAAAUAGAUAGAUUAAAUAAUUUUUUUAUUAGAUUACAGUGGAUGGAUUAUUAAAAGCAAUCCGUUAAUCAUUUAUGAUCUAUUAAAAAGUCGGAUAGUAAUUAUUUUGUUUAUCUUUUAAUUAGAAUACCAUUCUGUUAGACAAUCAGUUAAUCAAUUUAGGAUCUAUUGAGAAUACUAUAUAUUUCUGUCAACAGUUCAUAAGAAAAAAUGAUGCAGGUUUAUCUUUUAUCCUUUCCAUUAUAUUAGUUUAUCUUUUAGAAUAAUUUAUCGUUUAGUUUAUUUAUUUUUAGAUUAAUUUAUCUUUUAGUUUACUUUUUAUUCGUGAACACACAUAUUCAAAUAAAUAAAUAAUAAACUAUUCAACCUAUUCUUUAAAAAGAUAUUAUAAAAGGUAAAAAAUAAACUAAGAGAUUAAUCAUCGAUUAUAUAUCCGUUGAAUGAAAUUCAUCCAAUUCAUCUUAUUUAUAAGCCUUUCCCUUUACUUGGUCAUCCUCAUAACUCACAAGCCACGAUGGUAUUCAUCUUUCCCUUCCUUUAAUUAUGCGAUUCAUUACAAUGCAAAGUAUUUCUAGCUUUUCAUUUUCUGAUACUGCUAUAUAUUGAUAACGGGAUAUUGGAAACGAUUUUUGUUUUGGUUUUUCACCCAUGAUAUUACAUUAUUAAUGCUGUGCAUGAUUCAUAUUUUAAGGACAACACAAAAUGAUAGAGUAAACAUAAAAGUCAUUUCUUGUUGGGUUACAAAUGGGUUGGGGUUGUAUAUGUGUUUCUCUCAUAUCCUUCAGAAUUCUUGUAGUUAUUCCUAACAACAAUUAAAUUUUAUUCUUCUUUUUAGACAACUAUCUCUACUUUUUUGGAACAAAAAAUUGCAUGCAAAGUUAUUGAUAUCAGUAUUAUCUAAAAUAAAAAAAUUGAAGCAUUUGUACGUCUAACGUUUUUGUGGACAGGCACCAGGAAAAGGAAAAGAAACAUAGGGGGAAUUGGUGGUGAGGAGACAGAGGCAAAUUAUAAGAAAUGCAAAAGAUGAUAGGGACAGGAUCAGUGAGUUACCUAUUCACGUUUUCCUCAGAAUAAUAUUGGAAUUUAUGAACACAAAAGAUGUUGUUCGGCUUUGUGCUUUGUCUAAAAGUUGGAAGGAUUUUUGGAAACGUUUAACUACUCUCUCAGUUUUGAUUCUUGGGACUCAAGUAUUUUCAAUUGCCACAAGUUUGUGUUCGAGGUUUUGUCUGGUCGAGAUGGUUAAUUCCAUUCCUCUACUUAAUCUUGAGAUCAUUCUCCGCACCGACCUCGAACAACUAGAUGAUAUAUAUCCUGAAAUAUGGCGUGUCUCACAACAUCCAGCAAUUGAAAAUCUUUCUUUUUGUGAACCAUAGAUUCCAUUUGGUGUUUCCCUCUUCUAUUUUUUCUGUCCAACUAUGACAUCUCUUCGCUUUUCCCCUUCCUGAAAAUAUGCUGUGUUAAAGUCCUUUGGAUUAAUAAUUCUAACCCGGAUCUUGCUUACCCUAUUGAUGGUUACAAAAUUGUGUUUUCAACUCCGAGUCUUGGUUUUCUCAUUAUCAACAAUGUUCAUCAUGGUCACCAACUUCCCUCCACGUGUAAUCUUUCAUCUCUUGAAGUAGAUAUUAAUGUCAGUGUUUCGCCAUGUUCUCCAUUCUUUAAAAGUUUGUUCCAAGUGCUUGCUAAUGUUAACAAAUUGACACUUUCUUGGAGGACCCUAGGAUGAUGCUAUUUUUAAUUUUUACUUUGUAUGUUUUGUCUUUUUCGGUAUGUGUUUGAAAGUAUUUUUUUUCUCUACGAUUUUAAACUUAUUAUCUAUUCUAAUAAAGUGCUGAAAGUUAUAUUCCUAUUUCUUGCUUAAAUAAUUUAGUAAAUAUUUCUUUUAUUUCCCUUUCUUUCUGAUGCUCUCUUGAAAGAAACUAUAGGAUGUUAUAUAUAUUGUGGGGAGUGAAAAACACAAACUUUUCUUAUAUAUUCUUUUGAACGUUUACUUAAAAUUCUUAAGGUGAAGAUUUUUUAAAAUUGUUUAGUUUUUUAUUUCAUUUUAUUAUUAACUUAUUCCUUUUUUUUUUCGGUCCAAGAUUAACGUAUUCCCUUAUGCUCUCUUACAUUAGAUUAUAGAUUGUUACACUGUGAGUGCUCUGUUUGCUCUGUUUGUUAUAUAUGUUGUUUUUAAUUGACUUUUACGUAAGAUUAAAGUUUUUAAUUAUAAGAAACUAUUAGAGUGAAGCAGGGGAACAAAAAUCUUGCAUUGAUAUUAAGAAAUACAUUCUUUGGUGAUGCAGAAACAAUGUUGUGCCAUUUGCAGAGCAUUAUUUGAGAAAAUAGUAUCAAAUAACGACAUAAUCAAUUGGUGUCGUUUGUGUGUGUAAAAUAGAAAAGCAAGUAGCAUAGCAAGAGCAGGAGUUUGAAUAAGAAAUAAAUGUUGAGCAUGUUAAAUCAACAAAACAAAAUUGCAAAUAAUGAUUUAAGAAUAUGGCUGAAAACAAGGAUGUGAUCCAACACUAAGGUAGAAAAUAAAAGCAUAUCAGUCAAAUGGCAAGCCAGGACAGAAAAAUAUUUAUUUAGUACUUUGUAUAGACUAAUAGUGAUUAGGAAGGGAAGGUGGAAUCUGGGUUUGUGGAGUAGGUCUAAAUUCCUAAUAAUUUGCAUAUAAUAUUUCCGUUAUGUAUUUUUAAUAUUUUUUAACAUGUUUGUAAUCUUUUGUUUAUUGCAAUCAAUUACUUAUCUCAUUUUAUGCACAUGUAAGUAGUAAAUUUAUAAAAUAUUUUUGUCAAUUUUAUAAGUUAGUUGUUUUGAAGGAAAAUGAACAUUGGGGAAGUUGAAGUUUCCUUGCUGAGCUGUAGUCUUAACAAAUUCCUAACAACAAACCUACAGGAAUAUUUUCCUACCAGUUUGACGUAGAAUAACCAAUUGAUAUCCUUGGACCUUGGGAAAAAUAAUCUUUGAGUAACUAUUCCAACGUAAUGGAGUGACCUGUGGUUCAAGUUGAAGAAGUCAGACUUUAACAUGGCUAGAAUUUGUGGAUUGUCCAAAGGUUCAAGAUGAAAAAACGGAGCACCUUGAGAUGGACUUGAUGGAGUGGGCUAUGGGUUGGGAUAUCAUGAACUAGUACACUUGAUUUUUUUUUUUAAAUGUUGGACUUUUAUUGUUUACAUAACAAAAAUUUAAUGAAAGGAUUGAUUAUAAUAGUUAAAAUUUUGAAUUUUAAUGACACCAAAUUUUCAUUUUAAACAGUUCUAUAGGAUAAAUUAAAAUAUAAUGAUUCUUUUUUUAAAAAAAAAUACUGUACCAAAAAGAAUGUCUCUUAUUUUAGUAUUCAGUCCAAGAAUAAAUCAUAUAUAUUUCUUUGUUAUUAAUUUUGAAUUUUAUUUUAUGAAUUUUGUGUAUAUAUGAAUUUUAAAAAGGGAGAUAGAUAAAGUAAAUUCAAAAUUAUUUCCUAUUCUAAGAAUUAAUUAAGUCGGGAGAAUUGGAUAAUAAAGUCAAUAAUUAAAAAAAGGCAACUAAAAAAAAAGAAGAAGAAAGAAGCACUUAUACAAUUAAGCUUAAUAUGCAGAAGCAAGAAGCACUUAUACAAUUAACUUGUUUCAUAUAUGCGUUGCAUGAUCAUGAAUUCCUCCACCAUUUAUGCGUUGCAUGCUUGAAUCUCUCUUGAAAUGAGAUUUCAAAUAUUCACUUGUUGUUGGGUAAUGAAAUCCAAGGUCCGAUUCCCUGGUGGUAUUCCAAACCUCACUUUUUCAAAAUCUUAACUUGUCCAAAAGUUCAUUCUAAUAUUCUAUACCUGAUUGGUUAUACGGUCUUCGUCGUCUCAAGUAUCUGGACCUAAGGUACAGCAACUUGCAUAGGACUAUUUCUUAUGUUCUAGGAAAUUUUUCUCUUGUUGAACUUGAUUUAUCAAUCAAUCAAUCAACCUGAAGCAACCAUUCGAACUUCUUUGGGUAAUCUAUGUAACUUAAGGGAGAUUGAUUUCUCAUAUCUCAAACUCAACAACCAGAUUAAUGAUAUUUUAGAAAUUCUAGCUCCUUGUACUUCCCAUGGACUCACAACACUUUCAGGAAAUUUGACGGUUUGUUACCGUUCAGGGGCUAAUCUUUUCCAUUUUUUACCAUAUGGAAGUAUUUUUUAAAUUAUUUUCCAAAAGAAGAUAAGUUGUAUCAGUUGUUACUGAGUUAGAAGUCGUGAUAUCGAUUAUGACUUAUUAUUUUUUUCUUUUUUAACGAAAAUCAUAAAAUUAUUUAUGACUUUAAUGUCAUUUUUUUAUCUAUAACUUUAAAGUUAUUUUUUUAAAAAAAAAAUUUAUGAAUUCAAAGUUGUAAGUGUGACACCCUCUACCCAGACAUAUAUAUGAAUAAAUAAAAUAUAUAAAAAUAUCGAUAAUCAUAUUCACACGGAUAAAAGAUUCACAUUAGCUUCACUGUUAUCAAUUAAAACUUAUUAAAACAUAUUCGGCUCAAAAUAAGGCCGUCAAAAUUUACAAAAAUAUUUUGUUAAACCAGUGAGAUAAAAUAAAGUAGACUAACAUAAUGCAAUUAAUAUAAAACUUAUGUCUCACAGUCACAUCCUAUCAGUGCAUUGUGUCCCGACGUUCUUCAGCACAAGGUUUCUUAAAUCACUUCACCUAGUCAUGUGCUUCCCCGAAUACAAGGUUCAAGAUCAUCACAGGAUCCAAACACAAACAACACACAGGGAGUGAUUUAUCACAUUCCUAACUAAUAGAGAAAAAUAAAACAACAUAUAGGUAUAAAUAUUAUAUAACAAAAUACAAUUUACUUGAGCAUAACUCACAUUAUUUCACCACACGUCUCAUUCGUUUUCACAACAUUUGCAUAUUCAAUAGUCAAAACACAAUAUCAUCAAAUCAAUCAAUAUAGAACAAUACACAAGCGUUAUGCAGCAGAUACACUAAGACUCAAUCUUAUAUACAAUGUAGUACCAUGUCAGUGAAAAAUCUCGUCGCCCUUAAAGGGUCUUAACAUUAACUCAUCGCCCUUAAAGGCUCUUAACAUUAACUCAUUGUCCUUAAAGGGUCUUAUAGUCGUGUGAUUGUACAAUCUACAGUUUACAACUCAAAUGCACACAACAUCUCAAUCAUGUGCAUACUGAGUUUAUCACAUACACUCGAUCUCAAUUAUAAUGUUAUAAUAUCAAAAUAGCAUGUUGUCACACCUCAUGAAUCAUAUUCACUUUACCUAUGAACUAUGCAAUACUUGACAUGGACUAUGUGAAGUGUCCUAAGGUUCAAGAUGAAAAAAUGGAGAACCUUGACAUGGACUUCAUGGAGUAGUCUAUGGUUCAAGUUGGAAAAGUGGGGACCUUGAUAUGGAUUUGGUGGAGUGGCCAGCCGUUUGUCUAGGAGAAAAUUUUGUUUUUCAUUUCUUUUAUUUUGAAUGAUAAAAAAUUGAUAGUUUAAAAUUAAUUAUGGGUUCAAAUUGCAAGUAAUAGAAUAUUUGAAUUUUAUAAUGCAAGACUUUUUCUUAUUUACUUAACACAGGUGUAACAAAAGGAUUUGAUGUAAGCUACUCAAAUAUUAAAAGAAUUAUUAAUAUUUUCGUAAGAUAAAUUUUUCAUUGAUUUAAGAAAUUAUAUAUGGUAAACUAAAAUAAAAAAUAUUCAUUAUUUUAGUAUUUGGCAAAAGAAUAAAUUAUAUUUCUUUGUAGAUUGUUUAAGUUAUUGUAUGAAUUUGUUUUUUUUUUUAGAAUAUUAAAUUGAACAUGAGUAUUUUUAUGAUUGUUUAAAUUUGGCACUUGCAAUUAUUUAAAAAGUAAAAUGGAAAUUAAAAUUAUGUUUCUCCUCUUAUUUACAUUGAUAUCUUGUAAAAAAUACAAAAUACGAUACUGGUUUUUUUGAGAAAAAAAGUUAAUAUUCUUUUUCACACUUCUUUUUAUAUAACUAAUUAAUUUUUAUAUGAUAAAGAAAAUAAUAUUCAGGUUUGAAUACAAUUAGAAAUACAUGACACGACAAUCUUUCCAAUUGAUGACAAUUAAAUUUAGUCUUUUUUCAUAUAUAAGAGAAUAUUAUUUUGUGAAUUGAAAAAUUGAUCAAAAUUAAAUAGCUAGAUUGUAACAAGAGAAUCUUUUUUUUUAUAUAGAUUUUUGAACUGAAAUAGUCUUUAAAGUACACCAUUUUCCUAUAAUUGAUUUAUUCAUCAAUUAUAUAUUUUUUUUCUUGCUUGACGUAACUUGCAACAUUUGUUGUGAAUGACAAGGAACUUGAUAGGAAGAUAGUGCAGUGACCUACGGUUAAAGUUGAAGAAGUCAGACCAUAACAUGGAUGGACUUUGUGGAGUGUCCAAAGGGUUCAAGAUGAACAAAUGGAAAACCUCUAGAUGGACUUAUGGGGUGGGCUAUAUAUGUUUAAUUUAGAAGACAAUUUUCUUUUACAUUAUUUUUAGUUUGAAUAUUGAAAAUUUAAUAAUUUAAUAUUAACUAUGGCUUGGGAUAUCAUGAAAUAGAAGACUUGAUUUUUUUUUUUUUAAAAUUGGACUUUUAUUGUUUACGUAACAAAAGUUUAACGAAAGGAUUGAUUAAAUAAUAGUUAAAAUAUGAAGUUUAAUGACACAAAAUUUUCAUUUAAGCAGUUCUAUAGGGUAAAUUAAAAUAAAAUGAUUCUUAUUUAUUUUUGUAAAAAAACCUGUACCAAAAAGAAUGUUUCUUAUUUUAGUAUUCACCACAAGAAUAAAUCAUAUUUCUCUGUUAUUAAUUUUGAUUUCUUUUAUGAAUUUAGUGUACAUAGGAAUUUUAAAAAAGGAGAUAGAUACAGUAAAUGCAUAAUUUUUCGUAUUCUAAGAAUUAAUUCGGGAGAAUUGGAUAAUUAAGUCGAUAAUUUUAAAAAGCCAGCUUAAAAAAAGAAGUGAAUUACAAUGUUAAAAAAAUAUUUUAGUAUUUGGCACAAUAAUAAAAAAAGGCAAAAAAAUAAUGAAAGUGAAGAAAAAAAUAGGCUUAAAAUAUAAUUGUUGUCUUUUUUUUUAAUAUGUUAUUUUAUUUUUUUAUUUUUUAAUUUAAAUAUUUUAUCUCUUAUUUUUUUAAAAUCUUGUAAUUUUAGUCUUUUUAUUUUUUAAUUGAGAUAUUUUUAAAAAAAUAUGUCAUUUUAGUCCAUUUGAUCAAAUUCUUGUUUUUUAAUUAGGAUAUUUUGUCCUUUAAAAGUUAGAGACAAUAAUAUCGCUGGACUUUGUGGAGUGUCCAAAGGUUCAAGAUGAAAAAAUGAAAAACCUUGAAAUGGAUUUGAUGGAGCCGGCCAUGGUUUGUUUAGAAGAUAAUUUUCUUUUACAUUAUUUUUAGUUUGGAUAUUAAAAUUUUAAUAAUUUAAUAUUAAUUAUGGGUUGGGAUAUCAUGAAAUAGAAGACUUGAAUUUUUUUAAUAAAAUGUUGGACUUUUAUUGUUUAAUUAACAAAAUUUUACGAAAGGAUUGAUCAAAUAAUAGUUAAAGUCAAUAAUUAAAAAAGGAGAUAGAUAAAGUAAAUUCAAAAUUAUUUCCUAUUCUAAGAAUUAAGUCGGGAGAAUUGGAUAAUAAAGUCAAUAAUUAAAAAAAGGAGGCAACGUAAAAAAAGAAAAAAGAAAAGAAAGACGCUUGCAUCAGUAUAAAUAAUAGAAAGAAGUAAGUUUAAUAUGCAGAAGCAAGAAGCACUUAUACAAUUAAGCUGUUUGAUAUAUCCUUGUGUGAUCAUGAAUUCCUCCAUUUAUAUUCUUGUCUUUGUCCAGCUUUGGUUGUUCAGCUUACCAUGCAGAGAGAGUGUGUGUAUCCCAAGUGAGCGUGAGACACUUUUGAAGAUUAAGAAUAAUCUCAUAGAUCCUUCAAAUAGGCUUUGGUCUUGGAAUCAUAAUCAUACCAACUGUUGCCACUGGUAUGGAGUCCUCUGCCACAACGUCACUUCCCAUGUUCUUCAGCUUCACCUCAACACUACGUUUUCUGCUGCUUUCUAUGAUGGCUACUAUCACUUCGAUGAGGAAGCUUAUGAGAAAUCCCAGUUUGGUGGAGAGAUAAGUCCUUGUUUGGCUGAUUUAAAGCAUUUGAAUCACUUGAACUUGAGCGGCAAUUAUUUCCUUGGAGCAGGUAUGUCAAUUCCUUCUUUCCUUGGGACAAUGACUUCCUUGACUCACCUCGACCUCUCUCUUACUGGAUUCAUGGGGAAGAUUCCAUCUCAGAUUGGGAAUCUCUCCAAUUUGGUCUAUCUUGACCUCGGAGGUUAUUCUGUCGAGCCUAUGUUAGCUGAAAAUGUAGAAUGGGUAUCAAGUAUGUGGAAGCUUGAAUAUCUUCAUUUGAGUUAUGCAAACCUAUCCAAAGCAUUUCAUUGGCUACACACUCUCCAAUCUCUUCCUUCUUUGACCCACCUAGAUUUGUCAGGAUGCACACUCCCUCACUAUAAUGAACCAUCCUUGCUCAACUUCUCAUCUCUGCAAACUCUCCAUCUUUCCUUCACUAGUUUUUCCCCUGCCAUUUCUUUUGUCCCCAAGUGGAUAUUCAAAUUGAAAAAACUUGUUUCUCUUCAAUUAUGGGGUAAUGAAAUCCAAGGUCCGAUUCCUGGCGGUAUUCGAAACCUCACACUUCUUCAAAAUCUUGACUUGUCUGGAAAUUCAUUCUCAUCUUCUAUACCUGAUUGCUUAUAUGGUCUUCAUCGUCUCAAGUUCCUCAACCUAAGGGACAACCACUUGCAUGGGACUAUUUCUGAUGCCCUGGGAAAUUUGACUUCUCUUGUUGAACUUGAUUUAUCAGGUAAUCAACUUGAAGGAAACAUUCCAACUUCUUUGGGUAAUCUCUGCAACUUACGGGACAUUGAUUUCUCAAAUCUCAAACUCAACCAACAGGUUAAUGAACUUUUAGAAAUUCUUGCUCCUUGUAUUUCCCAUGGACUCACAAGACUUGCAGUUCAGAGUUCACGACUUUCAGGCCAUCUGACAGAUCAUAUUGGGGCAUUUAAAAAUAUUGACACGUUACUUUUUUCCAACAACUCAAUUGGUGGUGCUCUUCCUAGAUCAUUUGGAAAACUUUCAUCAUUAAGAUAUCUUGAUCUGUCUACUAAUAAAUUCAGUGGAAAUCCAUUUGAAAGUCUUGGAUCACUCUGUAAAUUGUCAUCUCUUUAUAUUGGUGGCAAUCUUUUUCAAACUGUUGUCAAGGAAGAUGAUCUUGCAAAUCUUACAAGCUUGAUGGAGAUUCAUGCAUCAGGGAACAAUUUCACUUUAAAAGUGGGUCCCAAUUGGCUUCCUAAUUUUCAGCUUUUCCAUUUGGAUGUGAGAUCAUGGCAGUUAGGUCCCAGCUUUCCAUCGUGGAUUAAGUCACAAAACAAACUUGAAUAUUUAGACAUGUCUAACGCAGGGAUUAUUGAUUCUAUUCCCACACAGAUGUGGGAAGCACUUCCUCAGGUUUUGUAUUUAAACCUCUCUCAUAAUCACAUCCAUGGUGAGAGUGGGACUACAUUAAAGAAUCCCAUAUCUAUCCCCGUUAUUGAUCUAAGCUCAAAUCACUUGUGUGGUAAAUUACCCUAUCUUUCAAGUGAUGUGUCUCAGUUAGAUCUUUCAAGCAAUUCAAUCUCUGAAUCCAUGAAUGACUUUUUAUGCAAUGAUCAGGACGAGCCAAUGCAAUUACAAUUUCUGAAUCUUGCAUCAAAUAAUUUGUCAGGAGAGAUACCUGAUUGCUGGAUGAAUUGGACAUUUCUUGUGAAUGUAAAUUUACAAAGCAACCAUUUUGUUGGGAACUUACCCCAAUCCAUGGGUUCCUUGGCAGAGCUGCAGUCUUUACAAAUUCGUAACAACACACUCUCAGGAAUAUUUCCAACCAGUUUGAAGAAGAAUAACCAAUUGAUAUCCUUGGACCUUGGGGAAAAUAAUCUUUCAGGAUGUAUUCCAACAUGGGUUGGAGAAAAGCUCUUAAAAGUGAAAAUCCUUCGCCUUCGAUCAAACAGUUUUGCCGGCCACAUUCCAAAUGAAAUAUGUCAGAUGAGUCAUCUUCAGGUUUUAGACCUUGCAGAAAACAAUCUGUCUGGCAAUAUACCGAGCUGUUUUUGUAACUUGAGUGCCAUGACACUAAAGAACCAAAGUACAGAUCCUUCUAUCUAUUCUGAAGCACAAUAUGUUGGUAGCUCUUACUCUUCCAUCUAUAGUAUGGUUAGUGUGCUACUAUGGCUGAAAGGAAGAGGAGAUGAGUAUAGAAACAUUCUGGGUUUGGUAACAAGCAUUGAUCUGUCAAGUAACAAAUUAUUAGGAGAAAUACCUAGAAAAAUCACAAAUCUAAAUGGAUUGAACUUUUUGAACUUGUCCCACAACCAAUUGAUUGGUCAUAUUCCACAAGGCAUUGGUAAUAUGGGAUCAUUACAAUCCAUUGAUUUUUCUAGGAAUCAACUUUCUGGUGAAAUCCCUCCAACCAUUUCAAAAUUGAGCUUUUUGAGCAUGCUAGACGUGUCUUAUAAUCAUUUGAAGGGAAAAAUUCCAACAGGAACUCAAUUGCAAACCUUUGAUGCCUCCAGCUUUAUUGGCAACAAUUUAUGUGGUCUACCACUGCCCAUAAACUGCAGCUCCAAUGGGAAAACUCAUAGUUAUGAAGGAAGUCAUGGGCAUGGAGUGAAUUGGUUUUUUGUUAGUGCGACAAUUGGAUUUGUUGUGGGAUUCUGGAUAGUGAUUGCUCCUUUACUGAUUUGUAGAUCAUGGAGGUAUGCCUAUUUUCAUUUCCUUGAUCAUGUGUGGUUCAAACUUCAAUCUUUUCGCUCAGGUAGUAUCACUGUUUAGUGUUGCUUAGAAUACUCCGAUGUUUUAUCAUUGUAUUGGCAGGUUGAUCAAUUUAUGUCAACAAAGAAAUUUAAACAAACUAAUCCAUUAUAUUUCAAUUUUCAGUAAUGUGUUAUAUUUAAUGAAUAAGAGUUGUACCGUGGGAAUUGUUGUCAUUGCAUCUAAAUACACAAGUGUAUCUAUUUUUUUUUAAGUUAUGUUUCUUUGAAAUUUAUUCAUAUGUUUGAAUCUCUCUUGAAAUGUGAUUUCAAAUAUUCCCUUGUUGUUGGGUAAUGAAAUCCAAGGUCGAUCCGAUUCCCUGGUGGUAUUCGAAACCUCACACUUCUUUAAAAUCUUGACUUGUCUCAAAAUUCAUUCUCAUAUUCUAUACUUGAUUGGUUAUACGGUCUUCAUCGUCUCAAGUAUUUGGACCUAAGGUACAGCAAUUUGCAUAGGACUAUUUAUGAUGUCUGGGGAAAUUUGACUUCUCUUGUUGAACUUGAUUUAUCAAUUAAUCAAUCUGAAGCAACCAUUCGAACUUCUUGGGGUAAUCUCAGCAACUUGGGAACUUGGGGGAGAUUGAUUUCUUAUAUCUCAAACUCAACCAACAGGUUAAUGAUAUUUUAGAAAUUCUAGCUCUUUGUAUUUCUCAUGGAUUCACAACACUUGCAGUUUCGAGUUCACAACUUUCAGUCAAUUUGACUGCUUUUUACCAUUCAGGGAUAUUUUUCAAAUUAUUUUCCAUAAAAUGACUCUUUUUAAUAAAAAAAGUCUUAUCAGGUGCUACUAUAUGAGUUAGAAGUCAUAAAAUGACUCUUUUUAAUAGAAGUCAUAAAAUUAUUUAUAACUGUAAUUUUUUUUAGUUGGGACUUCAAAGUCGUUAAUUUUUUUUUUAUUUUACAACUAGUCUUUUUUUAAUUUUUUUAACUUAAGACUUUAAAAUUGUAAGUUUAAUUUUUUUUUAUUUUUAUGACUUUUGAAAUUGUGUUUCGUUUUUUUUUUACGUUUAAAUUUUUUAAUUUUAGAAUUUUUUACUUACUUGUAUUUUAUUUUUUAUUUUUUUCAAAAAUUAUAAAAAAAUUAUUUAUUUAAUUAUUAAGUAAAUAUUUUAUUUAUUCAUUUAAAAAAUAAAAUUCUAUAACAUUAUUUAAAAUUUAUCUAAAUUUUAAAUAUGUAAAAUAUAUUAAAUAAAAUAAUAUUAAAAAACAUAAUAUAUUUUAAAUAAAAAAUAUUAAAAAAUAUAUAAUAUAUUUAAUAAAACCAUAAAAAAUAUAAUACAAAUCAAAUAAAACUAAUAGUAUGAAUUUUUUCCAUUUUAAUUAUUUUUUAUUUAUCACAUUUGGUUUAUUUAAAAUUUAGAUAAUCUUUUAAUAAUGUCAUUGAAUUUUUUUUAAAAUGAAUAAAUAAAAUAUUUAUUUAAUAAUUAAAUAAAUAAAAUUAAUAACAUUUUAAAAAAAUGUAACAAAAUAAAAAAUAAAAUACAAGAAAUUAAAAAAUUCUAAAAUUCUAAAAUUAAAAAGUUUGAACUUAAAAAAAAAACCAAAAUGACUACAAAGUCGUAAAAAGAAAAAUAAAAUAAAAAAACAAAACUUAUCACUUUGAUAUCAUAAUAAAAAAAACUAUUGACUUUGAAGUCGUAAAAAAAACACAAAUAUUGUAAUCGAUUAUCGGCUUCAAAAUUUAAAUUCAAAUUUCUAAAGGAUGUUGCAAAACGUUUAAACCUAGUGAUCGAUUACAAGCCUUGUGUAAUCGAUUAUAGGCUUUAAAAUUAAAUUCAAAUUUUAUAAGAGCAUUUUAGAAAUUAAUUUGAUCACGGGUAAUCGAUUACAUCCCCUGAUAAUCGAUUACCAGAGAGUAAAUAUUACUUUUAUGAAAUCUCAAAAAGCUUCUGGAAAAUAUUCUUUGGUCAAACCUGUGCAUCAUCAAUUCAUAAACUCUUUCUAAGAUUCUAGGAACUAAGUUCAUCAAUUAUAUUGAAUUUCUGGAUUCUUGACUUGGAUCAAACGUGAGAAGCACUUAUCUUUGACAUCGUCAAAACUUCAUAUCAUUAUAUGCUUCUACAAAAAUAUGAUAUUGAUUUUUUUGAGAACAAAAGUUAAUAUUCUUUUUCACACUUCUUUUUAUAUAACUAAUUAAUUUUCAUAUGAUAAAGAAAAUAAUAUUCAGAUUUGAGUACAAUUAGAAAUACAUGACACAACAACCUUUUCAAUUGAUGACAAUUAAAUCUAAUCUUUUAUAUAUAUAUAUAUAUAUAUAUAUAUAUAUAUAUAUAUAUAUAUAUAUAUAUAUAUAUAUAUAUAUAUGAGAAUAUUAUUUUGUGAAUUGAAAAAUUGAUCAAAAUUAAAUAGCUAGAUUGGAACGAAAUAUUUUUUUAAUAUAUUUUUUAACCGAAAUAGUCUUUAAAGUACACCCUUUUUCCUAUAAUUGAUUUUUUUUUUCCUAUAAUGAAACAUCAAAGAAUACUGGGAAAGGUAACUGAGUAAGAGGAAGUGAAGAGAAGGUUAGGAGGGGAAAGUGUGGUGACAGAGAAAAAGUACCAAGAGAUGUAUGUGAAUAGUCCAGGGAAAGGUGUGGUUGAUAAGCUUAAAGGUAUGGUUGGGACAUGGUUUACCAACCCAGCAGAGAAUCAAUCUUCACAAGGUAAAUAACAAUGAAUAGUAGCUCUAGUUGUCUCCAUGAGGUUUCUCUUGGUUGAUCAAUGCUUUUUGCAAAUUUUACUUAUUUCUAAAUUAGUUUAUUAUAUUCUUUUACCAUACUUCUCUGACUAAUUCUUUUGUUACUCUUCACGUUCUGCUUGAGUUUUGCAGUUAGACAAACAUAUUUUGUAUCGAUAUUAAAAUUUAUUUUCUCUAUAUUUGUCUUGUGACAUUUUUUCUAUUUUCUUAUCUUGGAAGAAGUGUUUUGAGAAACAAACGAAAUUAUGAUUAUGUAUGUUUCUCUUAGUCUUAAGACUUGAUUCCAAGAUGAAUCGCAGUUAUUUGUUUGCUUAUUUUGGGCAUGCUUGCAUAUUUUUCUAUUAUGUUUUUUUUUUCAUUUUGUAAGAGCUGUUUCAAAAAUAGUGGAGUAUUUAUUUUCUAGUAGUUUUAGACUUCAGUCCAAGAUGAGUUACAGUUUUUUUUUUUUUUUUACUUUAUUUUGGGUAUGCUAGUUUUUGCUGAAGCAAAGUGCCACAUUAAUUUUGAAUUUGUGGUUUGCAUGGGUCGAAGAUUUAUCUAUGAAUUAUGAGGCAGGAAGGGCAGAAGUGGAACAAGUUAACCAAGGUGCAGCAGGUGAAAGAAGGCUGCAGGAGUCAUCUAAUUGAAGAAGGGCUUUGAAGGAGUCUUUGCUUUGGGUGAUUGUGUAGAUUUUCUUAAAAGCUGUUUCAAUAUCUAGCCGUGUGUCUAGUUCUUUGUUGGAAGAAAGUUAGGAUGUUCAAGUCACAGUAAAAUAAAUAUUUGUGUUUUUUUUAAUGUUUAUGUAAAUAUCCAAUUUUAUCCGGGUUUAGUUUUAUCUUUUAAAUAAAAAUAUUUAAAAUAUUUUUGAGAAAAAGAAAAGAAAAAUUAUAUAUAGAAGAUUUGACAGUUACAAGAAGACUUGGCAUCAGAAAACUGGAGUAAUGGUGAUUCAAUUGAGAAAAAAAUAAAAUAUUACUAAAAGAUAAGGUCAUUUAAAAUAUUUUUGAGAAAAAGAAAAAAGAAAAAUUAUAGAAGAUUCUUUUAAAUAAAAAUAUUUAAAAUAUUUUUGAGAAAAAAAAAAGAAAAAUCAUAGAAGAUGUGACAGUUACAAAAUUGAUAUUCAGAAAACUGGAGUAAUGGUGAUUCAAUUGAGCAAAAAAAAUAAAAUAUUAGUAACCGAUAACGUCAUCGAAGUUGUAAGUCUAAAAACAAUGGUAUAAUGGAAUCCUAAGUUGUUCUUGGAUUAUAAAAGAAGAGACGUACUAGCAUACAAGGAGGGGGGCGGAGAAAAAAGGAGAAUUAUGUGAAGGCCGGGACACCCAUAGAAAGAUUUUUUUCGCAAUUCUUUCAAAAGAUGAUUAUGAUGCUAUAAGAUCAGGUCCUUGUUCUUUUUUCUCUAUAAGAUCAGGUUUGUUCUUUUUUUUUUCUUUUCUCGUUCAUUUCUUGUUAUGUUUGGUUUUUUUAUUUAAUUUUUGGUUUCAUGAAUUCGUGUAUGUAUGCUAUCCAAAUGUUUAUUUUCUGAAUAAAAUAAGUAUAUAUAUUUUGACCACAUGUUUACCUUCAUAUUAUGGGUUAAAAAGCAUCAUUUUUUAUUACUUAUUGGUCCCCCGAUAAAUAUUUAUUUUUUAUGUUUGGUCUCUAAUAAAUUUUUUUGAGACCGGAUUCCUAAUAUUUGAAAUUUUGUCUCUUAUAUUUGUUGUUAGUCCCAAAUUAUUAUCUACCUAUGUGGUUGUUUGACCAUGAUGUAUGUCACGUGUGGUGUCACUUGUUUGAUUUGGAUUACACGUGAGAAAAAAAUUUUAAAAAUAAAAAUAAAAACUAUGUCGUAUUGUCCCCUUCUUCUUUCUCCUUUCUGUCUCCAUCACCCUUCAUCUUCCUUAUAUCUCACCAUUGUGUCAUGGAUGGUGUUUCAUUUUCUCCCCCAGUGGAUGGACUAAAGGAAAACAAGCUAAAUGAAAGAAUAGAUAUAAAUCAACAAAAUCUUAACAACAAAACAUCAAACCACAAAAUGAGAAAAGAAAAAUUGUUUGGUGGGCUUCACUAAGGUUCACGGCUGGAUUGGUAGUUGGACUUCAUGUGGGGUUUCACAAUGAGGUUUGCCAUGAGUUGGGGCUCAUUGAGUUUGGCAGUGACAGUGGAGAUCACAGUCUUUGGGUUUUAUGAUGGGAUUGUGCACGCGCGGUUGAGAUCACAGUUGGGCUCCUACCAAUAUUUCUACCCUAUGAAUAAAGAUAAAGAAAUUUCUACACUAUGAAUAUUUGGAAUUAAUUAAGAUUAGCUAAUUCAAUCUAAAUAACAAUAUGCAAAAAGAUAAAGAAAUUAAGAGAAGAAAUAAAAAUAAGAAACUUAAGGAAGGAAAUAAAAGAAAAAAUUAAGGGAAUUUUUGUUUGAGAAUUUUAACAAACACUCCUGUAUGCAAAGUAAAUUGAGAUUAAAUCAAUGAAAAAAUUGUCUAGGUUUAAUUUUAUUGGAGUUCCUAUAAAGUAAUCACUACACAUUUAUAUUUAAUAAAUGUUAUAUCAUCAUUAAUCUACCAUAUUAUCUUAACUUUAAUUCCUUAAGUGAAGAGACCUAAAUCUCUUGAUUAAACUAUCGAUUCCUUGGAUUGGCAUAACCAAAGGAUUUGCAUUAAGACAAAGUGUUUAUUAAUGUUCUAUUAUCCCUAGACAUAAAAAUUAUUGGAUGUUCUCUCUAAUUCGCUACUCAAAGAAAUUUUUCUAUUACAAUUGAAUAAAAAAUCAUACAAACAUGUGUUCAAGUCAAAAACACAUAUCAGACAUAUAAGAAAAACAAUUACAAUAUUUUACUGAAUAAAAGAGUAGUCAUUUCAUGAAAGAAGAACCAAUUACUGUACAUUAAACUCUAAGAGAAGAUUAGUUCAUGGCAAAAAAAAAAACAUAAGAGAUAUACAUCACAUAAAUGUCUUAAAAUGACACCAAAAUCUAAGAAUACAUGAUAAUUAUCUAUCAUCCAAAUUUAAUUUAGGAUAAAAAGUAACAUUAAAAUUUUAUAGGGACAAAAAUGAUAUAUUUUACUCUAUCUUUUUCAUGCUUAAGGUAACUCUCAACAUUUGUUGUCAGUCAUAAAAAACAUUGACAUGGAUCUGAUGGAGUGGCUGUGGUUCAUGUUGAAAAAGUAGGGACCUUGAUAUAGAUUUGGUAGAGUUGUCUACGGUUUGUCAACAAGAUAAUUUUUUUUCUUUUAUUUUAUUUCAAAUAAUAAAAUUUUGAUAAUUUAAAAUUAAUUAUAGUUUUAUAUUGCAUGUAAUAGAAGACUUGAAUUUAAUAAUGCAAGAUUUUUUGUUGUUUACUUUACACAGGUGCAUGUAACGAAAGGAUUGAUUUAAAUAAUUGUUAAAAUUUGAAGACUCAUUAUUAAACCAAAUUUUAUUACCUUUAUUGUAAACUACAAAUGAUUUUUUAUAAAAAUAUUAAUAUUUACUUAAAAUAAAAUUUUCAUUAAUUUAAGCAAUUCUACACGUUAAACUAAUAAAAUAAAAUGUUUCUUAUUGAAGAGAGAGUGUGUGCAUCCUCCUCCAUUUAUAUUCUUGUCUUUGUCCACCUUUGGUUAUGUAGGUUACCUUGCAGAGAGAGUGUGUGCAUCCCAAGUGAGCGUGAGACACUUAUGAAGUUUAAGAAUAAUCUGAAUGAUCCUUCAAAUAGGCUUUGGUCUUGGAAUCCUAAUAAUACCAACUGUUGCCACUGGUAUGGAGUCCUCUGCCACAACCUUACUUCCCAUCUUCUCCAGCUUCACCUCCACACUUCUGAUUCUGCUUUCUAUCAUGAUGCCUACCAUUAUCGAUUCUACCAUAGAUUUGAUGAGGAAGCUUAUAGGAGAUGGAGCUUUGGUGGAGAGAUAAGUCCUUGUUUGGCUGAUUUAAAGCAUUUGAAUUACUUGGACUUGAGCGCCAAUUAUUUCCUUGGAGAAGGUAUGUCAAUUCCUUCUUUCCUUGGGACAAUGACUUCCUUGACUCACCUCAACCUCUCUUAUACUGGAUUCAAUGGGAAGAUUCCUCCUCAGAUUGGGAAUCUCUCAAAUUUGGUGUAUCUUGACCUGAGUUAUGAUGUUGCCAACGGAACAGUACCCUCUCAGAUCGGGAAUCUCUCUGAGCUUCGAUAUCUUGACUUGAGCUACAAUUAUUUUGAAGGUAUGGCAAUUCCUUCUUUCCUUUGUGUAAUGACCUCCUUGACUCACCUCGACCUCUCUUAUACUGCAUUCAUGGGGAAGAUUCCAUCUCAGAUUGGAAAUCUCUCCAAUUUGGUCUAUCUUGGCCUCGGAAGUUAUGAUUUCGAGCCUCUGUUAGCUGAAAAUGUAGAAUGGGUAUCAAGUAUGUGGAAGCUUGAAUAUCUUUAUUUGAGUAAUGCAAACCUAUCCAAAGCAUUUCAUUGGCUACACACUCUCCAAUCUCUUCCUUCUUUGACCCACCUAUAUUUGUCAGAAUGCACACUCCCUCACUAUAAUGAACCAUCCUUGCUCAACUUCUCAUCUCUGCAAACUCUCGAUCUUUCCGGUACUAGUUAUUCCCCUGCCAUUUCUUUUUUCCCUAAGUGGAUAUUCAAAUUGAAGAAACUUGUUUCUCUUCAAUUAGGGGGUAAUGACAUCCAAGGUUCGAUUCCUGGUGGUAUUCGAAACCUCACACUUCUUCAAAACCUUGACUUGUCUGUAAAUUCAAUUGCAUCUUCUAUACCUGAUUGCUUAUACGGUCUUCAUCGUCUCAAGUUCCUGGACCUAGAGGGCAACAACUUGCAUGGGACUAUUUCUGAUGCCCUGGGAAAUUUGACUUCUCUUGUUGAACUUGAUUUGUCAUACAAUCAACUUGAAGGAACCAUUCCAACUUCUUUGGGAAAUUUGACUUCUCUUGUUGAACUUGAUUUGUCAUACAAUCAACUUGAAGGAAUCAUUCCAACUUCUUUGGGAAAUUUGACUUCUCUUGUUGAACUUGAUUUGUCAUACAAUCAACUUGAAGGAACCAUUCCAACUUCUUUGGGAAAUUUGACUUCUCUUGUUGAACUUGAUUUAUCAGCUAAUCAACUUGAAGGAACCAUUCCAAAUUCUUUGGGAAAUUUGACUUCUCUUGUUAAACUUCAAUUAUCACGUAAUCAACUUGAAGGAACCAUUCCAACUUCUUUGGGAAAUUUGACUUCUCUGGUUAGACUUGAUUUGUCAUAUAAUCAACUUGAAGGAACAAUUCCAACUUCUUUGGCUAAUCUCUGCCUCCUAAUGGAGAUUGAUUUCUCAUAUCUCAAACUCAACCAACAGGUUAAUGAACUUUUAGAAAUUCUAGCUCCUUGUAUUUCCCAUGGACUCACAGCACUUGCAGUUCAGAGUUCACGACUUUCAGGCAAUCUGACAGAUCAUAUUGGGGCAUUUAAAAAUAUUGACACGUUACUUUUUUCCAACGACUCAAUUGGUGGUGCUCUUCCUAGAUCAUUUGGAAAACUUUCAUCAUUAACAUAUCUCGAUCUGUCUAUUAAUAAAUUCAGUGGAAAUCCAUUUGAAAGUCUUAGAUCGCUUUCUAAGAUGUCAUCUCUUCAGAUUGAUGGCAAUAAUUUUCAAGGAGUUGUCAAGGAAGAUGAUCUUGCAAAUCUUACAAGCUUGAUGGAGUUUCAUGCAUCAGGGAACAAUUUCACUUUAAAAGUUGGUCCCAAAUGGCUUCCUAAUUUUCAGCUUUCCUAUUUGGAUGUGACAUCAUGGCAGUUAGGUCCCAACUUUCCAUCAUGGAUUCAGUCACAAAACCAACUUCAACAUUUUGGACUGUCUAACACGGGGAUUUUAGAUUCUAUUCCCACCUGGUUCUGGGAAGCACUUUCUCAGGUUUUGUAUUUAAACCUCUCUCAUAAUCAUAUACAUGGUGAAAUUGGGACUACAUUAAAGAAUCCAAUAUCUAUCCAAACUAUUGAUCUAAGCUCAAAUAACUUGUGUGGUAAAUUACCCUAUCUUUCAAGUGAUGUGUUUCAGUUAGAUCUUUCAAGCAAUUCAUUCUCUGAAUCCAUGAAUAACUUUUUAUGUAAUGAUCAGGACGAGCCAAUGCAAUUAAAAUUUUUGAAUCUUGCAUCAAAUAAUUUGUCAGGAGAGAUACCUGAUUGCUGGAUGAAUUGGACAUUUCUUGCGGAUGUAAAUUUACAAAGCAACCAUUUUGUUGGGAACUUACCCCAAUCCAUGGGUUCCUUGGCAGACCUGUAGUCUUUACAAAUUCGUAACAACACACUCUCAGGAAUAUUUCCAACCAGUUUGAAGAAGAAUAAAAAAUUGAUAUCCUUGGACCUUGGGGAAAAUAAUCUUUCAGGAAGUAUUCCAACAUGGGUUGGAGAAAAGCUCUUAAAUGUGAAAAUUCUCCGCCUUCGAUCAAACAGUUUUGCCGGCCUCAUUCCAAAUGAAAUAUGUCAGAUGAGUCUUCUUCAGGUUUUAGACGUUGCACAAAACAAUCUGUCUGGCAAUAUACCGAGCUGUUUCAGUAACUUGAGUGCCAUGACACUAAAGAACCAAAGUACAGAUCCUCGUAUCUAUUCUCAAGCACAAUAUAAUAUGUCUUCCAUGUAUAGUAUAGUUAGUGUGCUACUAUGGCUGAAAGGAAGAGGAGAUGAGUAUCGAAACAUUCUGGGUUUGGUAACAAGCAUUGAUCUGUCAAGUAACAAAUUAUUAGGAGAAAUACCUAGAGAAAUCACAGAUCUAAAUGGAUUGAACUUUUUGAACCAAGUAAUUUUAAAAGCUUUGGUAGUCUCAAUAGUAUUUUUGAUAGUGACAAUAGUAGCCCAUAUAUAUAUAAAUGAUUAUAUGUGUGAUACAACAAAAUGCAGGAUAGAUAAAACAACCCAUACCAACUAUACAAAUUACAAGUUAAUUAUUAUUUUUACAUAUUUUGAUGUACAAUAAACAGCACCAACACAAAAAUGUUAUAUUUACUAGUAGCAGUAGUAAUUAACUAGUUUUUUAUAUAUAAAAGUGGUAAUUAACAACUCUUUCAUCACACAUAUGGACCCCUCCAAAUACAAUUUUUUUUUUCAUAGUAAAGGGAAUCUGCCGUCAAUUUAGUUCUCACUAUCAGAUUUAAUUAAACCACUGCUCUAACGAGGCACAUAUCCUGUUAAUAAAUUUAGUAUUUUUAAUGAAAAAUUAAAAUAAAAUAUCUCAAUAAAUAAUAUACAUGCACUUACACAUAUAAAAAUGUUAUUUAAACCCUGAACUGAACACACAAUGAUAUAUGAUUAUAAAUUGUCUAAUAAAUUAUAAGUUUUGUCUUUCAUGUAUGCACAGGUGUGUUUCUUCCCAAAUUGUGCAAAUGCUCGUCGACAAAUGGGUGAGAUCAAAAGCUCAGGUAUGGUAGCUCCAGGACCUGUGCACUCUCUUCAAUUCACCUCAAUUUCUCCACAACCUUUUGAUGCUAUGGAGCUCUCAGAUGAACCUGCCGUUGCUCCAUUCCCGCAAUACUAAGUAGAAGUAUUUUUCUUAAUGCUUGCAAGAAAUAAUUUAAAUGAGUGUAUUUUGAUGCUUAAUGCGUGUUUAGUUUGUAAUAAGGAUGUUGCGCUGCACACCAAUAUGUAGCUACGUAGGGGAUUUGGAAUGUGUCAUUAAUUUAUGUAUUCUGUUGUACAAAAUUUUAAUGCUGGAAGUGGUCUCUCAGACUCUUCCCAUUGAAAACCAGUGUAGUCGGCUUUCAUUAUUUUUGGUUAAUAUAUAUAAAUUGUUCUUUAGUACUGAUUGGUCUGAAUAGUGUGAUAGAUUCUAACUCUUUAAAUGAAUGGUUAAGAAUUUCAAUUUUAUCAACUUUUAGUUCUUCAUGGAAUAUGCUUUGUCACACUAUGUCCAGCUCUUGAAAAUCAUUAUUUUUUGUCCUUUGGAUUAAUAAUUGUUGGGCUGUGACCAAAAUUCAUAUGGAAGUUUAUUUUUGUUAUUUUUUCAGUUUUUUCCUCUGCUUAUAUAAAGCAAGGAUGCCCUGUAUUUUACAUAGAGGAUAAACUUCCACUUGUAUACUGCAACCAUAAUAAUAAUAAAAACUUUCUGUUUUCCUUUCCGUGGAUGUAACCUUACUCAAAGUGAACCACGUAAAUUUGUUUGUGUGUUCUUUCUCUCAUCUCUUUCUCUUUCAUUUUGCUGCAAUCUGUGUGUAUGAUAUUUUUGUUCUGCUGCAUCUACUGUUGCUGUUCUUGUUUGUUCUUCAUCACUUCCAUAACAAUAAUUCUAACCUGGAUCGUGUUUACCCUAUUGAUGCUUACAAAAUUUAGUGUUUUCAACUCCAAUGCAAGUCUUGGUUUUCUCACUAUCAACAAUGCUCUCCAUGGUCACCAACUUUCCUCCACAUGUAAUCUUUCAUCUCUUGAAGUAGAUAUUAAUGUCAGUGUUUCGCCAUGUUCUCCAUUCUUUAAAAGCUUGUUGCAUGUGCUUUCUAAUGUUAACAAAAUGACACUUUCUUGGAGGACCCUUAGGAUGAUGCUAUUUUUAAGUUUUAUUUUGUAUGUUUUGUCUUUUUCGGUAUAUGUUUGAAAGUAAUUUUUUUCUAUACAUUUUUAAACUUCUUAUUAUAUAUUCUAAUAAAGUGCUGAAAGUUAUAUUCCUAUUUCAUGCUUAAAUAAUUUGGUAAAUAUUUCUUUUAUUUCCCUUUCUUUCUUAUGCUCUCUUGAAAGAAAUUAUAGGAUGUUUUAUAUAUUGUGGGGAGUGUAAAACACAAACUUUUCUUAUAUAUUCUUUUGAACGUUUACAUAAAAUUCUUAAGGUGAAGAUUUAAUUUUAAAUUGUUUAGUUUUUUAUUUCAUUUUAUUAUUAACUUAUUCCUUUUUUUUGGUCCAAGAUUAACUUAUUCCCUUAUGCUCUCUUACGUCAGAUUAUAGAUUGUUAUAUUGUGAGUGCUCUGUUUGUAAUGUAUGUUGCGUUUAAUUGGCUUUUACGUAAGAUGAAAGUUUUUGAUUCUAAGAAACUAUUUGAGUGAAGCAGGGGAACAAAAAUCUGGUAUUCAUAUUAAGAAAUACAUUCUUUGGUGAUGCAGCAACACAAUGUAGUGCCAGUACAUGAUUUGCAGAGCAUUAUUUGAGAAAAUAGUAUCAAAUAAUGACAUAAUCAAUUGGUAUCGUUUGUGUGUGUAAAAUAGCAAAGCAAGUAGCGUGGCAAGAGCAGGAGUUUGAAUAAGAAAUAAAUGUUGAGCAUGUUAAAUCAACAAAACAAGAUUGUAAAUAAUGAUUUAAGAAUAUGGCUGAAAACAAGGAUGUGAUCCAACACUAAGGUAGAAAAUAAAAGCAUGUUAAUCAAAUGGCAAGCCAGGACAGAAAAAUCUUUAUUUAGUACUUUGUAGAGACUAAUAGAGAUAAGGAAGGGAAGGUGGAAUCUGGGUUAGUGGAGUAGAUCUAAAUUCAUAACAACACACCCUCAGGAAUAUUUCCUACCAGUUUGAAGAAGAAUAACCCAUUGAUAUCCUUGGACCUUGGGGAAAAUAAUCUUUCAGGAAAUAUUCCAACAUGGAUUGGAGAAAAGCUCUCAGAUAUGAAAAUCCUCCGCCUUCGAUCAAAUCAAAUGAAAUAUGUGAGAUGAAUCUUCUUCAAGUUUUAGACGUUGCACAAAACAAUCUGUCUGGCAAUAUAUGUAGCUGUUUCAGUAACUUGAGUGCCAUGACACUAAUCAACCAAAAUACAGAUCCUCGUAUCUAUUCUCAAGCACCAAAUGGUACAGAUUCCUCUUCCACAUAUAGUAUAGUUAGUGAGCUACUUUUGCUGAAAGGAAGAGCAGAUGAGCACAGAAACUUUCUGGAUUUGGUAACAAACAUUGAUCUGUCAAGUAACAAAUUAUUAGGGGAAAUGCCAAGAGAAGUCACAGAUCUAAAUGGAUUAAAUUUUUUAAACUUGUCCCACAACCAAUUGAUUGGUCAUAUUUCACAAGGUAUUGAUAAUAUGGGAUCUUUACAGUCCGUUGAUUUUUCGAGGAAUCAACUUUCUGCUGAAAUUCCUCCAACUUAACCAUUUCAAAUUUGAGCUUUCUGAGCAUACUAGACUUGUCUUAUAAUCAUUUGAAGGGAAAAAUGCCAACAGGAACUCAAUUGCAAACCUUUGAUGCCUCCAGCUUUAUUGGCAACAAUCUAUGUUGUCCACCACUGCCUAUAAGUGUAGCUCCAAUGUGAAAACUCAUAGUUAUGAAGGAAGUGAUGGGCAUAGAUCAGUUGCUUAACUUUGAAAUUGAUCCCUUGGUGCUUGAAUCUCUCUUGAAAUGAGAUUUCAAAUAUUCACACAUAUUACUGGGUAUUACAUCCAUUUCCAUCCAAUUAUGAGUGCAUAUUAGAAUUGGCUGCCUUUGGAGCAAAUUUGUUUCCAACAAUGACGAAGGUGAUUGUAGAAGAUUGGUAGGAGGAGGUUGGGGUUUCCGUGUGCUAUGUCCUACGAUAAAUCUGCAGGCAUAAAAGAAUCCAACGGAUAUAAAAAUAAAUAAAUCAUUUUACAGAGUGAUCUUUAAAAAUGAAAUUCUGAUAAGAAGAUUGUGAUAAAAAACAUGGUGGUGAAAAUAAUAAAAAACAUGCAGCUGCCAAAUUUGUUUCCAACAAUGAGGAUGGUGAUUGUAGAAGAUUGGUACGUAGGAGGGGGUUGGGGUUUGGGUGUGCUAUGACCUACGAUAAAUCUCUAGGUAUAAAAGAAUCCAACGGAUGUAAAAAAAUUGUUCACAGUGGAUCACUUAGACGUCGUCUCUUUUACAGAGUGAUCUUUAAAAAUGAAAUUCUGUAUUCAUGUUUGCGUUUUGAAUGUUUCUUCUUUUCCUUGAUGUAUUUAUCAUUUAUAAAAUUUUUGUAGUCUAUGGGCUAUGGUUCAAGUUGAAGUCAGAGACAAUAAUAACAUGGCUGGACUUUGUGGACUGUCCAAAGGUUUAAAAUGAAAAAAUUAAAAACUUUGAGAUAGACUUGAUGGAGUGGGCCAUGGUUUGUUUAGAAGACAAUUUUCUUUUACAUUAUUUUUAGUUUGAAUAUUGAAAAUUUGAUACAACAACCAUUCCAAUUAAUGACGAUUAAAUCUAGUCUUUUUUUAAUAUAUAAGAGAAUAUUAUUUUGUGAAUUAAAAAAUUAAUCAAAAUUAAAUAACUAGAUAUGAACGAAAUAAUCUUUUUUAUAUAGAUUUUUUAAUCAAAAUAGUCUUUAAAUUAGACCCUUUUCCUAUAAUUGAUGUAUUUAUCAUUUAUAUAUUUUUUGUGGCCUAUGGGCUAUGGUUCAAGUUGAAGUCAGAGACAAUAACAUAGCUGUACUUUGUGGACUGUCCAAAGGUUUAAGAUGAAAAAAUUAAAAACCUUGAGAUGGACUUGAUGGAGUGGGCCAUGGUUUGUUUAGAAGACAAUUUUCUUUUACAUUAUUUUUAGUUUGGAUAUUGAAAUUUUAAUAAUUUAAUAUUAAUAAUGGGUUGGGAUAUCAUGAAAUAGAAGACUUGAAUUUUUUUUAAUAAAAUGUUAGACUUUUAUUGUUUAAUCAACAAAAUUUUAUGAAAGGAUUGAUUAAAUAAUAGUUAAAGUCAAUACAAAAUUUUGUGUAUAUAGGAUUUUUAAAAAAGGAGAUAGAUAAAGUAAAUUCAAAAUUAGUUCCUAUUCUAGAAAUUAAGUCGGGAGAAUUCGAUAAUAAAGUCAAUAAUUAAAAAAGGCAACGUAAAAAAAAGAAAAAAGAAAAGAGAGACGCUUGCAUCAGUAUAAAUAAUAGAAAGAAGUAAGUUUAAUAUGCAGAAGCAAGAAGCACUUAUACAAUUAAGCUGUUUCAUAUAUCCUUGUGUGAUCAUGAAUUCCUCCUCCAUUUAUAUUCUUGUCUUUGUCCAGCUUUGGUUGUUCAGCUUACCAUGCAGAGAGAGUGUGUGCAUCCCAAGUGAGCGUGAGACACUUUUGAAGUUUAAGAAUAAUCUGAAUGAUCCUUCAAAUAGGCUUUGGUCUUGGAAUCCUAAUAAUACCAACUGUUGCCACUGGUAUGGAGUCCUCUGCCACAACCUUACUUCCCAUCUUCUUCAGCUUCACCUCAACACUUCACCUUCUGCUUUCUAUCAUGACUACUAUGAUGAUGGAUUCUACCGUAGAUUCGAUGAGGAAGCUUAUAGGAGAUGGAGCUUUGGUGGAGAGAUAAGUCCUUGUUUGGCUGAUUUAAAGCAUUUGAAUUACUUGGACUUGAGCGGCAAUUAUUUACUUGGAGCAGGUAUGUCAAUUCCUUCUUUCCUUGGGACAAUGACCUCCUUGACUCACCUAGACCUCUCUGAUAGUGGAUUCUAUGGGAAGAUUCCUCCUCAGAUUGGGAAUCUCUCAAAUUUGGUGUAUCUUGACCUGAGUUUAGAUGUUGCCAACGGAACAGUACCCUCUCAGAUCGGGAAUCUCUCUAAGCUUCGAUAUCUUGACUUGAGCUACAAUUAUUUACUUGGAGAAGGUAUGGCAAUUCCUUCUUUCCUUGGGACAAUGACUUCCUUGACUCACCUCAACCUCUCUCAUACUGGAUUCUAUGGGAAGAUUCCUCCUCAGAUUGGGAAUCUCUCCAAUUUGGUCUACCUUGACCUCGGAGGUUAUUCUGAUCUGUUUGCUGAAAAUGUAGAAUGGGUAUCAAGUAUGUGGAAGCUUGAAUAUCUUCAUUUGAGUAAUGCAAACCUAUCCAAAGCAUUUCAUUGGCUACACACUCUCCAAUCUCUUCCUUCUUUGACCCACCUAUAUUUGUCAGGAUGCACACUCCCUCACUAUAAUGAACCAUCCUUGCUCAACUUCUCAUCUCUGCAAACUCUCCAUCUUUCCCUUACUCGUUAUUCCCCUGCCAUUUCUUUUGUCCCCAAGUGGAUAUUCAAAUUGAAGAAACUUGUUCUCUUCAAUUUAGGGGUAAUGAAAUCCAAGGUCCGAUUCCUGUUGGUAUUCGAAAUCUCACACUUCUUCAAAAUCUUGACUUGUCUCAAAAUUCAUUCUCAUCUUCUAUACCUGAUUGCUUAUAUGGUCUUCAUCGUCUCAAGUAUCUGGACCUAAGGGGCAACAACUUGCAUGGGACUAUUUCUGAUGCCCUGGGAAAUUUGACUUCUCUUGUUGAACUUCAUUUGUUAUAUAAUCAACUUGAAGGAACCAUUCCAACUUCUUUGGGAAAUUUGACUUCUCUUGUUGAACUUGAUUUAUCAAAUAAUCAACUUGAAGGAACCAUUCCACCUUCUUUAGGAAAUUUGACUUCUCUGGUUAGACUUGAUUUGUCAUAUAGUCAACUUGAAGGAAACAUUCCAACUUCUUUGGGAAAUUUGACUUCUCUUGUUGAACUUGAUUUGUCAUAUAGUCAACUUGAAGGAAACAUUCCAACUUCUUUGGGUAAUGUCUGCAACUUAAGGGUGAUAGGUUUAUCAUAUCUCAAACUCAACCAACAGGUUAAUGAACUUUUAGAAAUUCUUGCUCCUUGUAUUUCCCAUGGACUCACAAGACUUGCAGUUCAGAGUUCACAACUUUCAGGCAAUCUGACAGAUCAUAUUGGGGCAUUUAAAAAUAUUGUGCUGCUAGAUUUUUCCAACAACUCAAUUGGUGGUGCUCUUCCUAGAUCAUUUGGAAAACUUUCAUCAUUAAGAUAUCUCAAUCUGUCUAUUAAUAAAUUCAGUGGAAAUCCAUUUGAAAGUCUUGGAUCACUCUCUAAAUUGUCAUCUCUUUAUAUUGAUGGCAAUCUUUUUCAUGGACUUGUCAAGGAAGAUGAUCUUGCAAAUCUUACAAGCUUGACGGAGUUUGGUGCAUCAGGGAACAAUUUCACUUUAAAAGUGGGUCCCAAUUGGCGUCCUAAUUUUCGGCUUUCCUAUUUGGAUGUGACAUCAUGGCAGUUAAGUCCCAACUUUCCAUCGUGGAUUCAGUCACAAAACAAACUUGAAUAUGUUGGACUAUCUAACACGGGGAUUUUCGAUUCUAUUCCCACACAGAUGUGGGAAACACUUCCUCAGGUUUUGUAUUUAAACCUCUCUCAUAAUCACAUCCAUGGUGAGAGUGGGACUACAUUAAAGAAUCCCAUAUCUAUCCCCGUUAUUGAUCUAAGCUCAAAUCACUUGUGUGGUAAAUUACCCUAUCUUUCAAGUGAUGUGUCUCAGUUAGAUCUUUCAAGCAAUUCAAUCUCUGAAUCCAUGAAUGACUUUUUAUGCAAUGAUCAGGACGAGCCAAUGCAAUUACAAUUUCUGAAUCUUGCAUCAAAUAAUUUGUCAGGAGAGAUACCUGAUUGCUGGAUGAAUUGGACAUUUCUUGUGAAUGUAAAUUUACAAAGCAACCAUUUUGUUGGGAACUUACCCCAAUCCAUGGGUUCCUUGGCAGAGCUGCAGUCUUUACAAAUUCGUAACAACACACUCUCAGGAAUAUUUCCAACCAGUUUGAAGAAGAAUAACCAAUUGAUAUCCUUGGACCUUCGGGAAAAUAAUCUUUCAGGAAGUAUUCCAACAUGGGUUGGAGAAAAGCUCUUAAAUGUGAAAAUCCUCCUCCUUCGAUCAAACAGUUUUACCGGCCACAUUCCAAAUGAAAUAUGUCAGAUGAGUCUUCUUCAGGUUUUAGACCUUGCCCAAAACAAUUUGUCUGGCAAUAUACCGAGCUGUUUCAGUAACUUGAGUGCCAUGACACUAAAGAACCAAAGUACAGAUCCUCAUAUCUAUUCUCAAGCACAAUUUUUUAUGCUUUACACUUCCGAGUAUAGCAUAGUUAGUGUGCUACUAUGACUGAAAGGAAGAGGAGAUGAGUAUAGAAACAUUCUGGGUUUGGUAACAAGCAUUGAUCUAUCAAGUAACAAUUUAUUAGGAGAAAUACCUAGAAAAAUCACAAAUCUAAAUGGAUUGAACUUUUUGAACUUGUCCCACAACCAAUUGAUUGGUCAUAUUCCACAAGGCAUUGGUAGUAUGGGAUCAUUACAAUCCAUUGAUUUUUCUAGGAAUCAACUUUCUGGUGAAAUCCCUCCAACCAUUUCAAAUUUGAGCUUUUUGAGCAUGCUAGACGUGGCUUAUAAUCAUUUGAAGGGAAAAAUUCCAACAGGAACUCAAUUGCAAACCUUUGAUGCCUCCAGCUUUAUUGGCAACAAUCUAUGUGGUCCACCACUGCCCAUAAACUGCAGCUCCAAUGGGAAAACUCAUAGUUAUGAAGGAAGUGAUGGGCAUGGAGUGAAUUGGUUUUUUGUUAGUGCGACAAUUGGAUUUAUUGUGGGAUUCUGGAUAGUGAUUGCUCCUUUACUGAUUUGUAGAUCAUGGAGGUAUGCCUAUUUUCAUUUCCUUGAUCAUGUGUGGUUCAAACUUCAAUCUUUUUACUCAUGUAGUAUCAGUGUUUAGUGUUGCUUAGAAUACACCGAUGUUGUAUCAUUGUAUUGGCAGGUUGAUCAAUUUAUGUCAACAAAUAAAUUUAAACAAACUAAUCCAUUAUAUUUCAAUUUUCAGUAAUGUGUUAUAUUUAAUGGAUAAGAGUUGUACCGUGGGAAUUGUUGUCAUUGCAUCUACAUACACAAGUGUAUCUAUUUUUUUUUAAGUUAUGUUUCUUUGAAAUUUAUUCAUAUGUUUGAAUCUCUCUUGAAAUGUUUGUAUCAUUGUAUUGCCAGGUUGUUCAAUUUGCAUUGUACUCAUUGCUAUUUUCUUUCUAUCUUUUUUUUUUCAAAUUUGAGAGUCUUAUUUAAAUUCUGUUUUGGGAUGUACAUAUUUGCAUAUUGAGCAUAUUUGUAGUUAAGAUCAAAUAGUUGUAAUUCGGUGUAUCAAAUGGGGAACUAGUGGUUCAAGAAAACGUGGUUUAAUAGGAAAAAACUUAUAUUUAAUUUUAGUCACUAACCAUUGAAGUGAAUAAUUAGUUCUUUCGUGUUAAUUAAAGUCGUGACUCGUGGCUGCAUACAAGACUUGACUCUCCAAGCCGGCCAGGCCAAGAACUUUGAUGAGAUAUCCAUAGAUAACCAAUGAUGCUUGAGAACCAACAAAAUUGUUGGAGUAAUAUUCUAAAUUACCCUAACUAUAAAAAGGGCAAAUAAUAGGUGUAACUUUUUAAGUAUUAUUCGUUUUGCUUUUUCAAUUUUUACUUUAUCUAAUAAUAAAAGUCAACUUUUAAAAUUAAUUAUCAAAUUUAAAUGUUAACUUUACUUAAAAAUUAACACAAAAAAUACUAAAGAAUUUAUCUUUAUAAAACAAUUUUUUUGAAGAGUCAAAAUGAAUUAAUAUUCAAGUGUUCCAGGAUCAGUAUUAAUUACAACCAAAACUAACGGAAUAUGAAACCUGAAACAGACAAGUGAUAACAAAAUCGCAGGAAGUAUCUUGGCUAAUUUUUUAUUUGAUAAAUAUAUAAAUUUUUGGAAUUCAUUUUUGUAAAUAUUUAAUAAAUUUUUUAUCUUUACAAAAUUAAAAUGUGUUAUUGGUCAGAAUGUAGAUUCAGAUAAAUUUAAAUUAUGAGUUUUUAUAUUGAUUAUACAUAUAUAUAAUCGAUAGUAAAUUAUAUUUACAUUAAUUAUACAUAUAAUCAAAAAUGUAAUAAAUAAUUUGAAAUGUUUAAAUCUUACUUCAACAAAAAAAAAAUAUUUUAAUUUUAUGAGAACGAAAAAUAUAUUAAAAUUUUAUCCAGAUAACUUUUCAAUAUUUUAAUAUUUAUAAAAUUAAAAAUAUAUGUUAACCUUAUAAAAAUAUCAACAAAUAAACAAAAUGUCUUUUGUUUGACAGUUUUAAGAAUUAAAUAAUUGAUAGUAAUCAUAAUUUUAAAAAAUUAAUUAACUUAUUAUACAAAAUGUUGAGCUAAAGAUCAAUUAAGGGUAUUUUUGAAUGAUCAUGGCCCAAGCAUUCUUUGACAAGGUCACUGCCCAUGAAAGCUACCGAUAUCGCAUCAACAUUUACUCACUUCUUCCAUUAAAAGGCACUGGAGGCUGAAAGUCGUAAUCUUCAUUUUUAUACUUUUUAGAUUAUACAAAGUUGGAAAAAUUAAAACAUUAUGUGGUGGGCGAAUUAGUGAACAAAAAUUAUAAGAUCUGCACAGGUUAUUCUAAUUUAAUUCUAAUUAAGAAAUUAAUUAUUUUUCAUUUUACUCCCUUUAUGACAAAUUUAAUUUUUACUUAUAAGCCGGUCUGUGAUAAACCUUGUACCAUAUUUUAAAGCAAACCAUAACACAUCAUAAAACUUAGUGAUAUAAUUUUAGAUGUCUUUGUGUGUGUGAGAUGUAUUGUUAAUAUUUAUAGCAUCCUUCCUCAUAAAAUUUAGCGUGAUGUAAUGUUAAUGUUUACGACCAAGCUAAAAGUACAAAAAAAUAAUUUUUAUCUAAAGGUUUUCUUGUAAUAAAUAUAAUGGGUGAAAUUAGCCAUAAUCAAAUUCUACUUUUUUUUAUUUCCUUUUUAUAUACAGUGCCAUAUAUAACAGGAAACUGAAUUUGUCCGUUUUCACACUAGACUAACAGCGCCAAGAAUGAGAAUGAACGUAAUUUUCUGCAACUUUGAUCUGUAGACUCUAGGUUAGUAUUAAAAACAUAAAACAAAAUAUUACUGUAAACAUAAAGAUGAAAAUUAUUGAGUCUAACCUUUUUUUUUAUGAAAAGAGGAGAGUAUAAGGGAGGAAAGGAAGAACCAAUAGAAAAAUCAAUUUUUGAUUCAAAAUGUUCUUGCCCCUGUAGCUCAAUGGUACGUAGAGACUUCAGUCUUGCAAACUGAAGGUCUGUAGUUGCACACUAUGGGGGCAUCCAAUAUUAUUAAUUUUUUUUCACUUGAUCAUGAAAAAUAAUGUUGUGUUAUGAUAUAAAAACAUCAUACGUAAUUUUCAGCAUGAGAUAGUUUCUGUAUGAGGACCCAGUAUAGGAGCAAUCUUUUUGUUUUCUUUCAAACAUAAAGUAUCGCAGGUAGUUUGGAGCAACAGGUUCUCCAUUGACUAGUAGUAGUAGCUAGUGACCAAACUUAAUUCCUCAUUAUCAUAGCCAUCAUACAAACCUAGCUCACACUGUUCACUUGCAUCGAUAUGAUCUUGUCUAACUAUCACACCAUAAAACACUAAGUGUAUUGAUCAAUUAAUGUAAUCUUAUUUUAGUUUAAUUGGAAGUUUUAAAUUUUAAUCUUAAAUAUAUAAUUACAUUAAAUAUUUAUAUAUAAAAAUGUAUCAUCUAUAAUAAUUCUAUUUCUAUUGAACAAGUAGAUUAUCUUUAAUAAAAAAUACCUUGUGAUUUAAAAAUAAAAAACUAUAACACAGCAUCAAUUUUUACAUUGCUAAUUAACUAAAAAUAAUUCUAAUUUUUAUCAUUGAAUGCAUGAAUUAUAUAUUUGACAUACGGUUCUAUCUUAAUUAAAUUGAUCAAAUAUUGUAACAAAAACAAAUUGAUCUAAUAUUGUAUGUAGUUACUUUUGUUUUCUAUUUAUUUUUAUCUUUUAUGAAUACGCAUCUAAAAAACAUUUUCAGAACUGAAUACACAAAAUGAUAUACGAUUAUAAAUUGUCUAAUAAAUUAUAAGUUUUGUCUUUCAUGUAUGCACAGGUGUGUUUCUUCCCAAAUUGUGUGCAGUAGCAGAAGGUGCAAAUGCUCGUCGACAAAUGGGUGAGAUCAAAAGCUCAGGUAUGGUGGCUGCAGGACCUGUGCACUCUCUUCAAUUUCUCCACAACCUUUUGAUGAUGUAGAGCUCUCAGAUGAACCUGCCAUUGCUCCAUUCCCUCAAUACUAAGUAGUUUCUCGGACUCUUCCCAUUGAAAACCAGUGUAGCCAGCUUUCAUUAUUGUUGGUUAAUAUUUAUAAAUUGUUCUUUAGUACUGAUUGGUCUGAAUAGUGUGAUAGAUUCCGACUCUUUAAAUGAAUGGUUAAGAAUUUGAAUUUUAUCAACUUUUAGUUCUUCAUCCUUCUACGAAAGUGAUUAUUAGUCUCUCAAUUAUCUUUUGGGCGGUGUUAAUCUAUAAUUCUGUUUGUCAUUGCUCAGUCACUUUCAUAAAUAAAAAAUCACUGUUAAAUAAUGAUGAUGUGAUAAUCAUAUGAUUUCUCACUUGGGUUAUGACGUAAAAAUCUUGUGACAAAACGUUGUUAAGGUAUUACAAAUAUUUUGUCAUCAGUGUAAAACUGCCAAAUAAUUAAAAUUUAAAAAAAAAAAAAGAAAAAGGAUAUAUAAUAAACAAAAUCAAUAAUUCACAAUACACAAAUUAACCUUUUAACAUGUGAUUAUUAUAUCAAAACCUUUUUUUUUGGUACCUUUCAAUUUGUCAUUCAAGUCUAGAAGGACCUACGUGUGGACAUCUAAAGGAGUCCAUUUAUGAGUGAAAAUUUUCAAAAUUUGUUUAUCGUAUCGUAGCAGGCUAAGUUGGAUUUUAUAUUGCUAUUCACAUUACCCAUGUGGGUAGAAAAUUAGAAAAUUCUAGAAGUAUUCUUUUUACAUAAAUAUGAUUUUGUUAUACAAAUAUACAAUAGAAUUAUAUUUUUAUUACAUUGUUUGGGACACAAUUCUAGAAGUAGUUUUUAUUGUUCAGUUUCAAAAUCAUUAAAAAUUAACCUCAGUUUAUGUUUGGAGUUUUUAGUUUCAGUUUAUUUUAAUUUUUAGAUAUUAAAAAAUUAUUUAAUAGAUAAAAUAAUUUAAAUAUUUAAUCUUAUCACAAUCCAAUAUAAAAUCAUGUAAUAUUAAAAAAAUAUUGAUACAAAAAUAAAUAAAAAAAUAAUUAAACAUAAUAAAAAUAAUUUAAAAAAUAUUAUAAAAAACAGUAAAGGUUAAAACAUAAACAAUAAUCAAUAAAUUAAACAAAAUUUUAUUGUUUGUUAUAUGUGAUAAAAACCAUAUCAGAAAGAUGUAAAAAAUCAACUUAGUGCAAUUUUUGUUGAACAUGUUUGUAUUUCAAAAUUAUAUUUUAAAAUGGAAAGUUGAAAAUUGACAAUCACCCCUAACGCGACCUUAAUUUUUAAAUAAGUAAAAAGUAUUGUAUGUUGAAAGAAGCAGUUGAUCAUAUGAUUGACGCCCAAGUAAAUUGAACAAAUUAAAGCUGCAGAAAUCAAUUUUCAAUGAUCUGUCAUUGCUUACUUAAGCUAUGGAUAAUUACUUGAUUUAUGUCUCAUUACACAAUUUUGGAAGAUCAGCUGGUAAAAAUGUAUAAUAAAAUUUAUUGUGGCUUAAAAUAAUGCGGUGUUUGAUUUUGUGAGGUCCUUAAGUGGCAAACAUAUGGUGUGAUCCACAAGUUCCGUAACAAUUCAAAAUAGAAGGUUGAAUUGCUCUAGGAAUCCUAUCAUCUUACAAGAUUUAACAUUUUCAAUCUGUGAUUCUUCUUUACAUGGGUGUCAAUCAUAGUAUAUGGUGGUUAACAAGUUGCAUUUAGCAAGAAUUUCUUGAGUUGCUUCUAAUCAAUUCUCAUGCCAUUUUAUUAAUGUCUUAUGGCUAACAGUUGGGGCAAAAAUUGAUAUUACCCCAUUGAGAAAUAUAUCUCUAGGAUGAUGACUGUCCACAAUUAUCCAAAACACUUCAGUGCAACAAAAACUCAAUAUCCAUCUGCUGGAAGGAACGAUCAGUUUCUAACUCGAGCAAUCAUGGUAUAUGGGAGUUCGCUGACUAUUUUCCACAAUGUCAGAAUCUCCUAUUUGACCCCAUGUUCAAACUCGAUUAAAACAAAUGCCCUUGGCAUCUUUGACCACAAAUGAAGAAUAGUUGCAGAAAUUUGGAAAUGAAAUCUUAAGGUUUGGGUUAAGGGUUUGUAAAAUAUAGGUAUUUAAUUUGCGAUACAAAUGUCAUAUUAUAUCGUAGGAGAGGCAAGACGAAGGCCACAUAAUCAAGAAAGUUAACUAUUUAAGCUAACAUAAAACUUGGUGAGAACCUAUGGAUUGCAAACAAGCAGGGAAGUAUCAAGUGAGUUUUUUUUUUUCACAUGAAUGAAAAAUAAAUAUUAACCAUUAGAUUUUAUCAUGAAUGAUCAAAUUAAAAUCUAGGACAAGUGUAAAAUUACUUACAUAAAUCAAUGGUAUCUAAUUUAAUUGGUUGAACAGGUGCAUAAAUUAUUGUAAAAUUCACUAGUAAUUAUCUUUGAUUUCUAUGGAUAAAAAACUUACAUAAACUUGUUUUUAUUAUCCAUUUAAUUUUAGUCUUCCAUUGAAUCAAUAUCAACCUGGAUAAAUUCAUAAAAAGGUAUAGAUUUUGUUAUUAUCAAGGGUAUAUGUAUUGGAAGGAAGGUGUAAAGUUUUUUGGCAGUAUAUGGGUAAUAUUUUCAUUUUUUUUCUAUGAUCAUGAUCAAAUAACAUUUUGACUUUUCUUUAUAUAGGUUUUCAGAAUAAGAGGGUUUAGUGGUAAUUAAUAUUGAAAUCAACAGAUUUUAUGACAGUCCAAUGAUGUUUUUUAAUAAGAAAUUUUUUUAGGUAAAUUGGAUCCGAGAUACCAACUAAGACUAGGGUAGACUUCUUGAGAGCAUUUACAAAAACUAAGAUAACCUCAAGACACAAAGAAUACUUGGAAUGAUAUUUAUAAAUUACCCAUCUCAAAUGAUAUUUGAAUUGGAGUUAUUACCCUUGAUAAAUUACAUAUCCUUAAAAAUCUUGUUUUUGUCGGUAAUAACUCCAGAGUGUUCUAUGUCAUGCGAUAGGGGCAACAAGUCUGUGGUAUUCAGAUCAGCUUCAGCCAUAUCAGUUGUAAUUCUUGAUAUCCUUCCUCAAGAAUCAGAGGCAUUGAAGUUGGCUUCGUCUCUUAAAUUAAUAUCAAGCAACAAAUUCUGAAGUUUUAGAUCAAGCUCUGCCACAGAUGAAUUAGUUUCCUUUUUCUUUGGUUUUCUUUUCUGAAUAUUUUGUUUCUUCCGUUGAGCUUUUCUUUCCUCGAACUCCAAAAUCUUCUCACGACAAGCACUGUAGAUGAUUAAUAAUGAGACAAUGAUGAAAGGCACCCUAAACAAAAAGUUAUCUUAUAUACCCACCAGCCUUCUUGAAUUUGAAUUGUUCUAAAAGAUACUUGGUAUAGAUGCAGCAAUAAACCAAACAGCAUACUAACUCAAGUUGCAAGCAAAAAAUAAGCAAAAUAUACAUUUGAUAAGAAUCAGAUAAAACAUUUCCUUUCUGUGUUUUAGGGAGUAAAGUAUGUUCAUGAAUUAUGAACUUACAUUACCUUUCUAUAAGAUCUGCAGGUACUAUUGAAGUUUCAAGUCCAUCCAUUCCUUCCCAAGAAACCUCGUAGCAUUCUCUCCCUUGAACUCUUCGGCUCUUAAUGAUUUCUGACACAGGACACUUCACAGGGAUCUGUGAUCGGAUAUAAUAUAAAUAAGAUUCUUGUAUAUAUCCAGGUUCAAAAAUAGGGAGCCUGUAGAUAAAAUUUAUGUUCACUAAUAAUAGUAAUGGCAUUAUAGAAACUCGAUGAAUGGAAGAUUUCCCUGUUUAUUGAUGAUACACUGAAUGCAGUAGAAGCUACUGUAAAUCAAUGAUCAUCGAAGAAUUGAACCAAUGUUAUACAAUACCAAAAUAGAAAAUGUGUAGCAUACUUACAUUACUUAAUAAUCCAAUGGACAGCUUUGAUAGAUAAUGAACAUGUGAAAGAGAACAUAAGUUAUCAAAAUGCCACGCGAUUCUAAGCAUGAGCAGUCACUCUUUUAUUUAGUUUAAAAUAAUUUUUAAAUAUUAAAACUUUUCACAUGAGCUCAGACAGUAAUGAAAUGUUAAUUAGGGAGUGGAAAGGGUUAGCAGUACCUCAUGUAAAGGAAGGUUCAGUCCAACUUCAGAUGAAGUUAAACGCAAAUUGGCAAAUCGUCGUAAAUUUCUUUAUGAGUAUAUUGAAUAUAUUUCAAUCAGUAUUAAGAAUCAAUCUUUAUGAGUGGAAACCAUGAAUAAAAAAGACAAACCUACUUGUGCACAAUAUCUGAAUCUGCUUGGUGACAUUUUGUGUUCAUAUAAGCAUUAAUUACUUGUAAAAUGUUAUCAUCCGGCCGUAAAUCAUUCUUACCUCCUGCAUAGACAAAAGAUAGAAGCUAAGAUACAAUGUUCAAGAGACACCAACAAUCCUCCAUUUGACAAAAAUAAUUAUUAACUGCAAGUCAACAUUUGUGUACAAGUUGAUGCAGACAAUGCAUUCUAGAAGACAUAAAAAAAGCACAAAGAUAUUAGGUAUAUAAUUCCAUCCUUUGGUUUAGAAUUAGAUAUUAUAUUGGGUCCACUGUAACAUCUCUCAUUGCUUAACAAUUUACAUUUACAUGGACAGUAAUCAGUUAGUGUUAAUUUAACUUUUUUCUAAUAUACUAAUUUAGCUGAUAUUAUAUUUUCAGAUAGUGCAUAUAAUUGGUUCAUGACAUGGUAUCAAAACAUGCAUGAUUAAUAGCAUGUUUGAAUCUAACUCCAUGAUCCACAUUGUCCAAGAAAUUUGAGUCAAAAUUUUAAAAAUGACACAAAAGCAAGUAUUUUUUGCUUCAAUAUUAAUUUGACGUGCAUUCACAACAAUGAACACCAAACCAAACGGGCACUAAGUGGUCUAGAGUUUGAUCAUUGUUACCCCCAUUUUUCUAAUAAAAAGUAGAAUUUCAAAACAAGGUAGGUGAGCAUUUACAUUAUUUAUGCUUCAAUCCAAAAGGUUUUGGUGUUUUACUAGUGGAAAGGGACAUGUAAGAGACUCAAUAAUUCACACCUUAAAGUUUGCAUUUAUUAUGUACAAAUACAGUUAAUAUCCUAUAAAUCAAAUCCUGAUACGUUUGUUGACAAAAUUCUUUUAAAAACAUUAAAACCUCUCUUCUAUGUCAAAUAUUAAGUGUAUUAUUACAUAAUUUGGACAGCUAAUAUGUCCCUAAUUCUCUGAAAAGUUUACUUGUAUAGUAACACUAGAGCAGUGCCAUAAACUGUUUUCUAGUUUGAGAAGGAAACCUGUCAGAAAAAAUAAUCAACUGCAACUUUCAAUUCAAGUAAUGUGAAUUGAAUACUCCGAAGACGGUAAUAUCCCCACACUUACAAGUUACAAUGACAAAUGUUGAACAUUUUUCAUGUGACAUACAGACAUUUACCCCCUUAACUAAAAAAAAAGACGAUAAAAAAUAUCAAAUUAAAUUGUAGUGAAAAAUGAAACUAUUAAUUUUAAUUAAAGAAAAUACUACUUAUUUAUUCCUUCCAAUAAUCAAAUAUUUUCUCAUUACCAACUUGUCUCAUUCAUCUCUUAUCUACUACUAAUUGUUACUUGUAGUUAAGUGUGUUAGAUUCAUGGGUUAACAAUGAGUCAUGUAUGUAAUUAAUAAUCAUUAAUGUCAUAUUUUUUUAUCAUUUGAAGUGGAGUAUUCAUUUUUUCUCUUAAUAUUACUUUAUCCUUCACAAAAUUCAAAUAAGAUAUUUUAUUUGAGAGGAUGAAUUCAGAACCACUCAAACUAAUGAGUUAAGGACUUAUUGGUUAUUAACAUCGAAUUAAAACUAGUUUUAUGUAUUUUGUUUUUAUAAAUUAAAGACUAAUACUUGGUUAUUGUCAUUAUUCAAAAAAGAAAAAAGGUUAAAAAGAAAAGAAAAGUGAGUGAGAAAGACACACUCGAGUCGAGCGGGAGUCAAAGCUGGAAGUGGCAAAUGGUAAAGAGUUGGGAACGAGAAAUCCAAAAUUUUGCAAUAUAUGUCGGGGACAAAUCUGUCAUUUGACUCUCCACAUGUGUUCCUUCCAAUUUUCAAUACAGUUAACACCAGAAUUAUCUUUCUCUACUGAACCUAACAUUCAGCACACUUCAACAAAAAUCCAUGACCAACACUUGCCACAACAAUUUAGAACAAAUUCAACACAUACUCUUUGUGCUUCAGCUGGAAGUCAUGAUCAAUUUCUACCAGAAUAUCCAACUCAAACCAAUACCCCACAAACCUACACCACCACCCAAGUUGAGGAGCCACACUAAGAACCAUCAAACGAGAGCAGUUACACAGAUAAAAUCUCCUCAGCAACCACAGCAAUAGCUGACAAAGCCAUCACUGCCAAAAAUGUUGUAGCUUCAAAGCUCGGAUACAGUGAUGACACCACCGAAACAACUCAAACAAAGCAUCAAGAAGAGAACACAAGCAAUGAAAACCGUUAACAAUCUCAUCAGCAACCUCAGCCAAAAGCACUGUCACUUCGAAGCUUGUAUAUGACGCUGACACCGAAACAACUCAAUCAAGGGAUCACCAAGAGAACACAGGCAGUGCAAAACCAUCAACAAUCUCUUCAGCAACCUCUGCAAUAGCUGAUAAAGCCAUAUCAGCCAAAAACACCGUCUCUUCCAAGCUCGGAUACGGUGUCAACAACACCGAAACAACUCAAGCAAGCCAUCAAGAGAACACAACCAUCAACAAUCUCUUUAGCAACAGCUUGCAAUAGCUGAUAAAGCCGUGUCAGCAAAAAACACCGUAGCUUCCAAGCUCGGAUAUGGCAACAACACUGAAACAAAAACAACUCAAACCACUCAAUCAGCAACCUCUGCAAUAGCUGAUAAAGCUUUCUCAGCCAAAAACACCGUAGCUUCGAAGCUUGGUUUUGGCGCACAGCACCAACAACACCACAAGAGAAGAGAACUGACCAUGCUGCUGCUCCUACAGAAUAUGGAAAAAGUGUUGCUCAGUCUCUGACAGAGAAACUAGCUCCAGUUUCUGGAAAAGUUGCUGGUGUAGGAAGUGGUGUGAAGUCCAAAGUUUCUGGAACUCAAACUAGUAGUGUGGGUGUGGAACAGGACAAGGGGGUUUCUGUGAAGGACUAUUUGGUGGACAAACUGAGGCCUGGUGAUGAAGACAGGGCUCUCUCUGAAGUGAUAUCAGAGACUCUGCACAAGAAGGAACUGCCCCCAGUGGAAGUUACUGAAGAAGGUGUGAGAAAGGUGGUUUCUGAUGCUGUGCAUAAGAGAGAGGAUGAUCCUGAGAGAAGAAUGGAACAUCAAAGAAUACUGGGAAAGGUAACUGAGUCAGAGGAAGUGAAGGGAAGGUUAGGAGGUGAAAGUGUGGUGACAGAGAAAAAGUACCAAGAGAUGUAUGUGAAUAGUCCGGGGAAAGGUGUGGUUGAUAAGCUUAAAGGUAUGGUUGGGACAUGGUUUACCAACCCAGCAGAGAAUCAAUCUUCACAAGGUAAAUAACAAUGAAUAGUAGCUCUAGUUGUCUCUAUGAGGUUUCUCUAGUUUGAUCAAUGCUUUUUGCAAAUUUUACUUAUUUCUAAAUUAGUUGAUUAUAUUGUUUUACCAUACUUCUCUGACUAAUUCUUUUGUUACUCUUCACAUUCUUCUUGUUUUGCAGUUAGACAAACAUAUUUUCUAUCGAUAUUAAAAUUUAUUUUCUCUCUGUUUGUCUAUUAUAUUUGUCUUGUGACAGUUUUUCGAUUUUCUUAUCUUGGAAGAAGUGUUUUGAGAAACAAACGAAAUUAUGAUUAUGUAUGUUUCUGUUAGUCUUAAGACUUGAUUCCAAGAUGAAUCGCAGUUAUUUGUUUACUUGUUUUGGUCAUGCUUACAUAUUUUUCUAUAUGUUUUUUUUUUUUUUCAUUUUGUAAGAACUGUUUAAAAAAAAGUGGAGUAUUUUUUAUCCUAGUGGUUUUAGACUUCAGUCCAAGAUGAGUUACAAUUUUUUUUUUUUUUACUUUAUUUUGGGUAUGCUAUUUUUUACUUAGGCAAAGUGCCACAUUAAUUUUGAAUUUGUGGUUUGCAUGGGUCGAAGAUUCAUCUAUGAAUUAUGAGGCAGGAAGGGCAGAAGUGGAACAAGUUAACCAAGGUGCAGCAGGUGAAAGAAGGCAGCAGGAGUCAUAUAAUUGAAGAAGUGCUUUGAAGGAGUCUUUGCUUUGGGUGAUUGUGUAGAUUUUCUUAAAAGCUGUUUCAAUAUCUGUGUGUCUAGUUCUUUGUUGGAAGAAAGUUAGGAUGUUCAAGUCACAGUUUAUUUGUGUUUUUUUUAAUGUUUAUGUAAAUAUCCAAUUUUAUUCGGGUUUAUUUUUAUGUUUUAUAUAAAAAUAUUUAAAAUAUUUUUGAGAAAAAGAAAAGAGAAAAAUUAUAGAAGAUUUGACAGUUACAAGAAGACUUGGCAUCAGAAAACUGGAGUAAUGGUGAUUCAAUUGAGAAAAAAAAUAUUACUAAAAGAUAAGAUCAUUUAAAAUAUUUUUGAGAAAAAGAAAAAAAGAAAAAUUAUAGAAGAUUCUUAUAAAUAAAAAUAAUUAAAAUAUUUUGGAGAGAGAAAAAAGAAAAACCAUAGAAGAUCUGAAAGUUACAAAAUUGAUCAUCAGAAAACUGGAGUAAUGGUGAUUCAAUUGAGCAAAAAAAAAAAUAUUAGUAAAAGAUAACGUCAUUGAAGUUGUAAGUCUAAAGACAAGGAGAUCGUGGUAUAAUGGAAUCCUAAGUUGUUGUUGGAUUUUAAAAGAAGAGACGCACUAGCAUACAAGGAGGGGGACGGAGAAAAAAAGGAGAAUUCUGUGAAGGAAAACCCAUAGAAAGAUUGUUUUUUCGCAAUUUUUUCAAUGGAUGAUUAUGAUGCUAUAAGUUCAGGUCGUUGUUCUUUUUGCGCUCUAUAAGAUCAGGUUUGUUUGUUUGUUUUUUUUCUUUUCUCUUGUUCAUUUGUUGUUAUGUUUGGCUUUUUUUAUUUAAUUUUUGGUUUCAUGAAUUCGUGUAUGUAUGCUAUCCAAAUGUUUGUUUUUUGAAUAAAAUAAGUAUAUACAUUUCGACCGCAUGUUUACCUUCAUAUUGUGGGUUAAAAAGCAUAUUUUUUACCUGCUUAUUGUUCCUGAUAAAUUUCCGUAUAUAAAACAGUAAGAUCAAGUGUCGAGUUUACAAGGACUUUAACUGUACCCUGAGUUUGUAUAUGUUCAAUUUUAAGUAAUCAAUAAAUUAAAAUUGAUAUUUGUCAAAUAAUGAUACGGAAUAUAAAAUUUGACAUAAAUGAAGAUAAUUAAGCAUAAUACAUUAAAGAGAUAGAAUACAAACACUCAGGAGUGGGUUGUCAAUUGAAGUAGGAUUACAGAAUAUGUUGAGACUCAACCUAUCAAAACUACUCUUGAUGCAACAUUAAGGGUUUUUUACUACGUUAUUUUGAUUAUUACCUUCAUCCACUAACAUACCCUAAUCAUGAUUUCUCAUGUGAAAGAGUUUAAAUUACCUAAUUUCACUCCUAAUCCCUUAAGAGCUAUAUCAAAUAAUUUUCUUUAAGAAUAAAGAUGUAUAAUAAAUAAGGCAAAAUAAUAUCAUUCUAUUCCUAGACACUAAUUACCUAGAUGUUCAUAGGAAAUAAACAUUUUCCAAUGCAUAAACCCUAUAACACUACAUGAGAAUAGGUAAUAAAGCUAUAAACAUGAUAUUAAGCACAGAAAAGACAAUAAUAUUAAAUAACAUUAAAUAAAUAGUUAGAAUCAUUACAUCAAGAGUGUUUGAUAGUUGAACUCCCAACAAUGGAUGAUUUAGCCUCUCAUUGUCAUGAGAGGGUUACUAAUACAAAAAGAAAGCAAGAGGUGUGAAAGAAAAUGGAGGAAAGGGUCCCAAGUGAAUGGAUUUUCUCUCUUCUCUCGUGUCUUAGCUUCUCAAUUUUCGUCCCCCUAAAGAAUUGCUUAAUUUUUCCUUUUUUUUUUCCUUUAAAAUGAAGCACAAUCAUGUUUUGUGAUAUUGAUCGUGUGCUAAGCCAGCAUGUGCUCGCACGAAGUGCACAUGCAAAGUCCAUCUGACAUAAGUGAAUGUGCGUUAAGCCGCAAGGUGCAGGCUAAACCGCAGAUGUGUACUAAGCCGUAGAUGCGCACUAAGUCAUCGUAUGCGCGCUAAGCUUGACCUCCAAGUUGGCUCCUCGCGUUGAGCGGUUGUUGACGCGCUGGGUGAGCUGCUCCAGUUCUUCAACCAUAUUACAAACCUCCUACUAUGUAAUUCUAUAAAAAAAAAUACACUAAAAAAUACUAUAAAUUUGAUAGCUUUAGCAUUUAUUGGACAAAAACUCAAAAGAAGUUAAAUUUCUAAUGUUCUAACACAAAAUAAGCAAUAAAAGAGAGGAAAAUUGGAUAAUUGCUAUGUGAUUUAAACAUAUUUAAAUUACAUAAGCAUAUCAAUUAACAGAUUAUACGUGGGAAAAAGUUUUUUUAAAAUAAAAACAAUGUUGUAUUGCCCAUUUCUUCUCUCUCUUAUCUAUCUCUUCAUCACCCUUCAUCUUCCUCAUAUCCCACUACUGUGCCACUGAUGGUGUUUCAUUUUUCCCCCGGUGGUUGGACUAAAUGAAAACAAAAUAGAUGAAAGAAUAGAUAUGAACCAACAAAAUCUUAAUAUCAAAACAUUAAACCACAAAAUCGAGAAAAGAACAACUGUUUGGUUGGCUUCACUAGGUUUAAUGGCUGGAUUCACAUUUGGAUUUCAUGUGGGAUUUCACAAUGAGGUUUGUCGUGAGUUGGGGCUCAUUGGGUUUUGCAGCGGUGGUGGCAGUGGAGAUCACAGUCGUUGGGUUUUAUGACCGGUUGCGAUUGAGAUCAUAGUUGGGUUCCUACCAAUAUUUCUACACUAUGAAUAAAGAUAAAGAAAUUUCUACACUAUGAAUAUUUGAAAUUAAUUAAGAUUAGCUAAAUUCAUCUAAAUAACAAUAUGCAUAAAGAUAAAGAAAAUUAAGGAAGGAAAUAAAAGAAAAAAUUAAGGGAAAAUUUUUUGUUUGAGAAUUUUAACAAACACUUGUGUAUGCAAAGUAAAUUGAGAUUAAAUCAAUGAAAAAAUUGUUCGGGUUUAAUUUUAUUGGAGUUCCUAUCACGUAAUCGCUACACAUUUAUAUUUAAUAAAGAUUAUAUUAUCAUAAACCUACCAUAUUGUCUUAACUUUAAUUUCUUAAGUGAAGAGAGCUAAAUCUCUUGAUUAAACUAUCAAUCCUUUGGAUUAACAUAAUCAAACAAUUUGCAUUAAGACAAAGUGUUUAUUGAUGCUCAACUAUCCCUAGACAUAAAAAUUAUUGGGUGUUCUAUCCAAUUCGCAACUUAAUGGAAUUUUUCUAUUACAAUUGAAUGAAAAAUCAUGCAAACAGGUGCAAUCCAAAAACACAUAUUAGGCAUAAAAGAGAAACAAUUACAAUGUUUUAUUGAAUAAAAAAAAGUAGCUAUUACAUGGAAGAAGAAACAAUUACAUUAAACUCUAAGAGAAGAUUAGUUCAUGACAAUAAAAAAACAUGAGAUAUACAUCACAUAAAUGUCCUAAAAUGACACAAAAAUUAAAGAAUACAUGAUAAUUAUCGGUCAUCCAAAAUUAACUUAGGAUAAGAAAAAGUAACAUAUUAAAAUUUUAUAGGAACGAAAAUGAUAUAUUUUAGUCUAUUUUUUUUUAAUGCUUGAAAUAACUCUCAACAUUUGUUGUCAGUCAUAAAAAACUUUGACAUGGAUUUGAUGGAGUGGCCUAUGGUUCCUGUUGAAAAAGUGGGGCCUUGAUAUGGAUUUGGUGGAGUUGUCUAUGGUUUGUUAGAAGAUAUUUUUUUCUUUUAUUUUAUUUUGAAUAAUAAAAAUUUGUUAAUUUAAAAUUAAUUAUAAUUUCAAAUUGCAUGUAAUAGAAGCCUUGAAUUUAAUAAUGCAAGACUUUUUGUUGUUUACUUAACACACGUGUAAUGAAAGGAUUGAUUUAAUUAAUGGUUAAAUUUGAAGACUCAUUAUUAAACCAAAUUUUAUUACCUUUAUUGUAAACUAUUAAUGUUUUUUUUAUAAAAAUAUUAAUAUUUACUUAAAAUAAAAUUUUCAUUAAUUUAAGCAAUUCUAUAAGUUAAACUAAGAAAAUAAAAUGUUUCUUAUUUUAGUAUUUGGCACAAGAAUAAAUUACAUUUCUUUGUAGAUUAUUUAAGUUAUCGUAUGAAUUAUUUUUUACGAAUAUUAUAUUGAAGUGAGUAUUUUUAUGAUUGCUUAAAUUUGGCACUUAAAAUUAUUUAAAAAGUAAAAUGGAAAUUAAAAUUAUGCUGCUCCUAUUAUUUAAGCUGACAACUUGUAAAGAAAAUAAAAAAUAUGAUACUAAUUUUUAUGAUAAAAAAAAUAAUAAUAUUCAAUAAAUUAUAUAUUUAUUUUUCUCUUCUAUCACUAUUCUUAAAAUAUCACCACAUAAGUAAAUGAAAUUCAGGAAAAGAUUUUAAUAUAUGAAGACUUGUGGUCUAAAAAUUAAAUAGCCAGGACCAUAGAUAAAUAAUUUCAAAAACAUGCCACACUUCUAGUAGAUCAUAUCCUCUAAUUUACAUUUUAAGUUAAAUGUGAUCUACAAUACGUGAAGAAAUUUGGACCAAGACUUAUAAAAGGAAAAACUAUGAUUCAAUAAUUAUGAUAGACCAAGUUAAACAAGCAUUUUACACUUUUUUUUAUCUCACUAAUUAAUUUUUAAUGAAAAAGAAAAUACUAUGCAGGUUAAAAUACAAUUAGAAAUAGACGACAUAACAAUCUUUUCAAUUAAUGACAAUGAAAAUUAGUCUUUUUUCACAUAUAAGAAGAAUGUUAUUUUGUGAAUUAAAAAAUGGAUCAAAAUUAAAUAGCUAGAUAGGAACGAAAUAGUCUUUUUUUAUAUAGAUUUUUUAACUGAAAUAAUUUUUAAAUUAGAUCCUUUUUUCUAUAAUUGAUGUAUUCAUCAUUUAUAAUUUUUUCCUUGCUUACUUAAUUCUAAACAUUUGUAGUCAAUGAUAAGGAACUUGAUAUGAAGGUAAUGUGGUGACCUAUGGUUCAAGUUGAAGAAGUGGGGGGACAAUGACAUGAACUUGAUGGAGUGGCCUAUGGACUAUGGAUGAAGUUGAAGAAGUCAGAGACCUUAAUAUGGGUGGACUUUGUGGAGUGUCCUAAGGUUGAAGAUGAAAAAAUGGAGGACCUUGACAUGGAUUUGAUGGAGUAGUCUAUGGUUCAAGUUGGAAAAGUGGGGACCUUGAUAUGGAUUUGGUGGAGUGGCCAGUGGUUUCUCUAGGAGAAAAUCUUGUUUUCAUUUCUUUUAUUUUGAAUAAUAAAAAUUUGAUAGUUUAAAAUUAAUUAUGGGUUCAAAUUUCAAGUAAUAGAAUAUUUGAAUUUUAUAAUGCCAGACUUUUUGUUAUAUACUUAACACAGGUGUAACAAAAGAACUGAUUUAAAAUAAUAGUUAAAAUUUGAAGACGAAUUAAACUAAAUUUAAUUACCUUUGAUGUAAAUUACUCAAAGAUUAAAAAAAUUAUUAAUAUUUUCUUAAGAUAAAUUUUUCAUUGAUUUAAGUAAUUAUAUACGGUAAAUUAAAAUAAAAAUUGUUUCUUAUUUUAGUAUUUGGCACAAGAAUAAAUUAUAUUUCUCUAUAGAUUGUUUAAGUUAUUGUAUGAAUUUGUUUUUUUUUUAGAAUAUUAAAUUGAACGUGAGUAUUUUUAUGAUAUUUUAAAUUUGACACUUGCAAUUAUUUAAAAAGUGAAAUGGAAAUUAAAAUUAUGUUUCUCCUCUUAUUUAAGUUGAUAUCUUGUAAAAAAUACAAAAUACAAUACCGAUUUUUUUAGAAAAAAAGUUAAUAUUCUUUUUCACACUUCUUUUUAUAUAACUAAGUAAUUUUUAUAUGAUAAAGAAAAUAAUAUUCAAAUUUAAAUACAAUUAGAAAUACAUGAUACAACAACCUUUCCAAUUGAUGACAAUUAAAUUUAGUCUUUUUUUAUAUAUAAGAGAAUAUUGUUUUGUGAAUUGAAAAGUUGAUCAAAAUUAAAUAGCUAGAUUGGAACGAGAUAAUCUUUUUUUUAUAUAGAUUUUUUUAAACUGAAUUGGUCUUUAAAGUACACCCUUUUUCUAUAAUUGAUUUAUUAACCAAUUAUAUUUUUUUUUCCUUGCUUGACUUAACUCGCAAUAAUUGUUGUCAAUGACCGAACUUGAUAUGAAGGUAAUGGAGUGACUAUGUUUAAAGUUGAAGAAGUCAGACCAUAACAUGGCUGGACUUUGUGGAGUGUCCAAAGGUUCAAGAUCAACAAAUGGAAAACCUUGAGAUGGACUUGAUGGUGUGAGCUUUGGUUUAGAAGACAAAUUUUCUUUUACAUUAUUUUUAGUUUGAAUAUUGAAAAUUUGAUAAUUUAAUAUUAAUUAUGGGUUGGAAUAUCAUGAAAUAGAAGACUUGAUUUUUUUUUAAAUGUUGGACUUUUACUGUUUUUGUAACAAAAGUUUAACGAAAGGAUUGAUUAAAUAAUAGUUAAAAUUCAAAGUUUAAUGAUACCAAAUUUUCAUUUAAGCAGUUCUAUAGGGUAAAUUAAAAUAAAGUGAUUCUUAUUUAUUUUUGUAAAAAAAAAAAAGCUGUACCAAAAAGAAUGUUAUUUAUUUUAGUAUUGAGCACAAGAAUAAAUCAUAUUUCUUUGUUAUUAAUUUUUUUUAUGAAUUUAGUGUCCAUAGGAAUUUUAAAAAAAGAGAUAGAUACAGUAAAUGCAUAAAUUUUUCGUAUUCUAAGAAUUAAUUCGGGAGAAUUGGAUAAUUAAGUCGAUAAUUUAAAAAAGCCAGCGUAAAAAAAGAAGUGAAUUAAAAUGUUAAAAAAAUAUUUUAGUAUUAGUCACAAUAAUAAAAAAAACGUAAAAAAAUAAUGAAAGUGAAAAAAAGGCUUAAAAUAUAAUUGUCGUCUUUUUUUAAUAUGUUAUUUUAGUUUUUUAUUUUUUAAUUGAAAUAUUUUAUCUCUUAUUUUUAAAAAAUCUUGUAAUUUUAGUCUUUUUAUUUUUUAAUUGAGAAAUUUUUAAAAAAUAUGUCAUUUUAUUCCAUUUGAUCAAAUUCUUGUUUUUAAUUAGAAUAUUUUGUCCUUUAAAAGUUAUUUUGAAGAAACCAAGAAAUACAAUAAAUUUUAUUGAUUUUAAUAAAAUAAUUAUUUCCUAUUCUAAGAAUUAAGUCGGAGAAUUGGAUAAUAAAGUCAAUAAUUAAAAAAAGAAACGUCAAAAAAAAAAAAAAAGAAAGACACUUUCAUCAGUAUAAAGGAAACCGUUCUAAGAAGUGAAUUAAAAUAUUAAAAAAGUAUUUUAGUAUUUGGCACAAUAAUAAAAAAGGUAAAAAAUAAUGAAAGUGAAGAAAAAAAACAGGCAGGGCAGCAGUAUAAAUAAUAGAAGUUUGAUGAUUUAUAUGCAGAACCAACAACUACACUUGUUUUCUAUAUAUUCUUGUGUGAUCAUGAAUUCCUCCAUUUAUAUUCUUGUCUUUGUCCAGCUUUGGUUGUUGAGCUUACCAUGCAGAGAGAGUGUGUGCAUCCCAAGUGAGCGUGAGACACUUUUGAAGUUUAAGAAUAAUCUCAUAGAUCCUUCCAAUAGGCUUUGGUCUUGGAAUCAUAAUCAUACCAACUGUUGCCACUGGUAUGGAGUCCUCUGCCACAACGUCACUUCCCAUCUUCUUCAGCUUCACCUCCACACCUCAGAUUCUGCUUUCGAGUAUGAAUACUAUCAUGGAUUCUACCGUAGAUUCGAUUUGGAAGCUUAUCGGAGAUGGAUCUUUGGUGGAGAGAUAAGUCCUUGUUUGGCUGAUUUAAAGCAUUUGAAUUACUUGGACUUGAGCGGCAAUGAAUUCCUUGGAAAAGGUAUGGCAAUUCCUUCUUUCCUUGGGACAAUGACUUCCUUGACUCACCUCAAC
Molecule: long non-coding RNA, 93536 nt
Filed under: Glycine max (soybean)
Lineage: Eukaryota; Viridiplantae; Streptophyta; Magnoliopsida; Fabales; Fabaceae
Description: long non-coding RNA (GMAX_LNC003768)
Source: RNAcentral